UCCAUCAUUUUCAUUAGUAGAGCGCAUCAUUUAAGCCAAGCAAGCUGUGGUCAAUACAAAUCCACCAUGAAGACCUUUCUCAUCCUUGCCCUCCCUGCUAUCGUGGCGACCACCGCCACAACUGCAGUUAGAGUUCCAGUGCCACAAUUGCAGCCACAAAAUCCAUCUCAGCAACAGCCACAAGAGCAAGUUCCAUUGGUACAACAACAACAAUUUCUAGGGCAGCAACAACCAUUUCCACCACAACAACCAUAUCCACAGCCGCAACCAUUUCCAUCACAACAACCAUAUCUGCAGCUGCAACCAUUUCCGCAGCCGCAACUACCAUAUUCGCAGCCACAACCAUUUCGACCACAACAACCAUAUCCACAACCGCAACCACAGUAUUCGCAACCACAACAACCAAUUUCACAGCAGCAGCAGCAGCAGCAACAACAACAACAACAACAACAACAACAACAAAAGCAAAUCCUUCAACAAAUUUUGCAACAACAACUGAUUCCAUGCAUGGAUGUUGUAUUGCAGCAACACAACAUAGCGCAUGGAAGAUCACAAGUUUUGCAACAAAGUACUUACCAGCUGUUGCAAGAAUUGUGUUGUCAGCACCUAUGGCAGAUCCCUGAGCAGUCGCAGUGUCAGGCCAUCCAAAAUGUUGUUCAUGCUAUUAUUCUGCAUCAACAACAAAAACAACAACAACAACCAUCGAGCCAGGUGUCCUUCCAACAGCCUCUGCAACAAUAUCCAUUAGGCCAGGGCUCCUUCCGGCCAUCUCAGCAAAACCCACAGGACCAGGGCUCUGUCCAGCCUCAACAACUGCCCCAGUUCGAGGAAAUAAGGAACCUAGCGCUACAGAUGCUACCUGCAAUGUGCAAUGUCUACAUCCCUCCAUAUUGCACAAUCGCGCCAUUUGGCAUCUUCGGUACUAACUGAGAAGAAAAUAACUCUAGUACUAGAUAUAUGAAACACCGUUUUCUCAGUCCAUGGUUUGGUCAUUGUAGCGUCGAAAAAAUAAUGUGACAUGCACUAUCAUAUAAGAAUCCGAACUAUACUAGUUCAAACUUGGGAAUAAAAGACAAACACAUGUCUUGUCUACAUAUUUAUGUUGCAUCUAUUUAUAUAUUAAAAGUAAUAUAAGGUGAACCAGGAGCAAGGUAAAUAUGCUAGAAAAUUGCACGUUAAUUAGAAAUUACUUGCCCUCGAUCUGGUAAAUCUUAACAAAUAGAAUUAUCUUGACCGUUAGAUUUAUAUAACAUAUAUAAUGCUCUGGGCCUCCAACGACUGUACGUGACACAUCUGAACGAACAUAUGGUAAAGAAAAUAUAUUUGGUAAAUGGUGGGCCUGUUUAAAAAGAGAACUCACGUACAUGCACCAACUAAGAAAAACACAUACAUGUAAACGGGAAAAGGAUGAGAUUUUCUCACGUACGUGCUCCCUGGCUCCACCCCGUUGAAAAAAUAUACAUCUGGAGGCCACUUUGUUUCCUCAUCAAAAAAACUUACGUUAAAAAGAUUGCAUGCAUCCCAGGGAAAAUAGUCAAGAAGAAGUCGGACUUUUCCUUACAAAAACAAGGAACGUGUUAAGUUGACUUCAAAGAAAAAAGGAACAUGUUAAGUUAAAAAAAAACAAGAAACCUGUUAAGUUAGAAAAAAACAAGGAACGUGUUGUCCAAGGAAAGAUAUGUGUCAAAUCUUACAAAAAAAAAGAAUACACACACGUACGUUCAUGCACUUGGAAAAUAGAAAAAAAGGAACAUCACGUAUGUAUACACUUCGGAAACUCAUUACAUGACCAUGUCUGAUAUACUCCUCUAAUGCUUAAUAUUAGUGCCUAAUAAUUUAUAUUUAAAAUUUAAUUUACUGAUCAAAUAUCCCCACUGUUUAAAUUUUAAUUUGGCACAUUGUUUGGCUAUAGUAUGAACCUGAAUUUCCUCUUAUUAUUAUAUAUCAUGGUAAUAAUCCAAAGGCGACUAAUCUGCACCGGCGCACCGGCGCAAUCAAUUCGGCUGGACACAGCGCGGCCGUUUGAUUAGAUUGCAUUUAACCAUCAGAUCUGGAAUCGUUUUCUUUCCAAUUAAACGGAUUCAACCAAACAGCAGAGGGGAAAACAAAGCAGCGCCGCCGCCAACACUAGCCAUGGACGACCGAUGUAGCAAAACCUUGAAGAACCGCCGCCGGUCGCCACCCUCGCCUCUGGUCGCUGCCCUCGCCGUCGGUCACCGCCGGUCGCCGCCCUCGCCGCCUGCGUUUCUCAUCGGCUUCAUGCAUGCAACAACAUGCACUCGUGGUUGCAGGCUUGCAUCUCCGGCUCCGGGGACAUGGCCGCAUCUCCGGUAGCGCCGGCCGCCGGCCGCAGCACCUGUCGUUGUGGUCGCGCUGUACCUCGCCGUGUGCCCUCCCGAGGCUCUUGCUGGUUCCAACAAAAAACGAUACCUGUUGUAGCAAAAAAGUAUCGCUUCCAGCAAAAAAGCUUACCGCUACAGCCCGCCAUCGUCAUUGUAGCAAAAAUGUUAACCCGAUGUAGCUUCUGUGGUUGCCGACUGCAGCAAAAAAUGACAUGGCUGUAGCAAAACACAAAAGAAAAACACUGGCCGGCCGCUGUGUAUGGUGGUAACAAACCCUAUAGCCGGUGGUAGCGAAAAACUUCAUAGUGUGCUGCAAAAAAAUGUUGUCACCCGUCGUCGAGGUUGCAUCAUCUUCAUGAAUUAUGCCGCAAAAAAACGUUGUCGCCGGUAGUAGCAAAUGAAGCCGCCGGUAGUAGCAAAACAAGACACUGGUUCCAGCCAAAAAAAAAAUCAGCGACAGAACCUUUGGUUGGUUCCAACAAAAAAACUUGUCGGUUGUAACAUCCCUCGCCGCCGGAUGUAGCAUCUCCCGGGGCUGGUUGCAACACUCCAUAAAAAAAGUUGUCUAUGAGCGCAUCCAUGGUGACUGCUGCACCGUCAGCAAUGAGGGGAAGAGGAGGCAAUGAAAAUCAUUCGAGUCAUAGCUCCACAGGACGCGGCUGCAGCAUGGGGAGUCCAAAAAUCUGUCACAAGCAACAUGCGCCGCGCCAUCCUCCUGCGCAGGAGAGAGAAGAAAAAGGAAUAAGAGGAAGAAGAAAGGAAACAGGAGAAAGAAAAAAGAAAGGAUUGGUGGUUGGCUCAGGCAAUUAGUCAAGCGAGGGGCACGCGGGGCCGCAGGACACAGCGCAAUCGAACGAAGCGCGCGCGUCCGGGCGAAGACUCGGCCGGACUGCCGUCUGGAAACGUUUCCCUAAUCCAAAGGCUUUAUCUGAAUGACAAGUCGUCUGGGUUACCGGCUAACUAGAAAAAAGAUAAAUAUGCUAGAGAAUUCCAUAAUAAUUAGAAAUAUCUAGCCUUUAAUUAUGUAAACCAGAAAAUCACAACCGUUGGAUUUACUUUAAAGGUAAAUUUCUAUAAAUUCCCACCAUUGCCAGUAUGUAGAAACAUGUGCUGCUUCAAUUCUCCCAUAAUCACCAAUCAAUCAACAACACAAAACAUACCUCAGUUAAAAAAACUGAACAAAAAAAAGAAAAAAAGAAGAAAGGACAAGAUACACGCAUGUACACGACAGCCUUGGCUUGAAACACAUCAGUAGAUCAAGUGUCCGCCUCCCUUACACGUACGUCCCAUGAGGUUUACUAGCCUACCGCCGCCGCAUCAUGCCAUCCUCUCCUUUCAGCUCCCAUGCUCUCCAGCACCCUCAUUGCGGCGCCACUACUCGCCUAGGGAUAUUGCUGCUCAGACCGUGGAGCUUAACCACAUCAGCAUCAGCACGUAUGGGCCUCAUUAUACUGCAGCACGUAUUGCGCCCCCUUAAGUCCAGGUCUGUUUGCUGGCACAUAUGCUUUGGAAAUAGGCCACUAUGUUUGUACUUCAAAAUUGUUUCUGUAUUCUUGAGUGGUACAUCCUUUUAAGCGCCAGUUUUUUAUGUUAAUUCAUGCUGACAACACUUAACCUAGCCUUUCAUGUUCACGUACUAAAUACAGGAGCAAGUAAAAACAACAGACCACCUAAUUGCUCUGCAUGUACUACAUAGGAAAAUUUGUCAUGUUCUACGAUCGCACCAUCCCACCCUUCUCUCUUGGUAUGGGCGCCAAUUGAGGGAUUGAUAAAACUGAAACGAAGACGUCACAGGGCUGGAAGUACCGCUAGCCUGGUUUGCACUGCAACCUACCCAACGCCAUCAGAAACUAGCAACUGAGUCAGGUGUUGAUCGAUUCUCUCAAAUUGCUCUCAUGUAAGUACUACCCCUUGCAUGUGCGUACAUACCUUUGUUGCAUUCUCAAACAGAUAGAACAUGUUUGAUCGGUGCAUGGCUAUUUUUCAUCACAUGACAUCCAGAUAACAAGCAUGAAAGGACUACAUUGGAGAUCAAAAAAUAUUGGUUCCUGGCUAGAGUACCACUACCUAUGGACUUGUCUCCAUAGAAUUUGUUCCCAAGAUGUUAUUUUAAUUAAUCUCUUUAGCUUUCUUCCAUUGCAAACGGUGAUGUGCAUCAUGGUAUAUACGUGACCAUCUUGCACAUGUAUACACAAGAGGCUCAGAUGGAGGUGCUGGAUUCUGGACGAGGGAAUAUGAAGCAGGAGUGAGCGAAGAGUAAAUAAUGGUGGGAGUACCGAUUGGUGUUAUGAAGAAAAAUGCCAUCCAAAGAUUGAUUAGUGUCAUGGAAGAUUAAUUUCUGAAUGCGAAUAUAUAUGUUACAUUGGUUUGGAUCUUUUUGAGAUAAUUCCACCUAAAUUAGGUUCUUUCUUAUUUCAUAUGUAUACCUUAUUUCAGUAAAAGUUCACAACGAACUUAGUAGGACAAAUAUAAUUUUGUUUGUUCUUUCUGUUGUCCGCCACCAAAGCUCAAUUUGAACUCUCUAGAAAUGGACAAUGAUUUAUGCAUUCUAUAUCUUCUUGAUUGAUUAGCCAUGACAAGGAAAUAAAAGGAUUGACUGAUAUAGCAUAACUUUGGAACGAUUAGAGGUUACUACAAAUAAGAGUAGUGUCUGUUGGAAUUUUGCUAGUAGGCCUUUGGCCCAAAGCCCAACUAAAAUUCUGAAAUUCUCUUGGCUCAUUUAUGCACACAUGUGAGUUGAGUGAGUGAGACUAAAGUUUAGUCCCACCCUGGAAGUUGAGAGAGAGUUGCACCUCUUUAUAAGGUGAGCUCUUCUACCACUUGUAUGAGCAUGAGAAGAGGAGACCUACACGCGCGCUCCUCCUCCACGCUCGCCACGCCUCGUCGCGCCGCGCCGUGCCGCGGGUUGCGGGAUUGAGCCGAGCCGAGGACGUUUUCUAUAUUUUUGCUGCUCGGGAAAAAUUAAUGAGUCAUUAAUUAAUAAUUAAUGGACACAUUAAUUACUGAACCGUUUCCGAUUUUUUUGGAUCGUGACGACUCGGACGUGGGGUUUACUCCCAGGACCUACCCGGCCCGCACUAUAUAGUCAGGAAGACGUCUACCCUAGCCGCCGCCGCUUCGUAUGGUUUCUCACCAUCGUUACAGAUCAUUGCGCCGCCAAGCAAGUUUUCUCCAUCCCUCCUUUCGGCGUGCACCGGGAGAAGGGACAGCAGACCUCCGGAACCCCGCCUCUCGUGAUCCUAUACGGGAGAGGGGCGAUCAGGUUUUUGGGGAGCGCACUCGCAUGACUGCUGGCAGCGACGACUUCGCAAACGACGACUUCUUCCCCGACCUCGGCAACCUCAUCCUCGACGACAUGGGCGACAACGUCAACGCCGGCGGUGCUACACCCACUGCACCGUAUGUUAUUCUCUCCUUCUUGUUCGAGAUCAUGGUAGAAUUCAUGUUUCUAGUAUAUGUGCCCUAGAUGUGAUCUGUUCAUCUACUAUGGUAGUUCGCAUGAUUAGUUUAAUCUCUGUUAUUGCUGUCAUGAUCUAUUUCCUAUUUAUUCGGAUUAAAUCUCGUAGUAAUUUUCUCAUUUUUCCAACAAUCCAAAAACCUGAUUAUAGGAAAUUUACUCCGAGUGGUUUUGCUGCGCAUCUGAAAGCCGCUUGCCUUUAAGGGGGCGCAAUAUAAGAGGUGGCGCACCAGAGCAGUCUACUGGUUUCAGAUCAUGGGCUGCUAUGACGCCACCAAGGGCAAGCCUGAGGGCGAUCUUAAUCCAGCACAGCUGGAAGCUUUCAAGAAGAUCAAUACCCUCUUUAAAGGCACGCUUCUGAGUGUUCUUGAUGACUCCAUUGUAGAUUCGUAUAUGUCGUUUGACAAUGGCAAGAACAUGUGGGCUACGCUCGAGGCCAAGUUUGGUGCCUCGGACGCCGGCAGCGAGUUGUACGUCAUGGAGCAAUUCUAUGACUCCAAGAUGACUGAUGGGCGCCCUGUUGUACAGCAGGCUCAUGAGAUACAGUUGCUCGCAAAAGAACUUGAGUACUUCAAGUGUGUGUUGGCGAACAAAUUUGUUGCCGGAGGCAUCAUUGCCAAGCUUCCACCUUCGUGGAACAAUUUUGCUACUUCCCUGAAACACAAGAGACAGGAGUUUUUCGUUGCGGAUCUCAUUGGUACUCUUGAUGUUGAAGAGAAGGCGAGAGCAAAGGAUACACGUGCUUGAGUUGCUAAGGGAGGUUCUAGUGCCCACAUGGUACAGAAGAAGAACUUCCAGCCCAACAAGUUCAAAAACAACAAGAACAAAACUUAGGGCAAAGGCAAGUUCGAUACAAAGAACAAGCCAUCACAUUCUACCAACUUCAAGAAGAACUCUCAUAAGAAGGGGAAGGGACUUUGCCAUGUCUAUGGUGAUCCUAAUCACUGGGCUCCGAAGUGUCCCAACCGCUUUGAGGAGCGCGAACAUGAGAAGAGCGGCAAGUCUGCUAAUGUUGUCAUCGGUGAUACUGAUAUGAAGGAAUCAGGGUACGGUAUUUUUCCUACCAUCCUUUCAGUAUUCCAAACCCCUGACUGGUUAAUUGACACCGGUGCCAAUGUACAUGUUUGUGCUGAUGCCUCCAUGUUUUCUUCUUACCAGGCCACUGGGACUUCUCCUAUGCUGAUGGGGAACGGGUCACAUGCCAUCGUUCGAGGUGUUGGUACGGUCGAUCUGAAGUUUACUUCGGGGAAGACCGUGCGUCUGAAGAACGUUCAUCAUGUGCCGUCCAUCAAUAAAAAUCUCGUUAGCGGUUCCCGUUUAUGUCGAGAUGGUUUUAAGUUGGUUUUCGAAUCCAAUAAAGUUAUAAUUUCUAAGUAUGGACAAUUUGUUGGAAAAGGCUAUGAGAGCGGAGGCUUGUUUCGCCUGUCUUUGUCAGAUAUUUGCACUAAAGUUAUUAAUAAUGUUUGCCACAACAAUGAGUCUGAUAUUUGGCAUUCACGACUUUGUCACAUUAACUUUGGUUGCAUGACGCGGCUAGCCAAUAUGAAUUUAAUUCCGAAAAUCUCUACUGUCAAAGGAUCUAAGUGCCAAGUAUGUGUGCAAGGUAAGCAACCUCGCAAGUCCCAUAAGACUGCAGAGGCAACAGACUUGGCGCCACUAGAGCUUAUACAUUCUGAUAUUUGUGAGAUGAAUGACGUGUUGACAAAAGGUGGAAAGAGAUACCUCAUGACGUUGAUUGAUGACUCCACUAGAUAUUGUUAUGUGUAUCUUAUGAAAUCAAAAGAUGAGGCUUUGGCUUUCUUCAAAAACUAUAGAGCUGAGGCAGAGAACCAACUUGAUCGAAAAAUUAAACGGCUUAGGUCCGAUCAUGGUGGAGAGUAUUUUUCCAAUGAAUUUGAUCUAUUUUGUGCGGAACAUGGUAUAAUCCAUGAGAGGAUGCCUCCCUACUCACCCCAGUCAGAUGGGGUAGCCGAAAGAAAGAACCAAACUCUAACUGAUAUGGUUAACACCAUGUUAGACACUUCGGGUCUAUCCAAGGAAUGGUGGGGGGAGGCGCUAAUGACUGCGUGUCAUGUCCUAAACCGAGUUCCCACAAAGCAUAAGACCAUGACUCCAUUUGAGGAAUGUUAAAGGAAAAGGUUGAAACUCUCUUACCUACGUACUUGGGGUUGUUUGGCGAAAGUCAAUAUACCAAUUCCCAAGAAGCGCAAGCUUGGACCAAAAAUCGUGGGUUGUGUUCUUCUUGGCUAUGCUUUUCAUAGCAUCGGCUAUAGAUUUUUGAUAAUAAAAUCUGAGGUAUCCGACAUGCAUGUUGGUACGAUUAUGGAGUCGAAUGAUGCAACUUUUUUUGAGGACAUAUUUCCUAUGAAGGAUAUGUCGAGUUCAUCAAAUCAGGAGACACCUACUCCAUCUAGUGAGGAAUUCAUUGUAAUUCCUGAACCCACCAUUGCGAUGGAACACAUUGAGAAUCCUGUUGAGGGUGACAAUGGAACUCUUGUGAGGAGUAAGAGACAUAGGACUACAAAGUCCUUUGGUGAUGAUUUCAUUGUGUACCUCGUGGAUGACACACCCAGGACUAUUUCAGAAGCCUGUGCAUCUCUUGAUGCUGACUACUGGAAGGAAGCUGUACGUAGCGAGAUGGAUUCCAUCUUAGGUAACGGAACCUGGGAGAUCACUGACCGUCCUUAUGGGUGAAAACCUGUAGGAUGUAAGUGGGUGUUCAAGAAGAAGCUUAGACCUGAUGGUACGAUUGAAAUGUACAAGGCACGGCUUGUGGCCAAGGGUUAUACCCUGAAAGAAGGUGUAGACUUCUUUGAUACUUACUCACCCGUGGCUAGACUGACCACAAUUGGGUGCUACUAUCACUUGUUGCCUCACAUGGUCUUCUCGUUCAUCAAAUGGACGUUAAGAACGCUUUCCUCAAUGGAGAGUUGAAGGAGGAAAUUUACAUGGAUCAGCCAGAUGGUUUUGUAGUACCUGGUUAGUAAGGAAAGGUGUGCAAGUUAUUAAAGUAUUUAUAUGGCCUUAAACAAGCUCCUAAAGAGUGGCAUGAGUAGUUUGAAAGAACAUUAACUGCUACCGGCUUUGUAGUAAACGAUGGUGACAAGUGCGUGUACUAUCGCUAUGGUGGGGGCGAAGGAGUUAUUCUUUGUUUGUAUGUCGACGACAUAUUGAUCUUUCGAACCAAACUUGAUUUAAUCAAGGAGGUUAAGGAUUUCUUAUCUCGCUGUUUUGAGAUGAAGGAUCUAGGAGUAGCUGAUGUUAUCUUAAACAUCAAGCUGUUGAGAGAUGAGAAUGGUGGGAUCACACUGCUUCAGUCACACUAUGUGGAAAAGGUCUUGAAUCGUUUUGGGUAUAGCGACUGCACACCUUCUCCAACCCCAUAUGAUGCUAGCAUGUUGCAUCGAAAGAAUCGACGGAUUGCUAGAGAUCAACUGAGGUAUUCUCAUAUUAUUGGCUCGCUUAUGUAUUUGGCGAGUGCCACGAGGCCAAACAUCUCGUUUGCUGUUAGCAAGCUGAGUCGGUUUGUGUCAAAACCAGGAGAUGAUCAUUGGCAUGCACUUGAGAGAGUUAUGUGCUAUUUGAAAGGCACCGCGAGCUAUGGGAUUCACUACACCGGGUAUCCAAGAGUACUGGAGGGUUAUAGUGACUCAAACUGGAUAUCUGAUGCUAAUGAGAUUAAGGCCACAAGUGGUUAUGUUUUUACACUUGGUGGUGGCGCUGUUUCUUGGAAGUCCUGCAAGCAGACCAUCUUAAUGAGGUCAACUAUGGAAGCAGAACUCACAACAUUAGAAACUGCCACUGUUCAAGCAGUGUGGCUUCAUGAGCUCUUGAUGGACUUUCCUAUGAUUGAAGAACCAAUACCCCCUAUCCCAAUGAACUGUGAUAAUCAAACUAUGAUCGUCAAGAUAAAUAGUUCUAAGGACAAUAUGAAGUCCUCAAGGCAUGUGAAGAGGAGACUGAAAUCUGUCAGAAAAUUGAGGAACUCCGGAGUUAUUACGUUGGAUUAUAUCCAAACGUCAAAAAAAUUGGCAGAUCCCUUCACAAAGGGUCUAUCACGUAAUGUGAUAGAUAAUGCAUCGAUGGAGAUGGGUCUGAGACCCACCGCAUGAGUUGUCCAUAGUGGUAACCCACUCUUUGUGAUCGGAUAUCCCGUGAAGUAUAAGUGGGAGACAAGCUGUUGGUCAGCUGGGAGGAGAGUAUCCCUAUAUUACCUGUCCCACUCCAUGAAGAUGCAAUACUCUCCUAAUCUGCAUGGCAGGUUGAUACUUAUCUUAAUGUGUUCCAAGUGGCUUAUUCGGGUAAGCAGAGAUGUUGUCCUGCAGAACAUCUUCUGAGGAACACACCUAUAUGAAUUUGACUGUUAACGUCGCAGUCUGUGAGAAUUGGGUGUUCUCUAAUAAAUUCAUGAAAAGGCCCUGGAGUAUGACGUAUACGCUCCACCCGCAGGGAAGCCUUGCGGCAGCCCAGUAUCGGUCAAGAAUUUGUGUGAAACUAGUUGCGCAGAAAAUUUGUAGUUCAAGGCAUAGUCCACUAUUCAAGUUGUGAUCUAGUGUAGCAUAAAUCUCUAAGUGGAAGUUCAACUUCACAGUCUCCACUAAGCCCCGGUAUAUAAACAAUGUUUUGGAACUAAAUGAUGAGAUGUGCCAAUGAGACUUUGUGGGGGAUUGUUGGAAUUUUGCUAGUAGGCCUUUGGCCCAAAGCCCAACUAAAAUUCUGAAAUUGUCUUGGCCCAUUCAUGCACACAUGUGAGUGGAGUGAGUGAGACUAAAGUUUAGUCCCACCCCGGAAGUUGAGAGAGAGCACCUCUUUAUAAGGUGAGCUCUUCUACCACUUGUAUGAGCAUGAGAAUAGGAGACCUACACACGCGCUCCUCCUCCUCGCUCGCCACGCCACCCCUCGUCACGACGCGCCGCGGGUUGCGGGAUUGAGCCGAGCCGAGGACAGAGCUAUGCACAUUGUCUAUUUUUUGCUACCCGAAAAAAUUAAUGAGUCAUUAAUUAAUAAUUAAUGGACACGUUAAUUACUAAACCGUUUUCGAUUCUUUUGGAUCAUGAAGACUCGGACAUGGGGUUUACUCCCACGACCUACCGGGCCCGCAUUAUAUAGUCCGGCAGACGUCUACCCUAGCUGCCGCCGCUUCAUAUGGUUUCUUACCACCGUUCCAGAUCAUUGCGCCGCCAAGCAAGUCUUCUCCAUCCGUCCCUUCGGCGUGCAUCGGGAGAAGGGACAACAGGCCUCCGGAACCCCGCCUCUCGUGAUCCUGUACGGGAGAGGGGCGAUCAGGUUUUUGGGGAGCGCACUCGCGCGACUGCUGGCAGCGACGACUUCGCGAAUGACGACUUUUUCCCUGACCUCGGCAACCUCAUCCUCGACGACAUGGGCGACAACGUCAACGCCGGCGGUGCUGCACCCGCUGCACCUUAUGUUAUUCUAUCCUUCUUGUUCGAGAUCAUGGUAGAAUUCACGUUUCUAGUAUAUGCCCUAGAUGUGAUCUGUUCAUCUACUAUGCUAGUUCGCAUGAUUAGUUUAAUAUCUGCUAUUGCUGUCAUGAUCUAUUUCCUAUUUAUUCGGAUUAAAUCUCGUAGUAAUUUGCUCAUUUUUCCAAUAGUACCAUCUAAUAGAUGAUGUAAAUCUCCUCUAGUUUGACGUUGUUGAGCUAAUUUACAAAAAAAACCUCAUCAUUAUUGGACGUCCUUAACAGCUCAAGAACAAGUUGGGGUCGAACUAAUGGAUUUUACACUUUUACAUUAAAGGUUUAGCUAAAGCUAGCAGGUGUUUUUAAACCUGAAUUUUUUUCCUCCUGAAUUUCUUUGUAUUUUCUUAUUGACACUAUUUAUACAAUCAUCUGACAAAGAUUAGCUAAAGCUGUUUGUAGAUACGUUGAAACCUGAAAAGCUUCUUUGGUUAUCCUUUUAAUAGUUCUACGUUUAUUUUCUCAUAGGUCAUAAUUCUUAUGUAAUACCAAGAUGCAUUGUGGUAGUGUACAUGUGUUAAAUUCAGGUUGUUAUUCACAAUUUGCGACAAAAUUUAGCUCACGCUACAUUCAAAUAUGUUGAAAUGUGAAAGCUUUUUUUUCUUCUCCUUUCUACACCUUGCAUCGGAUUGCAUCCCUUUAGUUAUCCAACAUUUUGUACAACAUGUAGAGAUUAGGAAGUUCAUCAUAGUUUGUUUAUUUCGGUGCUAAUAAAUGUAUGAAAUCUGCAUUUCCAAGCUACUAGGACAAGUAAAAAAUAAUAAUUUUACUAUAGGAUUCAAAAACAGCAGUUCUGAAGUGCACUUUAUUUAUUUUUGAAAGUGAUCACAUUUUGUUUCAUUUUUCUAUAGACAAAUCUACUAAUACAUACUCACGAUAAAACUAUAAAAGUUCUAGUCCGCACAUUGGGCGGGCCACCCGGCUAGUUAGUCUAAAGAUAACAAAAUGAGUCUGGAAUUUGAAUUAAAUUGAAGUAUUUUCUUGGACUUUCAAAUUGAGUUUUAUUAAAGUAGUAAGGACUAUCCACAUCCUUGGCUUGCCCCUGAUCAAUUAUUUCCAGAGAAGCAUUCAAUUCAUCAAUCAAUUACAUUGAUUUUAGUGGCUGGUACUUCUCCUCAACAUCAGUAUAUUCACCGUGGCCACUCCAAAUCGGCAAGAAUGAGGUACCAGUGCUCUGGAGCAGUGCAAGCUAAUUGCUUCUCAUCUGAAGGGGUGCGGCCGCAGGAGAGGUAUUUCUGGUGGGCCAAGGGACUAAGAAGCGACUGUGGCAGCGGUAUAGACGCCCGCAAAGCCCCAUAAUUUGUUUUUGGUUUACAGGAAAAAUGCACAUCCAUACCAGCCUGGGGAAUAUAGGACCGUAUUGGAUGGAAAACCAUGUCCGGAUGGUUGCGAGCGGUUUAAGGGUUAGCUUUUGUAACGCCCGGUUAGUUAUGCUAUAGCAAUUCCCUGCUAAUGAUGUCACGUUACCACGAUUACUGUUGUUAACCUCACAAUGAUUCAAUCCCCUUCAAAUUGAAAUUUAAAAUAAAGGCAAACAUCAAAAGUUUUCAAAUAUUAAAACUAAAAUCUUUGAGAGGUGACAAAUAAUGCAUAAGUAAUUAUGGUGGAGAAACCACACUUUAAUCAAAUGUUUAAAUACUCUAAAAUGAAAAAAAACAGUUGCUUAAACUAUUAUUUAAAUGCUUUUAAAAUAGUAAAAAUCUUCUAACUAAAUUAUUUGGGUACCAAACUUUUGGUGGCAGUGGUAUAUUUAGUACAACUAAUUUAGAUGCUAAUUAUAUAAAAAGGAAAAGCAAAAGGGGGCAACCCCUCGCUGGGCCUCGGCCUAGCUGCCACUAGGCUAGCUAGGCUGGCCCCGCCGCCUCCCUUAACCCCCCCCCCCCACUCCCCAUCGAACCCAAGCCCGAUCGCCCCACUUCCCCCANNNNNNNNNNNNNNNNNNNNNNNNNNNNNNNNNNNNNNNNNNNNNNNNNNNNNNNNNNNNNNNNNNNNNNNNNNNNNNNNNNNNNNNNNNNNNNNNNNNNNNNNNNNNNNNNNNNNNNNNNNNNNNNNNNNNNNNNNNNNNNNNNNNNNNNNNNNNNNNNNNNNNNNNNNNNNNNNNNNNNNNNNNNNNNNNNNNNNNNNNNNNNNNNNNNNNNNNNNNNNNNNNNNNNNNNNNNNNNNNNNNNNNNNNNNNNNNNNNNNNNNNNNNNNNNNUUGAUCCCAUCUGGAUCGGGGAGGGUAAUGCCCCAAUCGACCCCGUUGCCGUCGCGGGAUUGCCCGCCGACGUCGCCAGGCCUCCUCCCCGCCACCCGUCUCCGGCUCGCCUCCCCUCUCGCUCCUCUUCCCCGACCCGAUCUGGAUCGUGAACGAGCAAUGAGCUCGAAGCCCCCUUCACCGGCGCCAUCACCGUGCGCCACCACCACCGCCUGAAGACCUCACCGUCGCCGAACCUUGCGUCGCCUCCUCGUAUCCCUCCCCUACUCGCGUCCUCAAGCCAGGCCGAGCCCCUUCUCGGCAACGCCGUGAGACGCCCCCGUCUCCCUCCUCUUUCCACUGCGUUCACCGCGCCGCCCGCCGUGCCCCUCGCCGUGCGCACGCCCACCACCGCACCAGCCCCCGCUCCGCGCACGACCCUACCCGCGUCCGCGCCAUGAUCCCCUUUUCCACCCUACCUUCCUGCGCUCGCCGCGGUCCUGAUGCUCCCCCGCGCCCUCUUUUGGGGGCGCCGACUGCCCCUGUCCCACUGCUCGCCGCCGUGCCUCGCCAUCGCUCUACUGCUAAGUUAUUGCUGCGCUGCGGCCGUCGCCUCUUCCCGCUGCUCCGCCAGCGCCGAAGCUCCCGAUUGGCUCCACCACUUCUCACGUUAAACCGCCGGCCUAAAUGGCCUAACCCCCGGCUAAUGAACCCCCACUAUCCCACUGACACCGGGACCCACAUUCCCUAAUUAACCAUUUAAUAAAUUAAAACUCUUAAAUUAACAUUAGUGUAUGACAUGUGCGUCCCCUAUUAAUUUAUAAUUUUACUGCUAGUUUUAUUAGUUUCUGUUUUUUCUGCAUAUUUCUUUUGUAUUUGAACAGGCUUUAUAUAAUAAUAUUUAGCGUCUCAUACACAUAUAAAUGUAAUUAUAGCAUAUACAUACAAAUAGUCUCAUCAAAUCAUGUCAUCACCAUAAUCAUCAUCCAUCACAAAGUGAUCUCUCGUCAUCAUCUCGAAAAUAGCAAUACAAGUCUCGAUUACUUGCAACUACAUCGUCAUCCAUCUAAACAAUGAUAUACGCGAGAAGCGCUAUCACUAUGAGUGAGAGCGGAACUAUGCAGUACAUGAGUUUGUAUCCCUCUCUCACAUUAGCGUGAACCUAAACUAACUACUGGCUGUUGCUCGGAAACCGGAAACCGGUACACCUGGGCCUGACACUCCGGCCACUCGUCGUAUACUCCUGGCGUAGCACUUCUUCGCCAUCGAUGAUCUAUAAACCUACAUCGUCAGAUGAGUCGAUGAUAUGCAACAUAUAUAGUUGAGCAACAGAAAGAGACAGACUUGGCAAAAAUAGAAGCAACAUAUCAUAAGCAUAAAUAACAAAGUUCAUCGUACGCAAAAUGCCCUAACUAGAGUGAUCUUCGCUAGUCGAGGAGGACGGUUUAAUUACAUCACAAAUAAUUUUUCGUCGUGCAUAACUCAAAGUUCCGUCAUACAGAAAGUAUGAACUAAAUGGACACAUUGUCAUAUUUCAAAAAUCACUCCCACAUGUCGUGCCAUCCAUCCAAGUCAAGGAGAUAGUGCCCGAGCUUAGUGAAAGGCUUUAGGUCGAGACGCUGAGCGGCUAUGCGUGUUCGGACGUCUUCCCACGACAUUUGUCCUUCUUCAUAGAACAUCCCUGUUUUUUCGACGACCUCCUUCAUCACUGGAAGAAAAAGGGCCUGUUGUCCCGGUUCUGGAACCGGGACUAAAGGGUCGGUACUAAUGCCCUGUCCCUUUAGUCCCGGUUCAAUCCAGAACCAGGACAGUUGGGCCUCCACGUGGCCUGUGCGCGGAGCCUAGGCGGGAGACCCUUUGGUCCAAUAAGCAUCCACGCAUCAGCAUUUAUGUGGUUGGGGUUUUUGUUUUUUUUGAAGGGGGGGGCAUUGGGGGUUUUGGGGGGUUAAUUUUGGUGUUUCAUAUAUUGUGUUAGCUAGCUAUAAUUAAUAGAGAGAAUUGUCCUCUCUUAUGUCCGUGCUUGCUCGACGCUACGUACUAUACAUACGUAUAGAGAGGACUAGACACGGUAGCUAGCUAGUAAGCAAACGAAGGAAAUAGAAGAUCGUCAUGAACAUAUAUGCAUACAGAGAGAAGUAAUAUCGACCACCUCUCCUUCUCCGAGAGAUUGGUCGAACAACAAGUUCUCAUAUAUCUAUCCGACACUACCGGCUACAUAUAUACAAUAAUUAUCUCUUACAAAUAUAAUCAUACGGAUUCAGGGUCCACAUAGUAUUCUCUGUCUUCAAGGAUCACGUGGUCAAGAAAGAAUGCCGCCAAUUCCUCUUGAAUUGCUCGCAUGCGAGCUGGUGCUAGGAGUUCAUCCCGCUUCCGAAACAUCUAAUUUAAAGAAGGGGGUUAAUACAUAUAUACAUAUAUAUAUAUAUAUAUAUAUAUAUAUAUAUAUAUAUAUAUAUAUAUGAAUGAAUGAAACUCAACACGAAUGAUGGUAAUAAAAUAAAAUUGUGAAUGUUGUUAUUUACGUACUUCAUAUUGUUCGUCAGUGUAGCCCCGCUCAUAGGUCGUGUGGCGGAUGGACUCGCAAACGUAGUAUCCACAGAAAUCAUUCCUUUGUUCCUGCCACAACCACUUUAUAAGAAAUAGAGGUCAAUCAAACUGAUAAGCAAGAAUGCCAAAUGGUAUUGAUGAAACUUGUCAGGACCCCGAUUCCAAGCCACAUCGAUCUAGCCGGUAACACCUCAUAUCACUUUGCGGCCUCACGCACGAUAUUCCACGGGUGUCGCCUUACCAUGGCCCGGGACCGUUUGCGCCUUUUGGCUCACGUAUAUGAUAGUGUUGCUAGCAUCCAUAUGACAGAGAACCCGGGCCGACAUGGCUAGUCGUGAACCCAAAGUGGCACAGACCUAUGGAGACAGGCAUACAUGAAUCACAUCGAGCAUGUCGGUCAUCAGUGUGUGAUUCCGGGCUGUAGCACUGGGCUAACAGGACUCCGGGGAACCCGGGCUGUAGCAGGCUAGGCAGGACUCCGGAAGUCACCGCGUGACAUUUACCCGAAGGGACAGACAUAGGAACGAAGUGAAUCACAUGCCGGCAAGUCAAGUGUCCUGAGCAGUAGUACUGGGCUAGCAGGACUCCGGUGAACCGGGCUGUAGCGGACUACUAUGGCUCGAGGAACACUAGACUACAUUUCCCCAUAAGAAAGGCUGCCAAGGAUAAACAACUAGAUUGUCGGAUCCCACUCAUACCAAGCAUUUCAAUCAUACACACAAUAUGCCCGAUAUGAGUACAUACAACAUGGCAUCACAACAAAACUCUACAACUCAAGUACUUUAUUUAAAGGCUCUAGAGAGCCAUACAUAACAUGUUCAUACAGAUAGGGGUCACAUGACCCGACACUCAAGUCAUACAAUCAUACAAGCACAUGCGGAAGCAACCGGUCUGAGUACAGACACUAGAAAGAAAGAAGGCUCCUCGAGGCCUGUCUAUCUACAUAGGGCCCUCCAUGGCCAGGAUCACCACCUGGGUGGCUAGUCACUCGUCGAUGUCAAGGUCUACAUAGAACCCAUCGAAGGGGGCUGUGUUGUCGUCUGAAAACAGUAAUUAAGCAAACAUGAGUACAAAGGUACUCAGCAAGUCUUACAAAAGAACCUACUAUACAUGCUUAUUCUCAAGAAGGUGGUGGGGAUAUUGCAGCAAGCCAGUUUUCACUCUUGGCUAAACUAUCCUACAGAACUUCUCUAGUAAAAUAGUUUUCGCACACGAGUCCACUACUCACCAACACAAUACUCCACCGGGGAUCCUCCCUCGUCAUCCUAUGAGAGGGCCAUCCUCGGUACUCACACUUAUCUUGACUAUUUUAGUAGUAUCCAUUUAAUUGUCUAUGAACUGUAUAGGCAACCAAGUAGUCCUUUACCGCGGACGCGGCUAUUCGAAUAGUUUUAUACCCUGCAGGGGUGUACUUCGUCAUACAUGCUUUCACCACUUAUCGUCGUUUACACGACAUGUACUCGGCAACCUUCAAGCGAAAGCCCAGCGAGGGUGUCGGCCACGGCCUACCUAAACACUUAAGUCUCUAGUCCAGGUUUAUCGCCUAUCUAGGUUCCAUCCGCAGGGAGUCCGGGCGAGGUUUCCACAUACGGCCCCGAACGAUGUGAACAGGGUCCCGAGACGCCAAACGGGCGCCCGGCAUACCCGGCCAUGGUGUAUCUACCGCAACAUAGCCCACCCUUAGGGUCAGCGCUACGCACGGCCGCCAACACAUAACCUACAAACACCAGAAACUAUUUGCAACUCCUAGACAGAGUACAAGGGUGAUUAAGAAGCCGAGAGGGUCAAUUAAGGAUCCCAAUGCAUGGUAGUAGCUGAAUCUUAAAUCACACAUACCGAUCUCAGUUCUUAGGGACGGUCUCAAUGAAACAACCCACCAUGUACUCCUACAUGGCCUCUCAUCGAUACCUUUACCAAAACAUGUUCAACACAUUCCUCAUAUUACCGACAUAAUCAUAUCACCCUAGCCCAUCACCCAGAUGAACCAGACCUGACACAACUAUAAGCAUAGCAGGCAUAGCAAGGUAGGAAUCACAUACAUGGCUCAAUCAACUCCUACACAUGCUAGUGGGUUUCAUCUAGUUACUGUGGCAAUGACAGGUCAUGCAGAGGAUAAGGGUUCAACUAUCGUAGCACACAGCAGUUUGAAUCACAUUGUCUUAAUGCAGUAAACAAGAGCAGAGGCAAGAACAUGGGUUGUAUCGGAAUGAUCAAUGGGUUGCUUGACUGAUGGAGUGGUAGUGGGAUACUGCCCUUCAGUUGGAUACUCAUGAAUAUCCUCGGAGGCAGAACCUACCACGAAGAACACAUCGGAACACAAUCAACACAUGAUGAUAUGCAACAAUAUGAUGCAUGCUAUGACAUGGCAAUAUGAAUGUGUCUUGGCCUAAUGCAAGCUAAAAUAGAAAGGGAUGAACUCAUUUGAAUCAAAGAUUCAAAUAUUAGCUCAUUAAACAUGGCCUUAGUAGUGCAUUUCCUUAUUCUGCUUAAACAGCAAGGUAAACUUGUUUUUUCAUGCUUGAAACCAUUACAGAUGGAUAUAUUGAAUUUUUCUGAUAAUUUUUCAUAUAUAAAUUAUUUCAUUUGGAGUUACGGUUGAAUUUCUAUGAUUUUUAGAAGUUUCAAACAUUUUCUGGAAUUUCUUGAAUAAAAAUAAAUCCAGAAAAUGCAUUACUGCGUCAGCAUUGCAUCAUGCUGACCUCCGCAGGUCAAAGGCACCAGCCUAGGUCAAACCUGACUGGUGGGCCCCUUCUGUCAGUCUCUCAGUUAAAUAACAGGAUUAGAUUAACACUAAUUAGCUGUCAGUGGGGCCUGGGCCCACAUGUCACUGACUGAUUAAAAUAAAAUUAGUUAAAACUAAUCCUAGAUUAGUUAGCAAACCGGCCCCACCUGUCAUAGACUUAGGGGGGGUCUACCUGGGCCCACCCAGGGUCAAACUGGGUCAAACUCGCCGGCGCAGCUCGGAAAACGCCUACAGGGCACGAGCGAGGCCGUUCUUGGGCUCAUUGGAGAGCUCUUGCAGUCGCGCAUCUAGUGGCGGUGGUGGCCGGAGACGACGACGGCGAGCUCCAAGGCGGCGGCCGGAGUUCGGCCAUGUGCGGGGUGUCGGCUGUGGCGUGCAAACGUGGAAACUGAGGCACUAGCGAGGCACUACGCGAUGCGGCAAGCACGUUGCAUAGCACGGGAUAAUCAAAUGGUUGCCGGAGCGGCACCGGUGACAAGCUCGAGCGGAGACGAGCUUCGGCCAUGGUGGAACUAUGGCCUAGAGGGUGCAAACGCGUGGAAAAGAAGAGGGGAAAGGUGGCGGAGCUCACAGGGAGGUCGAUGAGCAGCUCAGUGGGCUCGGGGGCGACAGAAGUGAGGCGAAUCGAUGAGCAGCGUCCGGCGGGUACCGAGGUUGAAGACGAUCCGAUGGCGGCGAUGCAGGGCCUCCGGCGAUGCGUGGCUCGGUGGGAAGGGCGAGGGGGUGACGGAGGGCGCGACUACGGCGGUGAGACGGCGACGGGUGCGUCGGCCAUCGCGGGAGAGGGAGAGGGAGAUGAGUGGGAGAGUGAGAGAGGAUGAGAGGGGGACGUGGGGGUCGCGUGGCAUUCCCUGGACGUCUCCCGGCAUCGGCGGAAGCAGGAGGUGGCCGGCGUGUGGCCGCGGGCGCCGGCCACGCGCUCUGCGUCCUUCUGGCGCGAGGAGGACGACGACUGGCAGCGCCAGUAGGCUGGGCCGAGCCAGGUGGGCUGGCCAGCACAGGUAAGGCUCAGGUGGGCUUCUCCCUCUUUUUUUUAAUUUGUUUCUGUUUUCUAUUUAACUGUAAAUGUUGGGCUUUAUUUAAAAUACUAAAACAUUUCCAAAAAUCCUGAAAAUAAUUGUGGGCUCUGUUUGGAUUAUUUCCAAUAGCAAACAUUUAUUUGCAGAAUUAUUUGAGCAUUUAAAUGCCCAAAUUCAAAUACUUAUGAUUUAAAUCAAUGACCUUCUGUUGACCUAGAAAAGUUGUGCACCAAUUUUGCCAGAGGUUCUAACCCAAGACAAAGAGGGUGAACUUUUUAGAAGGGCAUUUCAGGUUCAUUGAAAAUAAUUUUAGUAAUCCCUAGUUGUUUCCAGGGGGGUGUUGGGGGUUUCUGCCUUCCCCAAUUCAAAUUUAAGAGGAAUUUAAACAUGAUGCACAUUCUAAUGCUUGAACUAGCUAGGGUGUGACAACUCACCCCCACUCAAAAGAAUCUCGUCCCGAGAUUUAGGAUCCUCUGGAAAGAAGGUGGGGUACUCGAGUCGAAGACGAUCCUCCCUUUCCCAAGUGGCUUCUUUCUCGGAAUGGUGUGUCCAUUGAACCUUGAGAAACUUGAUAUUAUGACGUCGAGUGGUACACUCGGCUUGAUCAAGGAUACGAACGGGAUAUUCCCGAUAAGAGAGGUUAUCUUGUAGAUCAAGCAUUUCGUGGUCCACUCCACGGAUAGGAUCCGCGAAGCAACGCCUGAGUUGUGAAACGUGGAAGACAUCAUGAACUCUGGAAAGAUGCGGAGGUAGUUCCAAUUGGUAGGCAACUUCUCCUCGUUUGGCAAGAAUGCGAAAGGGUCCAAUGUAACGAGGAGCCAAUUUGCCUUUGAUACCGAAAUGAUGGGUUCCUUUUAAUGGGGUAACCCGAAGGUAAGCCUUCUCGUCGAUUCAUAAGUCAUAGGCUUAUGUUUACGAUCAUAUUGACUCUUUUGACGAGAUUGGGCUGUUUUCAAUUUCUCACGAAUAACGCGAACCUGCUCUUCCGCUUCCUGAAUCAUAUCCGGGCCAAAGAGUUGUCUUUCCCCGGUUUCUGACCAGUUAAGAGGCGUUCGACAUUUUCGUCCAUAGAGAACUUCGAAAGGAGCUUUGCCCAAGCUAGCUUGAUAACUAUUGUUAUAAGCAAACUAUGCGAAUGGGAAGCAUUUCUCCCAACUCAUUCCGAAUGAGAUAACAGAAGCUCGGAGCAUAUCUUCUAGAAUUUGAUUGACUCGCUCUACUUGACCACUUGAUUGAGGAUGGAAGGCGGUACUAAAAGAGAGACGAGUUCCCAUAGCAUUUUGGAAACUUUCCCAAAAUCGAGAGGUGAAGAGACUCCCACGGUCUGAGUUAAUUUCCAAUGGGACACCAUGGAGAGACACUAUUCGGGAGAUGUAUAAAUCGGCUAGCUGGCUAGCAGUGAUACUCGCACGAACAGGUAGGAAAUGGGCUACUUUGGAAAGACGGUCGAUCACGACGAAGAUGGCAUUAUUCCCUCUCUUGUUCCUGGGAAACCCAGUAAUGAAAUCCAUACUGAUUUUAUCCCAUUUCCAUUCAGGAAUAGCCAAAGGUUGAAGGGUGCCAGCAGGCCGUUGAUGCCCUGCUUUAACACGAUGACAGACGUCGCAGCUAGCAAUGUAUCGAGCGAUUUCUCUCUUCAUCCUAGUACAUCAAAACCUCUGGCGUAGGUCUUGAUACAUUUUAUUGCUACCGGGAUGAAUGGUGAGAGGGGAUUCAUGAGCUUCCUUAAGGAUCAAUUGGCGUAGAUGUUGUUUCUUGGGAACCACCAAACGGUUCUCAAAGAAGACAGCACCCCGCUUAUCCAUGGAAAAACAUUUAGCAACUCCGCUAGCAAUGUUUUCCUUAAUCCGGGAUAUGCCCUUAUCAUACCGCUGGGCAGUUAUGAUCUGAUCCAUAAGGUUAGGUUUCGCCACCAGGGUGGAUAGGAAUCCUCGAGGAACAAUGUGAAGAUUAAGCUUACGGAAUUCCUCAUGGAGAAGUGGUUGACUUUGUUGUAACAUCAGGUUGUUACAAUAGGAUUUACGGCGUAGUGCAGCAGCCAUGACAUUGGCUUUGCCCGGUGUGUAGGUUAUUCCUAAGUCGUAAUCCGAGAUCAACUCAACCCAACGUCUUUGCCUGAGAUUCAAAUCUGGUUGGGUGAAGAUAUAUUUCAAGCUUUGGUGAUCGGUGAAGAUCUCGCAACGAUUAAGUGCAUGGACUACAGCUGCCAGCUCUAGAUCAUGUGUGGGAUAAUUUUCCUCAUGUGGGUGUAAUUGCCGUGAAGCGUAGGCAAUUACCUGACGAUCUUGCAUGAGUAUGCAACCUAGUCCUUGUCGCGAGGCGUCACAAUAGAUAAUAAAGUCCUUGGAUAAAUCAGGUGGUACCAGUACGGGAGCAGAUGUCAGGCGUCUUUUCAGUUCCUAAAAGCUGAACUCGCACUGUGGAGUCUACUCGAACUUUUUAUCUUUCUUGAGGAGUUUAGUUAGAGGUUUAGCAACCUUGGAGAAAUUCUCGACGAAGCGGCGGCAAUAGCUCGCUAAGCCAAGGAAGCUCCAAACUUGCUUGACCGUCUCAGGUGGAGUCUAAUCAAGGACGGCUUGAACUCGCUCGGGAUUGACGGCAAUACCCUUACCAGAGAUUACAUGGCCUAGAUAGGUUACUUCUGGCAACCAAAAUUCACACUUGGAGAAUUUGGCAUAAAGGCGAUGCUCUCGAAGUUUCAUCAAUACCAGCCUUAGAUGUUCGGCAUGUUCCUCUUCAUUCUUGGAGUAGAUUAGUAUGUCAUUGAGGUAUACUACGAUGAAUUUAUCCAAGUACUCCAUGAAAACCGAGUUCAUUAGCCGGGAGAAGGUAGCCGGGGCAUUGGUUAAACCGAAGGACAUAACGGUGUACUCGUAUUGGCCAUAACGAGUAACAAAGGCCGUUUUGGGAAUGUCCCCGUUUCUGAUUUAGAUUUGAUGGUAGCCCAACCUCAAAUCCAUCUUGGAAAAGACUGAGGAUCCAGCAAACUAAUCAUACAGAUCAUUGAUCCUGGGAAGUGGGUAUUUGUUCUUGAUGGUGACCAAGUUGAUAGGUCGGUAAUCCACAACCAUUCGAUCUGUUCCAUCCUUCUUGACGAAGAGGACGGGGCAAGCCCAAGGAGAGGAACUAGGACGGAUGAAACCCUUUUUCAAGGACUCAUCGAGUUGGUUCUCAAGCUCGGCUAGUUCUAAGGGUGCCAUCUUGUAGGGUCUUCUAGAAAUUAGAAUGGUUCCUGGAACAAGGUCUAUCACAAACUCGACAUCCCUGUCAGGUGGAACACCUGGCAGUUCUUCUGGAAAGGCAUCCGGAAAGUCUCGGACUACCGGAACAUCCUCAAGGUCUGGAAGGGGGUUGGCAUUUAGGGAGUAAAGUUGGCACUUGGCCACUCGAGUUAAGACAUUAACUGUCUUGCCCGAUGGGUGAGUAAGUUGAACGGUUCUAGUGGCACAGUCAAUCUUAGCAUAAUGAGCUGACAUCCAGUCCAUACCUAAGAUGAUGUUUAUGUCCGAGGACUUGAGAGCUAUUAAGGAUGCAAGGAAGACAAGUCUAUCGACAAGAAUUUCGUUCCCAUGGCUUACUCUAGAAGUUUGCCAUCUAGAGCCAGGGGUUUGAAUUUCCAUGGUAGAGGGCAUGUCACAGAAUGUCGUGUUGUGCAAUCGAGCAUAGUUCUCGGAUAUGAAUGAAUGAUAUGCUCCAGUAUCGAAAAGAACAGAUGCCGGAUGGCAGUUAACAAGGAGCGUACCAAGGACGACGUUGGGAUCCUCAUGAGCCUCCUCGGCUGAAACAUAGUUGACAUGGCCACGUGCAGUGGUGGCUGGCUUAGCGUAGAAUGUUUUUCCCGCGGGCUUACCACGGCCAACGGACUUUCCAGUUUGAUUGGGGUUGUUGUUCUGGGGACACUCUCGGCUAUAGUGACCCGGCUCUCCACACUUAAAGCAUGUCACCACAUUGGGGCGUGGAGCAGCAUUAGCAGCGGGGCCACCAUAGGGCUUGGGCGGUGCAAAUUGCUGGUUGGGACGUGGUGCCUCAAAGGAUGGCCUCGGGAUGAACCUGGGUGGCAGUGCCGUGCUUGGAAUCCACACCCGGCGCUUCUGAGCUCCAGAGCCGAUGAAGAGCCAAAAUCACGGGAGUGCUUGCGUGAAGUGUCAUAAUCAGUCUGGCCUUUCUCAGCACUGAUGGCUUUAUGGACCAACUUCUAAAAGGAGGUGCACUUGUGCAGACGAAGACCACGGUGAAGCUCAGGGCUAAGUCCCUUGCGGAACCUUGCCUGCUUCUUAGCAUCAGUAGAUACCUCUUCAGGGGCAUAACGUGCCAGAUUCCCAAAUUCACGACUGUAAGCAUCCACAGUCAGUCUUCCUUGGGUGAAGUUGCAGAACUCCUCCCUCUUGCGAUCCAUGAGACCUUCCGGAAUGUGAUGCUCACGGAAAGCCUCACUGAAUUCAGCCCAAGUAGUGAUUUGGCCGACCGGGCGCAUAGCUUCGAAGUUUUCCCACCAAAGGCUAGCAGGGCCUUUGAGGUGAUAGGCAGCAUAAGUAACCUUGUCGGCUUUGGCUACGUUGGCAGAACGUAGCUUGUGGGUGAUGCUGUGAAGCCAGUCAUCCACGUCGAGGGGCUCGACGGAAUGGUUAAACUUUGGUGGGUACAUCUUGAUAAAGUCAUUGAUUGACACCAACUCAUUUCGCGGGUGGCGUGCAGUGUUCUGCUCAAUCCGCUCCAGCAGGCGGUUGGUCUCACGCUUCUUUCUUUCUGCCUCCAGCAUUACUUCGGCCAGAGAAGGCGGGUGAGGCAGAUUUUCACCUCUAGCAGCACUGGCUUCCCCCUGCUCCGGGGCAACAGGGUUGCUGCGAGUAUUGACCAUCCUAGGAGAAAACAAGACAACGGUUUAGACAAGGAUGGCUCAAACUGAGCAAGGAUGUGCAGAAUGUAAUGGAUAACACGGAACACAGAGAUGUUCAUCCGUAUGUCAUGGUAAUAUAAAACUGCCAUAUAUAUACCAACGGUCAUACACAUCACACAUAGUUUAGUACAAGCCCAGGCUACAGUACAACUAUGAUGAAAGACGUUACAUCUCAUCGGAGGCAUUCCAAGCUCCUAUACAUUAUUGUCUACACCUUCGGAAUUGAUUACACGCAAAGUCAUAUUCCAAAAGUCACGCAGGACAGUGGAGAUACAACUACUACAAUACUAGUGGUACUACUACUAACUCAGACAGCUCCGUACUAGUCCUCAUAGAAGUCACCUCCAUAGCCUGGAAGUUCAACGUGACCAUCCGGGAACAGACGGUCCUGAGGAGCCUGUGGACCAUAGGGGCUUGGAUGGGGUCUUGGACCAACAAACGGUGGCCUGCGGGGACCACAGGGUGGGGUGAUGCCUCCCACAUCACGCCAAUCCACCACGUCUGGCAAAGCAGACCUCACAGGAUACAAAUCCCUUGUAUCCAUACAUCCAGCUUGCACCACAGGUGCAAACCGAGUCAAUGUGGCCCAAUGAUCAGCACGGGUAUUAAAAAGCUCCAGCCUCAAGGCCUGAUUCUCUCGGUCCUUAUAUUCGAGCAUCUCGGCAGUGGUACGAGUUAAUGAAUCCUCCUGAGUGGAGUCAGCAUAGAUAGCCUGAAGAUACCCUUGCGCUCCCGGAAGUGAAGCUAGCAUGUAUCGGAAGUCGGUGUUCCGAAGCAGGCCAGUCCGGACUCGCAUGAUUGUCAUCAUGGAAUAGGCAGCAUCCUGCACAGCCAUCUCAACAGUAACCCCGAGUCCAUAGGAACAGUGAAGGGGCUCGGUAGAUCCAGGAUAAGAAGGAAAUAUCUUGACGGUGCAGAAAUACUGGCUUUGAUUAAAGUCUCAGAAUUGCUCUUCGACGGUGUAUUCGGGAUACCAACGGUAACCCGUCUCGAUCAUGACCCGGACUAACAUAGCAGUAUGACCGGGCACGUCGAGCCACCGGGUCAGGCGAACCACUUUGUUUUGAGCACGGUUGGGCAUCUGAAAGCACAACCACAAUGCAAAGACAUCAGAAUUUCUAGGGAAAAUUGGACAGCAUAACAGCUGUAAAUGCUCAGAAAAAGAUUUGAGACAUCCACAACAGUUCGCAAUACCACUCAACAACAUCAUAUCAAGGUUCUGAUCCAAAUAGCAGCAUACUAAAAAUAGUAGAAACUGAACUGGGGCUUGUAACAACAAUCCUAUAAGCUACUACGGAUUAGUAACACGUGAACCUGAUAGAAGAAGAGAGACUAGUCCUUAACCCACAUUGAAUGAAAAGGGAAUGACUCAGAUAAGAGGCAUAGGGUAAAGGAGUAAAAGAGCCUUACGUUCCCUCCCACAAUCAAUUCCCCUACAUAUAACUAAAGCAUUUCCAGACUCGACAUCGACCAGUUUGGCUCAACGAACCUACAGGCAGUCCGGCACUGAUGCCAACGCUGUCAGGACCCCGAUUCCAAGACACAUCGAUCUAGCUGGUAACACCUCAUAUCACUUUGCGGCCUCACGCACGAUAUUCCACGGGUGUCGCCUUACCAUGGCCCGGGACCGUUUGCGCCUUUUGGCUCACGUAUAUGAUAGUGUCGCUAGCAUCCAUAUGAUAGAGAACCCGGGCCGACAUGGCUAGUCGUGAACCCAAAGAGGCACAGACCUAUGGAGACAGGCAUACAUGAAUCACAUCGAGCAUGUCGGUCAUCAGCGAGUGAUUCCGGGCUGUAGCACUGGGCUAACAGGACUCCGGGGAACCCGGGCUGUAGCAGGCUAGGCAGGACUCCGGAAGUCACCGCGUAACAUUUCCCCGAAGGGACAGACAUAGGAAUGAAGUGAAUCACAUGCCGGCAAGUCAAGUGUCCUGAGCUGUAGUGCUGGGCUAGCAGGACUCUGGUGAACCGGGCUGUAGCGGACUACUAUGGCUCAAGGAACACUAGACUACAUUUCCCCAUAAGAAAGGCUGCCAAGGAUAAACAACUAGAUUGCCGGAUCCCACUCAUACCAAGCAUUUCAAUCAUACACGCAAUAUGUCCGAUAUGAGUACAUACAACAUGGCAUCACAACAAAACUCUACAACUCAAGUACUUUAUUUAAAGGCUCUAGAGAGCCAUACAUAACAGGUUCAUACAGAUAGGGGUCACAUGACCCGACACUCAAGUCAUACAAUCAUACAAGCACAUGCGGAAGCAACCGGUCUGAGUACAGACACUAGAAAGAAAGAAGGCUCCUCGAGGCCUGUCUAUCUACAUAGGGCCCUCCAUGGCCAGGAUCACCACCUGGGUGGCUACUUACUCGUCGACGUCAAGGUCUACAUAGAACCCAUCGGAGGGGGCGGUGUUGUCGUCUGAAAACAGUAAUUAAGCAAACAUGAGUACAAAGGUACUCAGCAAGUCUUACAACAGAACCUAGUAUACAUGCUUAUACUCAAGAAGGUGGUGGGGAUAUUGCAGCAAGCCAGCUUUGACUCUUGGCUAAACUAUCCUACGGAACUUCUCUAGUAAAAUAGUUUUCGCACACGAGUCCACUACUCGCCAACACAAUACUCCACAGGGGAUCCUCCCUCGUCAUCCUAUGAGAGGGCCAUCCUCGGUACUCACACUUAUCUUGAGUAUUUUAGUAGUAUCCAUUUACUUGUCUAUGAACUGUAUAGGAAACCAAGUAGUCAUACACGCUAUUCGGAUAGUUUUAUACCCUGCAGGGGUGUACUUCGUCAUACACGCUUUCACCACUUAUCGCCGUUUACAUGACAUGUACUCGGCAACCUUCAAGCGGAAGCCCAGCGAGGGUGUCGGCCACGGCCUACCUAAACACUUAAGUCUCUAGUCCAGGUUUAUCGCCUAUCCAGGUUCCAUCCACAGGGAGUCCGGCCGAGGUUUCCACAUACGGCCCCGAACGAAGUGAACAUGGUUUCGAGACGCCAAACGGGCGCCCGGCAUACCCGGCCACGGUGUAUCUACCGCAACAUAGCCCACCCCUAGGGUCAGCGCUAUGCACGGCCGCCAACACAUAACCUACAAACACCAGAAACUAUUUGCAACUCCUGGACAGAGUACAAGGGUGAUUAAGAAGUCGAGAUGGUCAAUUAAGGAUCCCAAUGCAUGGUAGUAGUGAAUCUUAAAUCGCACAUACAGAUCUCAGUUCUUAGGGACGGUCUCAAUGAAACAACCCACCAUGUACUCCUACAUGGCCUCUCAUCGAUAUCUUUACCAAAACAUGUUCAACACAUUCCUCAUAUUACCGACAUAAUCAUAUCACCCUAGCCCAUCACCCAGAUGAACCAGACCUGACACAACUCUAAGCAUAGCAGGCAUAGCAAGGUAGGAAUUAUAUACAUGGCUCAAUCAACUCCUACACAUGCUAGUGGGUUUCAUCUAGUUACUGUGGCAAUGACAGGUCAUGCAGAGGAUAAGGGUUCAACUACUGUAGCACACAGCAGUUUGAAUCACGUUGUCUUAAUGCAGUAAACAAGAGCACAGGCGAGAACAUGGGUUGUAUCGGAAUGAUCAAUGGGUUGCUUGCUUGAUGGAGUGGUAGUGGAAUACUGCCCUUCAGUGGGAUACUCGUGAAUAUCCUCGGAGCCAGAACCUACCACGAAGAACACAUCGGAACACAAUCAACACAUGACGAUAUGCAACAAUAUGAUGCAUGCUAUGACGUAUCUUGGCCUAAUGCAAGCUAAAAUAGAAAGGGAUGAACUCAUUUGAAUCAAAAAUUCAAAUAUUAGCUCAUUAAACAUGACCUUAGUAGUGCAUUUCCUUAUUCUGCUUAAACAGCAAGGUAAACUUGUUUUGUCAUGCAUGAAACCAUUACAGAUGGAUAGAUUGAAUUUUUCUGAUAAUUUUUCAUAUAUAAAUUAUUUCAUUUGGAGUUACGGUUGAAUCUCUAUGAUUUUUAGAAGUUUUAAACAUUUUCUGGAAAUUACUGAAUAAAAAUAAAUCCAAAAAAUGCAUUACGGCGUCAGCAUUGUGUCAUGCUGACCUCAGCAGGUCAAAGGCGCCAGCCCAGGUCAAACCUGACUGGUGGGCCCCUUCUGUCAGUCUCUCAGUUAAAUAACAGGAUUAGAUUAACACUAAUUAACUGUCAGUGGGGCCUGGGCCCACAUGUCAGUGACUGAUUAAAAUAAAAUUAGUUAAAACUAAUCCUAGAUUAGUUAGCAGACCGGCCCCACCUGUCAUAGACUCAGGGGGGUCUACCUGGGCCCACCCAGGGUCAAACUGGGUCAAACUCGCCGGCGUUGAGCCGCCGGCGAGACCCGAGACAGUGGCGCAGCUCGGAAAACGCCUACAGGGCACGAGCGAGGCCGUUCUUGGGCUCGUUGGAGAGCUCUUGCAGUCGCGCAUCUAGUGCUGGUGGUGGCCGGGCCUACGGUGGCCGGAGACGACGACGGCGAGCUCCAAGGCGGCGGCCGGAGUUCGGCCAUGUGCGGGGUGUGGGCUGCGGCGUGCAAACGUGGAAACUGAGGCGCUAGCGAGGCACUACGUGAUGCGGCAAGCACGUUGCGUAGCACGGGAUGACCAAAUGGUCGCCGGAGCGGCGCUGACGACAAGCUCGAGCGGAGACGAGCUUCGGCCAUGGUGAAACUAUGGCCUAGAGGGUGCAAACGCGUGGAAAAGAAGAGGGGAAAGGUGGCGGAGCUCACAGGGAGGUCGAUGAGCAGCUCAGUGGGCUCGGGGCGACCGGAGUGAGGCGAAUCGACGAGCGGCGUCCGGCGGGUACCGAGGUUGAAGACAAUCCGAUGGCGGCGAUGCAGGGCCUUCGGCGAUGCGUGGCUCGGUGGGGAGGGCGAGGGCGUUACGGCGGAGCUUCUGGACAGGUCAGAGAGGCGAGGUGGUGAUGGAGGGCGCGACUAUGAUGGUGAGACGGCGAUUAAAAAGAAAGAUCUGGUUCACUCGUACGUGAAAAAAGUAGCAAGCGCUCGAUGCCUUCCUUUGCAUCGAUGCCAGACGCGGUGCUGGGAAUCGACAAGAUAACCGCCAAUCUACCACGAUUAAAUUCCUAGCGCCUCCUUCUAGCGCCUCCCACUGAAAAUGCCCUAAAGGUUUUGGAGGGAUUUUUUUACUGUGUCCUACUUCACGAAUCACGAGGCAAAUCAAGUAGCCGGCAUGGCCUGGCCGGUGAGUGCCAUUGCACUUACUUGCCCCAGCAAUUUUCCGCGUGCAUUGUAGAAUUCUUUCUCCGAGUCCUGUGAAUUAAAGAUGGUGCAGACAAAAAUAUAUCCUAUAUGCGUACAUGUGCAUGAUCAGAACAUGUUUUUACGUGCGUCUACUAUAAAUCAUGACCAUUUUUAACACAAAUCAUGACCAUUCAUGAUUAGUGAAUCAUACUGUCUUAACUUAUGUGAAAUCAUGUGGAGUAAUAUAAUAUAAUAUAAUAAAUAGAUAGAUCCAUGUUGUAUUAUUUUUUGUUUACAAAAAAUAUCUGUCAUUACACAUUUUGAUUUAUGCAUUUGUUUACAAAAAAAACAGUAACAUUUCAUGGUGGAAAGUUUGUAUUGUUUCAUACUGAACACCAAUGUUUUCCUGUAAAAGAAAAUAAUGCCUACGCAUAUGCUUUUAUAUUAUUAUUAUUCUUUCAAACUUAUUCAUACAGUAUUUUUGAUUGUGCAACCAUAAUUUUUAUUGUCUCUCUCGUUCCACUACAUGCUCUUACUCAAUGAUUUUUUUAUAACGGGUGUUUUUAUUAACUCAAAAUAUAGUAUCAAGCGGAUACAAAACAUAAUGAGCCACACCUGGUCUCUGCAUAACUAAGAUGCACACAGCCAAAAGCAGAUGUCUGACAAAAAUAAGAUAAGAAAAUCGACAUAUCGACAACAGUGAGUCAUAUAGUCCCGACACUAUGCCCCCGUUGAAGGACGGGGUGGAGCGAUCUGGAGAUUAUGCUGCCCUCCAUGUUGAGUAAAUACCUCCCUGGCCACUUGUUCCAAACGCAUAGACGCCGCCACGAAUAAUGGUCGGUACUCUGUUCAGUGUAGCAUACACCAUGUAGGAAGUGAGUGCUCACUCCUAGUUACUAAAUUAUGUACACACUAGUAGAAAAAGGGCCAUUUGUCCCGGUUCGUAAGGCCCAUUUGUCCCAAUUGGGGAACCGGGACUAAAGGGUCGGUACUAAAGCCCUACACCUUUAGUCCCGGUUCUUACACCAACCGAGACAGAUGGGGCUCCACGUGGCCGCUACAGCUUGCCGUGGCAGGGGGGCCUUUUGUCCCGGUUGGUAGCACCAACCGGGACCAAUAAGCUACCACGCGUCCGCAUUUGAGGGGCUAGGGUUUUUGUUUUUUUUCUGAAGGGGGGGGGGUGGGUUUGUAUGGUUAAUUUUGGGGGGUUUCACAUAUUGUGUUAGGUAGCUAAUUAAUUAAUAGAGAGAAGUGUCCUCACUUAUCUCCGUGCUUGGUCGACGCUACGUACUAUACGUAUAGAGAGGCCCUCAACACGCUAGCCAGUAAGCAAAUGAAGUAAACCAUUAAGUACAGAAGUUCGUCAUGAACAUAUGCAUACAAACAUAAGUGAUAUCGACCUCUCCUUCUCCGAGAGAUAGGUCGAACAACAAGUUUCCGUAUAUCUAUCCGGCGCUACUAGCUACAUAUAUACAAUAUUAAGAUCUCUUACAAUAUAAUCCCCUAAUUAUAUAUGAACUCAGCUUCCAGAUGGUAUUCUCCGGCUUUAUUGAUGGCGUGGUCAAGAAAGAUUCCCUCCAAUUCCUCUUGAAUUGCUUUGAUGCGAUCUUGUGGUAGGAGUUCAUCUCGCAUCUGCCACAUCUAAUUUGAAGAAGGGGGUCAAUCACCAGUAGAAUAACAACCAUUUGUCCUGGUUCAUAAGGUUAAUUUGUCCCGGUUGGGGAACCGAGACUAAAGGGUCUUUACUAAAGCCCUACACCUUUAGUCCUGGUUCUUACACCAACUGGGACAGAUGGGCCUCCAUGUGGCUGCUGCGGCGAGCCCAGGCCGGAGGUCCUUUGGUCCCGGUUAGUGGCACUGAUACGUCUCCAACGUAUCUAUAAUUUUUGAUUGCUCCAUGCUAUUAUGUUAUCUAUUUUGGAUGUUAAUGGCUUUAUUUUACACCUUUAUAUCAUUUUUGGGACUAACCUACUAAUCGGAGGCCCAACCCAAAUUGUUGUUUUCUACCUAUUUUAGGUUUUCGAAGAAAAGGAAUAUCAAACGGAGUCCAAACGGAAUGAAACCUUCGAGAACGUGAUUUUCUCAAUGAACAUGAUUCAGGAGAAUUGGAGUGUGCUCCAAGAAACAAGGGAGGAAGGCACGAGGCAGGGGGCGCGCCUACCCCCUUGGGCGCGCCCUCCACCCUCGUGGGCCCUCCGCUGCUCCACCGACGUACUUCUUCCUCCUAUAUAUAUCCACGUACCCCCAAACAUCCAGGAGCACCACGAAAACCUAAUUCCACCGCUGCAACCUUCUGUACCCGAGAGAUCCCAUCUUGGGGCCUUUUCCGGAGGUCCACCGGAGGGGGCAUCGAUCAUGGAGGGCCUCUACAUCAACUCCAUGGCCUCUCCGGUGAUGUGUGAGUAGUUUACUUCAGACCUAGGGGUCUAUAGUUAUUAGCUAGAUGGCUUCUUCUUCUCUCUUUGGAUCUCAAUACAAAGUUCUCCUCGAUUUUCUUGGAGAUCUAUUUGAUGUAACCUUCUUUUGCGGUGUGUUUGUCGAGAUCCGAUGAAUUGUGGGUUUGUGAUCCAGAUUAUCUAUGAACAAUAUUUGAUUCUCCUAUGAAUUCUAGUAUGUAUGAUUGGUUUAUCUUUGCAAGUCUCUUCGAAUUAUCAGUUUGGUUUGGCCUACUAGAUUGAUUUCUUGCAAUGGGAGAAGUGCUUAGCUUUGGGUUCAAUCUUGCAGUGUUUGAUCCCAGUGACAGAAAGGGAACCGAUACGUAUUGUAUUGUUGCCAUCGAGGAUAAAAAGAUGGGGUUUAUAUCAUAUCGCAUGAGUUUAUCCCUCUACAUCAUGUCAUCUUCCUUAAAGCAUUACUAUGUUCUCUUGAACUUAAUACUCUAGAUGCAUGCUGGAUAGCGGUCCAUGUGUCGAGUAAUAGUAGUAGAUGCAGAAUCGUUUCGGUCUACUUGUCUCGGACGUGAUGCCUAUAUACAUGAUCAUACCUAGAUAUUCUCAUAACUAUGUUCAAUUCUGUACAAUAUGGUGCACGGGGUUACAUCGGCCUGCAAAGACAUUUCUGCGAUGUGAGACAUCCGAAAAGCAACGAAAACGGGAGAUUAUACAUUUAUUGAAGAGGGCAGGUGUGACAGAUACCGUGAGGGCGUCGAGCUCAGCCAAAGACGAUGGACAGCUGAGCACGGCCUGUGUCAGAGCCGGUGCGGGAGCAGGUGCAGGUGCAGGUGCUGGUGCAACGCUAGUCGAGCUGCUCCUGAAGAAGUCAACAAUGGGAAAGUCCGCUGCAUUUUUUCUGCAUUUUGCGUGCUCCAAUUGAAAAUGGCUGGAACCAAGACAGUAGACAUAUCUGCAACCACCUGUUUUCCGGCAGCUACCGCUGUCGCGACUGUCUCAGAUGAUUUCUUCUCAACCGCAAUCUCAACCUUCUUGUCGAUGUUUUAUUCGGUUAACCUCCAUCUUUCCUUUCUCUCCUCCGUGGUCUCACGGUAGUACUUCUUCCACGUGGCCCCGUCUCCGACACCGUGAACGCGUCCAUACGACGACCGAGUCUCCACGGGGAGUCCUUUCAAUAUGUUCAAUGCCCGGUUGAAUGGAGUGUCCCACUUGGGCCUUGCCAAUGCCUCAGACGGCGAGUCGCUUUCGGCCGCAAUCUUAUGCUGCUCUCUCUACAAAAGGAACACGGAUCAUUUACAAAUAUGACUAAACGUGCAGUCGAACUGAUCAGAAACUAAAAUUACCAGCAGUCUCAUGAACUCCGUCGUGAUCGGGUCCGUCUUGAAAACCUUCUUGACUGAGUCCCAAUGGUGUCGUGCCCUGAGGACGUCAUGCUCCUACGGGACGGUGAAGUCCGCCAAGGGGUCUGGGAUGCCAGAUUUUCGCGUUUCGUGUCCUCCUUGGCCCAUAUGGACCUCUUCCUGCCGUAACCACUGCUUCCGAGGUGGUGGCGCCCCAUGUUCCUUUGUGGAAGCCCCUUCAUGUACUUCGACUUUGUUUUGGCAGCUUCGGCCUCGCAAGCCGCCUUGAAUAUUUCAAAGUGUUCUCUAGUGAUUGUCAGAUUAUCCUUUACAAUCUCGGAGUAGGGUUGAUACGUCUCCAACGUAUCUAUUAUUUUUGAUUGCUCCAUGCUAUAUUAUCUACUGUUUUGGACAUUAUUGGGCUUUAUUAUCUACUUUUAUAUUAUUUUUGGGACUAACCUAUUAACCGGAGGCCCAGCCUAGAAUUGUUGUUUUUUGACUGUUUUAGGGUUUCGAAGAAAAGGAAUAUCAAACGGAGUCCAAACGGAAUGAAACCUUCGGGAACGUGAUUUUCUGAAUGAACAAGACCCUGGAGACUUGGACCCUACGUCAAGACACAAAAGAGGAGGACACGAGGUAGGGGGCGCGCCUAACCCCCCCCCCCCCUCGAGGCACGCCCUCCACCCUCGUGGGGCCCCUGUUGCUCCACCGACGUACUCCUUCCUCCUAUAUAUACCUACGUACUUCCAAACGAUCAGAUACGGAGCCAAAACCCUAAUUCCACUGCCGCAACUUUCUGUAUCCACGAGAUCCCAUUUGGUGCCUGUUCCGGAGCUCCGCCGGAGGGGGCAUCGAUCACGGAGGGCUUCUACAUCAACACCAUAGCCUCUCCGAUGAAGUGUGAGUAGUUCACCUCAGACGUACCGGUCCAUAUUUAUUACCUAGAUGGCUUCUUCUCUCUUUUUGGAUCUCAAUACAAUGUUCUCCCCCUCUCUUGUGGAGAACUAUUCGAUGUAAUCUUGUUUUUGCAGUGUGUUUAUUGAGAUUGAUGAAUUGUGGGUUUAUGAUCAAGUCUAUGUAUGAAUAAUAUUUGAAUCUUCUCUAAAUUCUUUUAUGUAUGAUUGUUUAUCUUUGCAAGUCUCUUCGAAUUAUCAGUUUGGUUUGGCCUACUAGAUUGAUCUUUCUUACAAUGGGAGAAGUGCUUAGCUUUGGGUUCAAUCUUGCGGUGUCCUUUCCCAAUGACAGUAGGGGCAGCAAGGCAUGUAUUGUAUUGUUGCCAUCGAGGACAACAAGAUGGGGUUUUCAUCAUAUUGCAUGAGUCUAUCCCUCUACAUCAUGUCAUCUUGCUUAAGGCGUUACUCUGUUUUUAACUUAAUACUCUAGAUGCAUGCUGGAUAGCGGUCGAUGAGUGAAACCUAUGGCCCCCGGGUCUAUCUUUAUCAUAUUAAUCUCCUACUACUUAGUUAUUUCCUUUGCUUUUUCCUUUGCCUUUAUUUUACUUUUGAUCUUUAUCACAAAAAUACCAAACAUAUUAUCUUUAUCAUAUCUAUCAGAUCUCACUCUCGUAAGUGGCUGUGUAGGGAUUGACAACCCCUAUUCGCGUUGGUUGCGAGGAUUUAUUUGUUUUGUGCAAGUACGAGAGACUCGCGCGUAGCCUCCUACUGGAUUGAUACCUUGGUUCUCAAAAACUGAGGGAAAUACUUACACUACUUUGCUGCAUCAUCCUUCCUCUUCGCGGAAAACCAACGUAGUGCUCAAGAGCUGGCAAUAAGGAUUUCUGGCGCCGUUGCCGGGGAGGUCUAAGCAAAAGUCAACAUACCAAGUACCCAUCACAUACCCUUAUCUCCUGCAUUACAUUAUUUUCCAUUUGCCUCUCGUUUUCCUCUCCCCCACUUCACCCUUGCCGUUUUAUUCGCCCUCUCUCUCUCUCUCUAUCCUCCCUCUCUUUCUCUAUUUGCCUCUUUUUUCCCACUUGCUUUCUGUUUGCUUGUGUGUUAGUUGCUUGCUUGUCACGAUGGCUCAAGAUAAUACUAAAUUACGUGACUUCACCAAUACCAACAACAAUGAUUUUAUUAACACUCCGAUUGCUCCUCUUACCGAUGCUGAAUCUUGAGAAAUUAAUACUGCUUUGCUGAAUCUUGUCAUGAAAGAUCUGUUUUUCGGCCUUCCUAGUGAAGAUGCCGCUACCCACCUAAAUAGAUUCGUUGAUUUGUGUGACAUGCAAAAGAAGAAAGGUGUGGAUAAUGAUAUUGUUAAAUUGAAGCUAUUUCCUUUUUCGCUUAGAGAUCGUGCUAAAGCUUGGUUUUCGUCUUUGCCUAAAAAUACUAUUGAUUCAUGGAAUAAGUGCAAAGAUGCUUUUAUCUCUAAGUAUUUUCCUCCUGCUAAGAUCAUCUCUCUUAGAAACGAUAUUAUGAAUUUUAAGCAACUUGAUCAUGAACAUGUUGCACAAGCUUGGGAGAGAAUGAAACUAAUGAUACGUAAUUGCCCUGCCCAUGGUUUAAAUUUGUGGAUGAUUAUACCAAAUUUUUAUGCCGGAUUGAACUUUGCUUCUAGAAAUCUUUUAGAUUAGGCCGCGGGAGGCACUUUUAUGGAAAUCACUUUAGGAGAAGCUACUAAACUCCUAGAUAAUAUUAUGGUUAAUUAUUCUCAACGGCAUACCGAAAGAUCUACUAAUAAAAACGUGCAUGCGAUAGAAGAAAUUAAUGUUUCGAGUGGAAAGAUGGAUGAACUUCUGAAAUUAUUUGCUAAUAAGAGUAUUUCUUCUGAUCCUAAUGAUAUGCCCUUGUCUACUUUGAUUGAGAAUAAUAAUUAAUCUAUGGAUGUGGAUUUUGUUGGUAGGAACAAUUUUGGUAACAACGCGUACAGAGGAAAUUUCAACCCUAGGCCUUAUCCUAGUAAUCUCUCUAAUAAUUAUGGUAAUUCCUACAACAAUUCUUAUGGAAAUUAUAAUAAGAUGCCCUCUGAUUUUGGAUCUAAUAUUAGAGAAUUUAUUACUUUCCAAAAGAAUUUCAAUGCUUUGAUUGAAGAAAAAUUGCUUAAGAUUGAUGAUUUGGCUAGGAACGUUGAUAGAAUUACUCUUGAUGUUGAUUCUUUGAAACUUAGAUCUAUUCCACCUAAGCAUGAUGUCAAUGAGUCUCUCAAAGCCAUGAGAAUUUCCAUUGAUGAGUGCAAAGAAAGAACCACUAGGAUGCGUGUUAAGAAAGAUGCCUUUAUAAGAGCGUGUUCUUCUAAUUCCUAUGAAAAUAAUGAUGAAGAUCAAAAAGUUAUUGAUGUCCUCCCUAUUAAAUCUUUGUUUUGCAAUAUGAAUCUUGAUAAUCAUGGGACUGAAUAUGAUCCACCUUUACCUAGAAGGCGUUCCAAUAAUUCAGAAUUUGUUGAUCUUGAUGCUAAAAUUGAUAAAGGUGGGAUUGAAGAAAUUAAAACCCUAGAUGUUGCUAAACCCACUAUUAUGGAUUUCAAGGAACUUAACUAUGAAAACUGCCCUUUGAUUGAUUGUAUAUCCUUGUUACAAUCCGUGCUAAAUUCUCCUCAUGCUUAUAGUCAAAAUAAAGCAUUUACUAAACAUAUUGUUGAUGCCUUGAUGCAAUCUUAUGAAGAAAAACUUGAAUUGGAAGUUUCUAUCCCUAUAAAGCUUUAUGAUGAGUGGGAACCAACUAUUAAAAUUAAAAUUAAAUAUCAUGAAUGCUAUGCUUUAUGUGAUUUGUGUGCUAGUGUUUCCACGAUUCCAUAGACUUUGUGUGAUUUGUUAGGUUUCCGUGAUUUUGAUGAUUGCUCUUUAAACUUGCACCUUGCGGAUUCCACUAUUAAGAAACCUAUGGGAAGAAUUAAUGAUGUUCUUAUUGUUGCAAAUAGCAAUUAUGUGCCCGUAGAUUUUAUUGUUCUUGACAUAGAUUGCAAUCUUUCAUGUCCUAUUAUUCUUGGUAGACCUUUCCUUAGAACGACUGGUGCAAUUAUUGAUAUGAAGGAAGGAAAUAUUAGAUUCCAAUUUCCAUUAAGGAAAGGCAUGGAACACUUUCCUAGAAAGUAAAUUAAAUUACCUUAUGAAUCUAUUAUGAUAGCCACUUAUGGAUUGCCUACCAAAGAUGGCAAUACCUAGAUCUAUCCUUGCUUGUUAUGCCUAGCUAGGGGCGUUAAACGAUAGCGCUUGUUGGGAGGCAACCCAAUUUUAUUUUUAUUCCUUGAUUUUUUCUCCUGUUUAGUAAUAAAUAAUUUAUAUAGCCUCUGUUUUGGUUCUGUUCUUUGUGUUUAAUUAGUGUUUGUGCCAAGUAGAACCGUUAGGAAGACUUGGGGAAAGUCUUGUUACACUUGCUGUAAAAAACUGAAACUUCAGCGCUCACGAGAACUGCUGCCAUUUUUAUUUGGAAAGUGCUAUGUAGUUAAUUAUUUUUCAGAUGAUUAACAGAUAAAUUCCUCACGUCCAGAAAUUUAUUUUAGAAUUUUUGGGGUUCCAGCUCUUGAGCUAGCUACAGAGUACUACAGGCUGUUCUGUUUUUGAAAGAUUCUGUUUUUCGUGUGUUGUUUGCUUAUUUUGAUGAACCUAUGGCUAGUAAAAUAGUUUAUAUACCAUAGAGAAAUUGGAAUACAGUAGGUAUAACACCAAUAUAAAUAAAUAAUGAGUUCAUUACAGUACCUUGAAGUGGUCUUUUAUUUUCUUUCGCUAACGGAGCUCAUGAGAUUUUCUACUUUAAGUUUUGUGUUGUGAAGUUUUCAAGUUUUGGGUAAAGAUUUGAUGGAUUAUGGAACAAGGAGUGACAAGAGCCUAAGCUUGGGGGUUCCCAUGGCACCCCCAAGAUAAUCUAAGUACACCUAAAAACCAAAGCUUGGGGAUGCGCCGGAAGUCAUCCCCUCUUUCAUCUACUUCUAUCGGUAACUUUACUUGGAGCUAUAUUUUUAUUCGCCACAUGAUAUGUGUUUUGCUUGGAGCGUCUUGUAUUAUUUGAGUCUUUAUUUGUUAGUUUACCACAAUCAUCCUUGCUGUACACACCUUUUGAGAGAGCCAUACAUGAUUUGGAAUUUGUUAGAAUACUCUAUGUGCUUCGCUUAUAUCUUUUGAGUUAUAUAGUUUUGCUCUAGUACUUCACUUAUAUCUUUUAGAGCACGGUGGUGGAUUUGUUUUAUAGAAACAAUUGAUCUCUCAUGCUCCACUUAGAUUAUUUUGAGAUUCUUAAUAGCAUGUUAAUUUGCUUAAAAUCCUAAUAUGCUAGGUAUUCAAAGUUAGUAAAAUUUUCUUAAGAGUGUUUUGAAUACUAAGAGAAGUUUGAUGCUUGAUGAUUGUUUUGAGAUAUGGAGGUAAUAAUAUCAAAGUCGUUCUCGUUGACUAGUUGUGAAAUUGAGAAAUACUUGUGUUGAAGUUUGCAUGUCCCGUAGCACGCACGUAUGGUAAACGUUGUGUAACAAAUUUGAAACAUGAGGUGUUAUUUGAUUGUCUUCCUUGUGAGUGGCGGUCGGGGACGAGCGAUGGUCUUUUCCUACCAAUCGAUCCCCCUAGGAGCAUGCGAAUAGUACCAAGGUUUUUGAUGACUUGUAGAUUUUUGCAGUAAGUAUGUGAGUUCUUUAUGACUAAUGUUGAGUCCAUGAAUUAUACGCACUCUCACCCUUCCAUCCUUGCUAGCCUCUUCGGUACCGUGCAUUGCCCUUUCCCACAUUGAGAGUUGGAGCAAACUUCGCCAGUGCAUCCAAACCCCGUGCUAUGAUACGCUCAUUCACACAUAAACCUCCUUAUAUCUUCCUCAAAACAGCCACCAUACCUACCUAUUAUGGCAUUUCCAUAGCCAUUCCGACAUAUAUUGCCAUGCAACUUUCCACCAUUCCGUUCAUCAUGACACAUUCAUCAUUGUCAUAUUGCGUAGCAUAAUCAUGUAGUUGACAUAGUAUUUGUGGCAAGGCCACCGUUCAUAAUUCAUUCAUACAUGUCACUCUUGGUCCAUUGCAUGUCCCGGUACACCGCCGGAGGCAUUCAUAUAGAGCCAUACUUUGUUCUAGUAUCGAGUAGUAAUUAUUGAGUCGUAAAUAAAUAGAAGUGUGAUGAUCAUCAUUAAUAGAGCAUGGUCCCAAAAAGAAAAAAAAGGAAGGGCCAAAAAAAGGCCAAAUAAAAAAAUAUAAAAAAGGGGGCAAUGCUACUAUCCUUUUUUUCCAAACUUGUGCUUCCAAGUAGCACCGUAAUCUUCAAGAUAGAGAGUCUCUUGAUUUGUCACUUUCAUAUACUAGUGGGAAUUUUUCAUUAUAGAACUUGGCUUGUAUAUUCCAACAAUGGGCGUCCCCAAGUUCCCUAGGUCUUCGUGAGCAAGCAAGUUGGAUGCACACCCACUUAGUUUCUUUUGUUGAGCUUUCAUACAUUUAUAGCUCUAGUGCAUCCGUUGCAUGGCAAUUCCUACUCCUUGCAUUAACAUCAAUCAAUGGGCAUCUCCAUAGCCCAUUGAUUAGCCUCGUUGAUGUGAGACUUUCUCCUUUUUGUCUUCUCCACAUAACCCCACUCAUUAGAUUCUAUUCCACCCAUAGUGUUAUGUCCAUGGCUUGCAAUCAUAUAUUGCGUGAAAGUUUAUAGGUUUGAGAUCACUAAAGUAUGAAACAAUUGCUUGGCUUGUCAUCGGGGUUGUGCAUGAUGAGAGCAUACUUGUGUGACGAAAAUGAAGCAUGACUAAACUAUAUGAUUUUGUAGGGGUGAACUUUCUUUGGCCAUGUUAUUUUGAGAAGACACAAUUGCUCAGUUAGUAUGCUUAAAGUAUUAUUAUUUUAUGUCAAUAUGAACUUUUGUCUUGAAUGUUUCAGAUCCGAAUAUUCAUACCACAAUUAAGAAGAAUUACAUUAAAAUCAUGCCAAGUAGCACUCCACAUCAAAAAUUCUGUUUUUAUCAUUUACCUACUCGAGGACGAGCCGGAAUUAAGCUUGGGGAUGCUUGAUACAUCUCCAACGUAUCUAUAAUUUUUGAUUGCUCCAUGCUAUAUUAUCUACUGUUUUGGACAAUAUUGGGCUUUAUUAUCCACUUGUAUAUUAUUUUUGGGACUAACCUAUUAACCGGAGGCCCAGCCCAGAAUUGUUGUUUUUUGCCUGUUUUAGGGUUUCGAAGAAAAGGAAUAUCAAACGGAGUCCAAACGGAAUGAAACCUUCGGGAACGUGAUUUUCUCAACGAACAAGAUCUAGGAGACUUGGACCCUCCAUCAAGACAUAAAAGAGGAGGCCACGAGGUAGGGGGCGUNNNNNNNNNNNNNNNNNNNNNNNNNNNNNNNNNNNNNNNNNNNNNNNNNNNNNNNNNNNNNNNNNNNNNNNNNNNNNNNNNNNNNNNNNNNNNNNNNNNNNNNNNNNNNNNNNNNNNNNNNNNNNNNNNNNNNNNNNNNNNNNNNNNNNNNNNNNNNNNNNNNNNNNNNNNNNNNNNNNNNNNNNNNNNNNNNNNNNNNNNNNNNNNNNNNNNNNNNNNNNNNNNNNNNNNNNNNNNNNNNNNNNNNNNNNNNNNNNNNNNNNNNNNNNNNNNNNNNNNNNNNNNNNNNNNNNNNNNNNNNNNNNNNNNNNNNNNNNNNNNNNNNNNUGGGCCCCCCUGUUGCUCCACCGACGUACUCCUUCCUCCUAUAUAUACCUACUAUUGGGGAACGUAGCAGAAUUUUAAAAUUUUCUACGCAUACCAAGAUCAAUCUAUGGAGUCAUAUAGCAACGAGGGAGAGAGGAGUGCAUCUACAUACCCUUGUAGAUCGCGCGCGGAAGCGUUCAAGAGAACGGGGUUGAUGGAGUCGUACUCGUCGUGAUCCAAAUCACCGAUGACCAAGUGCCGAAUGGACAGCACCUCCGCGUACAACACACGUACGGUUGGGAAGACGUCUCCUCCUUCUUGAUCCAGCAAGGGGGAAGGAGAGGUUGAUGAAGAUCCAGCAGCACGACGGCGUGGUGGUGGAUGCAGCAGGAUCCCGGCAGGGCUUCGCCAAGCGCAAGCGGGGAGGAGAGGUGUUACGGAAGGAGAGGGAGGCGCCAAGAGCAAGGGUGCGGCUGCCCUCCCUCCCCCCCCUCUUUAUAUAGGGGCCUUGGGGGGGCGCCGGCCCUAGGAGAUGGAUCUCCAAGGGGGGCGAAGGCCAAGGGGUGGCUUCCCCCCCAAGCCAAGUGGGGGGCGCCCCCACCCCUAGGGUUUCCCAACCCUAGGCGCAUGGGAGGCCCAAGGGGGGCGCACCAGCCCACUAGGGGCUGGUUCUGCUCCCAAUUCAGCCCAUGGGGCCCUCCGGGAUGGGUGGCCCCACCCGGUGGACCCCCGGGACCCUUCCGGUGGUCCUGGUACAAUACCGGUGACCCCCGAAACCUUCCCGAUGGCCGAAAUUGUACUUCCUAUAUAUAAAUCUUUACCUCCGAACCAUUCCGGAACUCCUCGUGACGUACGGGAUCUCAUCCGGUACUCCGAACAUAUCCUUGGUUACUACAUACUAAUAUCUCUACAACCCUAGCGUCACCGAACCUUAAGUGUGUAGACCCUACGGGUUCGGGAGACAUGCAGACAUGACAGAGACGCCUCUCCGGUCAAUAACCAACAGCGGGAUCUGGAUACCCAUGUUGGCUCCCACGUGCUCCACGAUGAUCUCAUCGGAUGAACCACGAUGUCGAGGAUUCAAUCAAUCUGUGUAGAAUUCCCUUUGUCAAUCGGUACGUUACUUGCCCGAGACUCGAUCGUCGGUAUCCCAAUACCUCGUUCAAUCUCGUUACCAGCAAGUCACUUUACUCGUGCCGUAAUGCAUGAUCCCAUGAUCAACCACUUGGUCACAAUGAGCUCAUUAUGAUCAUGCAUUACCGAGUGGGCCCAGAGAUACCUCUCCGUCAUACGGAGUGACAAAUCCCAGUCUCGAUUCGUGCCAACCCAACAGACACUUUCGGAGAUACCUGUAAUGUACCUUUAUAGUCACCCAGUUACGUUGUGACGUUUGGCACACCCAAGGCACUCCUACGGUAUCCGGGAGUUGCCCAAUCUCAUGGUCUAAGGAAAUGAUACUUGACAUUCGGAAAAGCUACAGCAAACGAACUACACGAUCUUUGAGCUAUGCUUAGGAUUGGGUCUUGUCCAUCACAUCAUUCUCCUAAUGAUGUGAACCCGUUAUCAAUGACAUCCAAUGUCCAUAGUCAGGAAACCAUGACUAUCUUUUGAUCAACGAGCUAGUCAACUAGAGGCUCACUAGGGACGUGUUGUCGUCUAUGUAUUCACACAUGUAUUACGAUUUCCGGAUAACACAAUUAUAGCAUGAAAAAUAGACAAUUAUCAUGAACAAAGAAAUAUAAUAAUAACCAUUUUAUUAUUGCCUCUAGGGCAUAUUUCCAACAGUCUCCCACUUGCACUAGCGUCAGUAGUCUAGUUACAUUUUGAUGAAUCCAACACCCAUGAAGUUCUGGAGUUGAUCAUGUUUUGCUCUAGGGAGAGGUUUAGUCAAUGGAUCUGCCACAUUCAGGUCCGUAUGUACUUUACAAAUCUCUAUGUAUCCAUUUUGAACACUUUCAUGAAUGGAGUUGAAGUGACGCUUGAUAUGCCUGGUCUUCCUGUGAAAUCUGGGCUCCUUGGCAAGUGCAAUAGCUCCAGUGUUGUCACAGAAUAGAGUCAUCGGGCCCGGUGCAUUGGGUGUGACUCCUAGGUCGGUAAUGAACUCCUUCACCCAGAUUGCUUCUUGUGCUGCCUCCGAGGCUGCCAUGUACUCUGCUUCACAUGUAGAUCCCGCCACAACGCUUUGCUUGCAACUCCACCAGCUUACUGCCCCACCAUUCAAAAUAUACACGUAUCCGGUUUCCGACUUAGAGUCAUCCAGAUCUGUGUCGAAGCUAGCAUCAACGUAACCCUUUACGACGAGCUCUUCGUCACCUCCAUAAACGAGAAACAUAUCCUUAGUCCUUUUUAGGUACUUGAGGAUAUUCUUGACUGCUGUCUAGUGUUCCAUGCCGGGAUUACUUUGGUACCUUCCUACCAAACUUACGGCAAGGUUUUCAUCAGGUCUGGUACACAGCAUAGCAUACAUGAUAGACCCUAUGGCCGAGGCAUAGGGGAUGACACUCAUCUUUUCUCUAUCUUCUGUCGUGGUCGUGCAUUGAGCCUCGCUCAAUCUCGUACCUUGCAAUACAGGCAAGAACCCUUCUUUUACUGAUCCAUUUUGAACUUCUUCAAUAUCUUAUCAAGGUAUGUACUCUGUGAAAGACCAAUGAGGCGUCUCGAUCUAUCUCUAUAGAUCUUGAUGCCUAAUAUAUAAGCAGCUUCUCCAAGAUCCUUCAUUGAAAAACACGUGUUCAAGUAGGCCUUUAUGCUUUCCAAGAAUUCUAUAUCAUUUCCCAUCAACAAUAUGUCAUCCACAUCCAAUAUGAGAAAUGCUACAAAGCUCCCACUCACUUUCUUGUAAAUGCAGACUUCUCCAUAAGUAUGCGUAAACCCAAACGCUUUGAUCAUCUCAUCAAAACGAAUGUUCCAUCUCCGAGAUGCUUGCACCAGCCCAUAAAUCGAAUGUUGGAGCUUGUACACCUUGUCAGCAUUCUUAGGAUCGACAAAACCUUCCGGCUGCAUCAUAUACAAUUCUUCCUUAAGGAAACCAUUAAGGAAUGUUGUUUUGACGUCCAUUUGCCAUAUUCAUAAUCAUAGAAUGCGGCAAUUGCUAACAUCGUAGUCAACCCCUUGAACUUGCCGAUAACCCUUAGCGACAAGCCGAGCUUUAUAGAUGGUCACAUUACCAUCCGCGUCUGUCUUCUUCUUAAAGAUCCAUUUAUUUUCUAUGGCUCGCCGAUCAUCGGGCAAGUCAGUCAAAGUCCAUACUUUGUUUUCAUACAUGGAUCUUAUCUCGGAUUUCAUGGCUUCCAGCCAUUUGUUGGAAUUCAGGCCCGCCAUCGCUUCUUCAUAGUUCGAAGUUCACCGUUGUCUAACAACAUGAUUUCCAAGACAGGGUUGCCGUACCACUCUGGUGCGGGACGUGUCCCCGUGGACCUACGAAGUUCAGUAGCAACUUGAUCUGAAGUUUCAUGAUCAUCAUCAUCAAUUUCCUCUCUAGUCGUUGCAGGCACCUUAGGAACAUUUUCUUGAGCUGCGCCACUUACCGGUUCAAGAGGUAAUAAUACUUCAUCAAGUUCUACUUUCCUCCCACUUAUUUCUUUCGAGAGAAACUCUUUCUCUAGAAAGGACCCAUUCUUGGCAACAAAGAUCUUGCCUUCGGAUCUGAGGUAGAAGGUAUACCCAAUAGUUUCUUUAGGGUAUCCUAUGAAGACGCAUUUUUCCAAUUUGGGUUCGAGCUUUUCAGGUUGAAGUUUCCUUACAUAAGCAUCGCAUCCCCAAACUUUUAGAAAUGACAUCUUAGGUGUCUUCCCAAACCAUAAUUCAUACGGUGUCAUCUCAACGGAUUUCGACGGAGCCCUAUUUAAAGUGAAUGCGGCAGUCUCUAAAGCAUAGCCCCAAAAUGACAGCGGUAAAUCGGUAAGAGACAUCAUAGAUCGCACCAUAUCUAAUAGAGUGCGAUUAUGACAUUCCGACACACCAUUACGCUGAGGUGUUCCAGGCGGCGUGAGUUGUGAAACUAUUCCACAUUUUCUUAAGUGUGUGCCAAAUUCGUGACUCAAGUAUUCUCCCCCACGAUCUGAUCGCAAGAACUUGAUUUGCCUGUCACGUUGAUUCUCAACCUCACUUUGAAAUUCCUUGAACUUUUCAAAGGUCUCAGACUUGUGUUUCAUUAAGUAGACAUACCCAUAUCUACUCAAGUCAUCAGUGAGGGUGAGAACAUAACGAUAGCCACCGCGCCUCAACACUCAUUGGACCGCACACAUCAGUAUGUAUGAUUUCCAAUAAGUUGGUUACUCGCUCCAUUGUUCCUGAGAACGGAGUCUUGGUCAUUUUACCCAUGAGGCAUGGUUCGCACGUGUCAAAUGAUUCGUAAUCAAGAGACUUUAAAAGUCUAUCUGCAUGGAGCUUCUUCAUGCGUUUGACACCUAUGUGACCAAGGCGGCAAUGCCACAAGUAUGUGGGACUAUCAUUAUCAACCUUACAUCUUUUGGUAUUCACACUAUGAAUAUGUGUAACAUUAUGCUCGAGAUUCAUUAAGAAUAAACCAUUCACCAAUGGAGCAUGACCAUAAAACAUAUCUCUCAUAUAAAUAGAACAACCAUUAUUCUCGGAUUUAAAUGAGUAGCCAUCUCAAAUUAACCGAGAUCCUGAUACAAUGUUCAUGCUCAAAGCUGGCAGUAAAUAACAAUUAUUGAGGUUUAAAACUAAUCCCAUAGGCAAAUGUAGAGGCAGCGUGCCGACGGCGAUCACAUCAACCUUGGAACCAUUCCCGACGCACAUCGUCACCUCGUCCUUCGCCAGUCUCCGUUUAAUCCGCAGCUCCUGCUUUGAGUUACAAAUGUGAGCAACUGCACCGGUAUCAAAUACCCAGGAGCUACUACGAGUACUGGUAAGGUACACAUCAAUUACAGGUAUAUCACAUAUACCUUUAGUGUUGCCGGCCUUCUUGUCCGCUAAGUAUUUGGGGCAGUUCCGCUUCCAGUGACUACUUCCCUUGCAAUAAAAACACUCAGUCUCGAGCUUGGAUCCAUUCUUUGGCUUCUUCCCGGAAACUUGCUUAGCGGGCGCGGCAACUCCCUUGCCGUCCUUCUUGAAUUCUUCUUACCCUUGCCUUUCUUGAACUUAGUGGUUUUAUUCACCAUCAACACUUGAUGUUCCUUUUUGAUUUCCACCUCUGCUGAUUUCAGCAUUGAAUAUACCUCAGGAAUGGUCUUUUCCAUCCCCUGCAUAUUGAAGUUGAUCACAAAGCUCUUGUAGCUCGGUGGAAGCGACUGAAGGAUUCUGUCAAUGACCGCGUCAUUCGGGAGGUUAACUCCCAGCUGAGUCAAGCGGUUAUGCAACCCAGACAUUUUGAUUAUGUGCUCACUGACAGAACUAUUUUCCUCCAUCUUAUAGCUGAAGAACUUGUCGGAGACUUCAUAUCUCUCGACCCGGGCAUGAGCUUGAAAAACCAUUUUCAGCUCUUCGAACAUCUCAUAUGCUCCAUGUCUCUCAAAAUGCUUUUGGAGCCCCGGUUCUAAGCUGUAAAGCAUGCCGCACUGAACGAGGGAGUAAUCAUCAGCACGUAACUGCCAAGCGUUGAUAAUGUCUUGGUUCUCUGGGACAGGUGCGUGACCUAACGGUGCUUCUAGGACAUAAUAUUUCUUGGCAGCUACGAGGAUGAUCCUCAGGUUCCGGACCCAGUCCGUAUAGUUGCUGCCAUCGUCUUUCAGCUUGGUUUUCUCUAGGAACGCGUUGAAAUUGAGGACAACGUGGGCCAUUUGAUCUACAAGACAUAUUGUAAAGAUUUUAGACUAAGUUCAUGAUAAUUAAGUUCAUCUAAUCAAAUUAUACAAUGAACUCCCACUCAGAUAGACAUCCCUCCAGUCAUCUAAGUGAAACAUGAUCCAAGUUAACUAGGCUGUGUCGGAUCAUCACGUGAAACGGACUAGUCAACAUCGGUGAACAUCUUCAUGUUGAUCGUAUCUUCUAUACGACUCAUGCUCGACCUUUCGGUCUUCUGUGUUCCGAGGCCAUGUCUGUACAUGCUAGGCUCGUCAACUAAACCUAAGUGUAUUGCGUGUGUAAAUCUGGCUUACACCCGUUGUAUUCGAACGUUAGAAUCUAUCACACUCGAUCAUCACGUGGUGCUUCGAAACAACGAACCUUCGCAACGGUGCACAGUUAGGGGGAACACUUUCUUGAAAUUAUUUCGAGGGAUCAUCUUAUUUAAGCUACCGUCGUUCUAAGCAAAUAAGAUGUAAAACAUGAUAAACAUCACAUGCAAUCAAAUAGUGACAUGAUAUGGCCAAUAUCAUUUGCUCCUUUUGAUCUCCAUCUUUGGGGCUCCAUGAUCAUCGUUGUCACCAGCAUGACACCAUGAUCUCCAUCAUCAUGUCUUCUUGAAGUUGUCUCGUCAUCUAUUACUUCUACUACUAUGGCUAAUGCUUUAGCAAUAAAGUAAAGUAAUUACAUGACGUUUAUGUUGACACGCAGGUCAUAAAAAAAUAAAGACAACUCCUAUGGCUCCUGCCGGUUGUCAUACUCAUCGACAUGCAAGUCGUGAUUCCUAUUACAAGAACAUGAUCAAUCUCAUACAUCACAUAUAUCAUUCAUCACAUCCUUUUGGCCAUAUCACAUCAGACGGCACAUGCUGCAAAAACAAGUUAGACGUCCUCUAAUUGUUGUUGCAAGUUUUUACAUGGCUGCUAUAGGUUUCUAGCAAGAACGUGUCUUACCUACGCCAAAACCACAACGUGAUAUGCCAAUUUCUAUUUACCCUUCAUAAGGACCCUUUUCAUCGAAUCCGAUCUAACUAAAGUGGGAGAGAUAGACACCCGCCAGCCACCUUAUGCAAGUAAUGCAUGUCAAUCGGUGGAACCAGUCUCACGUAAGCGUACGUGUAAGGUCGGUCCGGGCCGCUUCAUCCCACGAUGCCGCCGAAUCAAGAUAAGACUAGUAACGGCAAGCAAAGUGACAAUAUCCACGCCCACAACUGCUUUGUGUUCUACUCGUGCAUAGAAACUACGCAUAGACCUGGCUCAUGAUGCCACUAUUGGGGAAUGUAGCAGAAUUUUAAAAUUUUCUACGCAUCACCAAGAUCAAUCUAUGGAGUUAUCUAGCAAUGAGGAAGAGAGGAGUGCAUCUACAUACCCUUGUAGAUCGCGCGCGGAAGCGUUCAAGAGAACGGGGUUGAUGGAGUCGUACUCGUCGUGAUCCAAAUCACCGAUGACCAAGUGCCGAACGGACAGCACCUCCGCGUUCAACACACGUCCGGUUGGGAAGACGUCUCCUCCUUCUUGAUCCAGCAAGGGGGAAGGAGAGGUUGAUGAAGAUCCAGCAGCACGACGGCGUGGUGGUGGAUGCAACAGGAUCCCGGCAGGGCUUCGCCAAGCGCAAGCGGGGAGGAGAGGUGUUACGGAGGGAGAGAGAGGCGCCAAGAGCAAGGGUGCGGCUGCCUUCCCUCCCCCCUCUUUAUAUAGGGGCCAUGGCGGGCGCCGGCCCUAGGAGAUGGAUCUCCAAGGGGGGCGAAGGCCAAGGGGUGGCUCCCCCCCCCAAGCCAAGUGGGGGGCGCCCCCACCCCUAGGGUUUCCCAACCCUAGGCGCAGGGGAGGCCCAAGGGGGCGCACCAGCCCACUAGGGGCUGGUUCCCCUCCCAAUUCAGCCCAUGGGGCCCUCCGGGAUGGGUGGCCCCACCCGGUGGACCCCCGGGACCCUUCCGGUGGUCCCGAUACAAUACCGGUUACCCCCGAAACCUUCCCGAUGGCCGAAACUGUACUUCCUAUAUAUAAAUCUUUACCUCCAAACCAUUUCAGAACUCCUCGUGACGCCCGGGAUCUCAUCCGGGACUCCGAACAACUUUCGGCUUACUACAUACUAAUAUCUAUACAACCCUAGCGUCACCGAACCUUAAGUGUGUAGACCCUACGGGUUUCGGAGACAUGCAGACAUGACUGAGACGCCUCUCCAGUCAAUAACCAACAGCGGGAUCUGGAUACCCAUGUUGGCUCCCACAUGCUCCACGAUGAUCUCAUCGGAUGAACCACGAUGUCGAGCAUUCAAUCAAUCUGUAUACAAUUCCCUUUAUCAAUCAGUACGUUACUUGCCCGAGACUCGAUCGUCAGUAUCCCAAUACCUUGUUCAAUCUCGUUACCGGCAAGUCACUUUACUCAUACCAUAAUGCAUGAUCCCGUGAUCAACCACUUGGUCACAUUGAGCUCAUUAUGAUGAUGCAUUACCGAGUGGGCCCAGAGAUACCUCUUCAUCACGCGGAGUGACAAAUCCCAGUCUCGAUUCAUGCCAACCCAAUAGACACUUUCGGAGAUACCUGUAAUGUACCUUUAUAGUCACCCAGUUACGUUGUGACGUUUGGCACACCCAAGGCACUCCUACGGUAUCCGGGAGUUUCACAAUCUCAUGGUCUAAGGAAAUGAUACUUGACAUUCGGAAAAGCUACAGCAGAUGAACUACACGACCUUUGAGCUAUGCUUAGGAUUGGGUCUUGUCCAUCACAUCAUUCUCCUAAUGAUGUGAUCCCAUUAUCAAUGACAUCCAAUGUCCAUAGUCAGGAAACCAUGACUAUCUUUUGAUCAACAAGCUAGUCAACUAGAGGCUCACUAGGGACGUGUUGUGGUCUAUGUAUUCACACAUGUAUUACGAUUUCCGGAUAACACAAUUAUAGCAUGAACAAUAGACAAUUAUCAUGAACAAAGAAAUAUAAUAAUAACCAUUUUAUUAUUGCCUCUAGGGCAUAUUUCCAACACCUACGUACCCCCAAACGAUCAUAUACGGAGCCAAAACCCUAAUUCCACCGCCGCAACUUUCUGUAUCCACGAGAUCCCAUCUUGGGGCCUGUUCCGGAGCUCCGCCAGAGGGGGCAUCGAUCACGGAGGGCUUCUACAUCAACACCAUAGCCUCUCUGAUGAAGUGUGAGUAGUUCACCUCAGACCUACGGUUCCAUAGUUAUUAGCUAGAUGGCUUCUUCUCUCUUUUUGGAUCUCAAUACAAUGUUCUCCCCAUCUCUUGUGGAGAACUAUUCGAUGUAAUCUUCUUUUUGCGGUGUGUUUGUUGAGACCGAUGAAUUGUGGGUUUAUGAUCAAGUCUAUCUAUGAAUAAUAUUUGAAUCUUCUCUGAAUUGUUUUAUGUAUGAUAGGUUAUCUUUGCAAGUCUCUUCGAAUUAUCAGUUUGGUUUGGCCUACUAGAUUGAUCUUUCUUGCAAUGGGAGAAGUGCUUAGCUUUGGGUUCAAUCUUGCGGUGUCCUUUCCCAGUGACAGUAGGGGCAGCAAGGCACGUAUUAUAUUGUUGCCAUCGAGGACAACAAGAUGGAGUUUUCAUCAUAUUGCAUGAGUCUAUCCCUCUACAUCAUGUCAUCUUGCUUAAGGCGUUAAUCUGUUUUUAACUUAAUACUCUAGAUGCUUGCUGGAUAGCGAUCGAUUAGUGGAGUAAUAGUAGUAGAUGCAGGCAGGAGUCGGUCUACUUGUCUCGGACGUGAUGCCUAUAUACAUGAUCAUACCUAGAUAUUCUCAUAACUAUGCUCAAUUCUGUCAAUUGCUCAACAAUAAUUUGUUCACCCACCGUAGAAUAUUUAUGCUCUCGAGAGAAGCCACUAGUGAAACCUAUGGCCCCGGGUCUAUCUUUAUCAUAUUAAUCUCCUACUACUUAGUUAUUUCCUUUGCUUUUUACUUUGCCUUUAUUUUACUUUGCAUCUUUAUCACAAAAAUACGAAAAAAAUUAUCUUUAUCAUAUCUAUCAAAUCUCACUCUCGUAAGUGGCCGUGUAGGAAUUGACAACCCCUAUUCGCGUUGGUUGCGAGGAUUUAUUUGUUUUGUGCAGGUACGAGGGACUCGCGCGUAGCCUCCUACUGGAUUGAUACCUUGGUUCUCAAAACCUGAGGGAAAUACUUACGCUACUUUGCUGCAUCAUCCCUUCCUCUUCGGGGAAAACCAAGGCAGUGCUCAAGAGGUAGCAAGGGUUCCUUUUUGUCGACGAUCCGAUGUUUCAACCCUGUUUUCCAGGUGGCCAACGCGUCGCUAAACUUGGUGACGGCGUGUUUGUUUAUCUUCUUCAUUGCCAGGUCCUUAUCUGGAUCUUUAUUAUCCUUUUCACUGCGGUCUGGGAACAAGAUUAUCUGGUGCAGUUUCUUAAGGAGGGAGGGCCUCAUAUUAUCUAUCUUCUGUAGUUUCCCAUCGUUGAUCGUGGCAGUUGUCCGUACGAUGCAACCUAUUUGAUUGCCGUAGCACGAUCGCGCUUCCUCGGGCGCUAUUGUCUCAAAAAUACCGCCGUCCAUCUCCGUGACCGCCAGUCUACUACUCAUGAGCUGGUUUGGGCGCUGUGGCCUCUUUGCUUUCGGUUCUAGACCAGCUCCGCUAGUCUCGGCGCCUGUCUCAGUUUCAUCAUCGGUCCGCAUGUCGGUAUCAGUCCCCGAUGCGACACCACAGUUGCUGCAACAUGGGUAAGGGAGACCACGUCAGUGGUGGGGGGUCUGAAAAUCAGAACACACUUUCGCGCGUCGCGGGCCGCCUCUCAGACAGCUACUGGGGAGGCGGUGGAGUACCUGGGUGCGCGGCGAAUCCCCGGGAACUCGGUGACCAACUUCCUUCCCGUGUGGCGCAUGGAGACGACGGCGACCCCGGCGAAGAGCAGCUUAGCCGCGAGCUGCACAGCCUCGUCCACCUCCUAAGUUGGGACCUCCGCGCGAGCGUUGCGGGGCCGCCACUCGGAUGGCUUCUGGAAGGCGGUUGUACAUGGGCACAUGGUGAAUCCCGGCGAGAGCUGGCCAUUGGCGCGCGCAAGUAGACGACGAUGUCCUCGAAGAAGAGCAGCCCGGCCAGCUCGCCUCACUAUCCUUUGAUUAGAAAUGAAAGAUUGGGAAGAAGCAGACUUGAGCCUGCAGGGAAAGGAUAAGGUGACGAUGCAGUCUCCACUCGUUCGGGGCGACACUCGUACUGAAUGUAUGAGAAACGUGACGUGGCAGAGACCCCAAGAUACUCCCUCCAUUUAUUUUUAGUCUGCAUAUAAAGUUUGGUCAAAGUCAAGAUUUGUAAAUUUUAACUAACUUUAUAAUAAAAAAAUAUCAACAUUCACAAUAUGAAAUCAAUAUUACCAGAUGCGUCAUGAAAUGUAUUUCCAUACUAUAUAGUUUUGGUAUUGUAGAUGUUCAUAUUUUUUUAUAUAUAUGGGAAGUAGAGGCACUCUUCUAUAUAAUGAAGUUUAUAAUAUAUGUGCUUAUAUUGUACUAUAAUUGUUUGAAUAACUUAGCAUAUAUUCAGAUGUAUGAUAUCUGUAAUUUAAACGCUUGAAUUUUACAUAUGAAUAUUUAUUAAUAAAUAUGUACCCCUAUAAUAGCUAGGCCGUGCAGUUGCACGGGUAGAUGACUAGUGAUUACAAUCUUGCUUGUGUGCAAGUCAAGCUUAUCUAGUUUACACGUAACAACUUAUAGAACAUUACAAAAUUUAUGCUUGCUAAUAACUUCUAGAACACUACAACACUUGACAUGUAAAAGGAAUUUGAUGAGUCAUGGCCUACUAAAGCAAGUUACAUUACUAGUCUUAUCUAUCUUAACAGACCACACAAGAUUACAAACUAUGUACCGUGACAGCCAUGCUUAUCUAGUUUAUGCGUAACAAUUUGCAGAAAAUUACAAACUUAGUUUCAGAAAGAUAGGCAAUCUAGAUUAGUGUUUGAGCUGUAAAGUGAAUAAGAUGAGUCAUGCAUGUCAUCACACCUUUUUGGUGGUGGAAUGAUAGUGCAACAACAAGGAACUUUAAUGACCAGUCCAAGAAUACACUUGUAAGUAGUGCCACCAAACAGAACAUACCAAAUGAUGAUUUUGAGAAGCAUCCAAGCACUUUCCACACAAACAAAUGCCAAUUGUGAAAGAGAUCAUUCCAUGGCAGCUAUAAAUAGCCCCAUAGCAUGACGAUCAUCCUUCCUCAUCCAUCAUUCUCAUAAGUAGAGCACAUCAUUUAAGCCAAGCAAGUUGUGGUCAAUACAAAUCCACCAUGAAGACCUUUCUCAUCCUUGCCCUCCUUGCUAUCGUGGCGACCACCGCCACAACUGCAGUUAGAGUUCCAGUGCCACAAUUGCAGCCACAAAAUCCAUCUCAGCAACAGCCACAGGAGCAAGUUCCAGUGGUACAACAACAACAAUUUCUAGGGCAGCAACAACCAUUUCCACCACAACAACCAUAUCCACAGCCGCAACCAUUUCCAUCACAACAACCAUAUCUGCAGCUGCAACCAUUUCCGCAGCCGCAACUACCAUAUUCGCAGCCACAACCAUUUCAACCACAACAACCAUAUCCACAACCGCAACCACAGUAUUCGCAACCACAACAACCAAUUUCACAGCAGCAGCAGCAGCAGCAGCAGCAGCAACAACAACAACAACAACAACAACAACAACAACAACCACAACAAAUCCUUCAACAAAUUUUGCAACAACAACUGAUUCCAUGCAUGGAUGUUGUAUUGCAGCAACACAACAUAGCGCAAGGAAGAUCACAAGUUUUGCAACAAAGUACUUACCAGCUGUUGCAAGAAUUGUGUUGUCAGCACCUAUGGCAGAUCCCUGAGCAGUCGCAGUGCCAGGCCAUCCACAAUGUUGUUCAUGCUAUUAUUCUGCAUCAACAACAAAAACAACAACAACAACAACAACAACAACAACCAUCGAGUCAGGUCUCCUUCCAACAGCCUCAGCAACAAUAUCCAUUAGGCCAGGGCUCCUUCCGGCCAUCUCAGCAAAACCCACAGGCCCAGGGCUCUGUCCAGCCUCAACAACUGCCCCAGUUCGAGGAAAUAAGGAACCUAGCGCUACAGACACUACCUGCAAUUUGCAAUGUCUACAUCCCUCCAUAUUGCACCAUCGCGCCAUUUGGCAUCUUCGGUACUAACUGAGAAGAAAAUAACUCUAGUACUAGAUAUAUGAAACACCGUUUUCUCAGUCCAUGGUUUGGUCGUUGUAGCGGUGAAAAAAUAAUGUGGCAUGCACUAUCAUGUAAGAACCCAAACUAUACUAGUUCAAACUUGGGAAUAAAAGACAAACACAGGUCUUGUCUACAUAUUUAUGUCGCAUCUAUUUAUAUAUUAAAAGUAAUAUAAGGUGAACCAGGAGCAAGGUAAAUAUGCUAGAAAAUUGCACGUUAAUUAGAAAUUACUAGCCCUCAAUCCGGUAAAUCUUAACAAAUAGAAUUAUCUUGACCGUUAGAUUUAUGUAACAUAUAUAAUUCUCUGGGCCUCCAACGACUGUACGUGACACAUCUGAACGCACAUAUGUUAAAGAAAAUAUAUUUGGUAAAUGGUGGGCCUCUUUAAAAAGAGAACUCACGUACAUGCACCAACUAAGAAAAACACAUACAUGUAAACGGGAAAAGGGCUCCACCCCGUUGAAAAAAUAUACAUCUGGAGGCCACUUUGUUUCCUCAUAAAAAAAAACUUACGUUAAAAAGAUUGCAUGCAUCCCAGGGAAAAUAGUCAAGAAGAAGUCGGACUCUUCCUUACAAAAACAAGGAACGUGUUAAGUUGACUUCAAAGAAAAAAGGAACAUGUUAAGUUAAAAAAAACAAGAAACCUGUUAAGUUAGAAAAAAACAAGGAACGUGUUGUCCUAGGAAAGAUAUGUGUCAAAUCUUACAAAAAAAAGAAUACACACACGUACGUUCAUGCACUUGGAAAAUAGAAAAAAAAAGGAACAUCACGUAUGUAUACACUUCGGAAACUCAUUACAUGACCAUGUCUGAUAUACUCCUCUAAUGCUUAAUAUUAGUGCCUAAUAAUUUAUAUUUAAAAUUUAAUUUACUGAUCAAAUAUCCCCACUGUUUAAAUUUUAAUUUGGCACAUUGUUUGGCUAUAGUAUGAACCUAAAUUUCCUCUUAUUAUUAUAUAUCAUGAUAAUAAUCCAAAGGCGACUAAUCUGCGCCGGCGCACCGGCGCAAUCAAUUCGGCCCGACACAGCGCGGCCGUUUGAUUAAAUUGCAUUUAACCGUCAGAUCUAGAAUCAUUUUAUUUCCAAUUAAACGGAUUCAACCAAACAGCAGAGGGGAAAACAAAGCAGCACCGCCGCCAACACUAGUCAUGGACGACCGAUGUAGCAAAACCUUGAAGAACCGCCGCCGGUCGCCACCCUCGCCGCUGGUCGCCGCCCUCGCCGCCUGCGUUUCUCAUCGGCUUCAUGCAUGCAACAACAUGCACUCGUGAUUGCAGGCUUGCAGCUCCGGCUCCGGGGGACAUGGCCGCAUCUCCGGUAGCGCCGGCCGCCAGCCGCAGCACCUGUCGUUGUGGUCACGCUGUACCUCGCCGUGUGCCCUCCCAAGGCUCUUGCUGGUUCCAACAAAAAACGAUACCUAUUGUAGCAAAAAAGUUUAUCGCUUCCAGCAAAAAAGCUUACCGCUAUAGCCCGCCAUCAUCAUUGUAGCAAAAAUGUUAACUCGAUGUAGCUUCUGUGGUUGCCGACUGCGGCCAAAAAUGACGUGGUUGUAGCAAAACACAAAAGAAAAACGCCGGCCGUCCGCUGUGUAUGGUGGUAACAAACCCUAUAGCCGGUGGUAGCGAAAAACUUCACUGUUUGCAGCAAAAAAAUGUUGUCGCCCGUCGUCGAGGUUGCAUCAUCUUCAUGAAUUAUGUCGCAAAAAAACGUUGUCGCCGGUAGUAGCAAAUGAAGCCGCCGGUAGUAACAAAACAAGACACUGGUUCCAGCCAAAAAAAUCAGCGACAGAACCUUUUGUUGGUUCCAACAAAAAAACUUGUCGGUUGUAACAUCCCUCGCCGCCGGAUGUAGCAUCUCCCAGGGCUAGUUGCAACACUCCAUAAAAAAAGUUGUCUAUGAGCGCAUCCAUGGCAACUGCUGCACCGUCAGCAACGAGGGGAAGAGGAGGCAAUGAAAAUCGUUCGAGUCGUAGCUCCACUGGACACGGCUGCAGCAUGGGGAGUCCAAAAAUCUGUCACAAGCAAGAUGCGCCUCGCCAUCCUCCUGCGCAGGAGAGAGAAGAAAAAGGAAUAAGAGGAAGAAGAAACGAAACGGGAGAAAGAAAAAAAGAAACGAUUGGUUGUGGGCUCAGGCAAUUAGUCAAAUGAGGGGCACGCGGGGCCGUAGGAUACAGCGCAAUCGAACGAAGUGCGCGCGUCCGGCCGAAGACUCAGCUGGACUGCCGGUCCAGCUGGAAAUGUUUCCCUAAUACAAAGGCUUUUCUGAAUGACAAGUCGUCUGAGUUAUCGGCUAACUAGAAAAAAGAUAAAUAUGCUAGAUAAUUCCAUAAUAAUUAGAAAUAUCUAGCCUUUAAUUAUGUAAAUCAGAAAAUCACAACCGUUGGAUUUACUUUAAAGGUAAAUUUCUCUAAAUUCCCACCAUUGCCAGUAUGUAGAAACAUGUGCUGCUUCAAUUCUCCCUUAAUCACCAAUCAAUCAACAACUGAAAACAUACCUCAGUUAAAAAAACUGAACAAAAAAAAGAAAAAAAGAAGAAAGGACAAGAUACACGCAUGUACACGACAGCCUUGGCUUGAAACACAUCAGUAGAUCAAGUGUCCGCCUCCCUUACACAGAAUAAAUUCUAGGGAAGAAAAUAAUAGUGCAACCUAACCUUAUACGUACUAUUCUAUCCUCACGUCCCAUGAGGUUUACUAGCCUACUGCCGCCGCAUCAUGCCAUCCUCUCCUUUCAGCUCCCUCCUUGCGGCGCCACUACUCGCCUAGGGAUAUUGCUGCUCAGACCGUGGAGCUUAACCUGCUUCUUCUUCAGCAAAUAUGGAACUGCUUUAGGAUCCUUCUGACAUCAGCGCGUAUGGGCCUCAUUAUACUGCAGCUCCUGGACCUCCUACAAUUGGUUGGCUAUGGCCAGUUGAUCGAUGUGCUGAAGUCCAGGUCUGUUUGCUGGCACAUAUGCUUUGGAAAUAGGCCACUAUGUUUGUACUUCGAAAUUGUUUCUGUAUUCUUCAGUGGUACAUCCUUUUAAGCGCCAGUUUUUUAUGUUAAUUCAUGCUGACAACACUUAACCUAGCCUUUCAUGUUCACGUACUAAAUACAGGAGCAAGUAAAAACAACAGACCACCUAAUUGCUCUGCAAGUUCUACAUAGGAAAAUUUGUCAUGUUCUACGAUCGCACCAUCCCACCCUUCUCUCUUGGUAUGGGCGCCAAUUGAGGGAUUGAUAAAACUGAAACGAAGACGUCACAGGGCUGGAAGUACCGCUAGCCUGGUUCGCACUGCAACCUACCCAACGCCAUCAGAAACUAGCAACUGAGUCAGGUGUUGAUCGAUUCUCUCAAAUUGCUCUCAUGUAAGUACUACCCCUUGCAUGUGCGUACAUACCUUUGUUGCAUUCUCAAACAGAUAGAACAUGUAUGAUCGGUGCAUGGCUAUUUUUCAUCACAUGACAUCCAGAUAACAAGCAUGAAAGGACUACAUUGGAGAUCAAAAAAUAUUGGUUCCUGGCUAGAGUACCACUACCUAUGGACUUGUCUCCAUAGAAUUUGUUCCCAAGAUGUUAUUUUAAUUAACCUCUUUAGCUUUCUUCCGUUGCAAACGGUGAUGUGCAUCAUGGUAUAUACGUGACCAUCUUGCACAUGUAUACACAAGAGGCUCAGACGGAGGUGCUGGAUUCUGGACGAGGGAAUAUGAAGCAGGAGUGAGCGAAGAGUAAAUAAUGGUGGGAGUACCGAUUGGUGUUAUGAAGAAAAAUGCCAUCCAAAGAUUGAUUAGUGUCAUGGAAGAUUAAUUUCUGAAUGCGAAUAUAUAUGUUACAUUGGUUUGGAUCUUUUUGAGAUAAUUGCACCUAAAUUAGGUUCUUUCUUAUUUCAUAUGUAUACCUUAUUUCAGUAAAAGUUCACAACGAACUUAGUAGGACAAAUAUAAUUUUGUUUGUUCUUUCUGUUGUCCGCCACCAAAGCUCAGUUUGAACUCUCUAGAAAUGGACAAUGAUUUAUGCAUUCUAUAUCUUCUUGAUUGAUUAGCCAUGACAAGGAAAUAAAAGGAUUGACUGAUAUAGCAUAACUUUGGAACGAUCUGUUCGUAGAGGUUACUACAAAUUAGAGUAGUGUCUGUUGGAAUUUUGCUAGUAGGCCUUUGGCCCAAAGCCCAACUAAAAUUCUGAAAUUCUCUUCGCUCAUUCAUGCACACAUGUGAGUGGAGUGAGUGAGACUAAAGUUUAGAGAGAGUUGCACCUCUUUAUAAGGUGAGCUCUUCUACCACUUGUAUGAGCAUGAGAAGAGGAGACCUAUACACGCGCUCCUCCUCCUCGCUCACCACGUCUCGUCACGCCGCGCCGCGCCGCGGAUUGCGGGAUUGAGCCGAGCCGAGGACGUUGUCUAUAUUUUUGCUGUUUGGGAAAAAUUAAUAAGUCAUUAAUUAAUAAUUAAUGGAUGCGUUAAUUACUGAACCAUUUUCGAUUCUUUUGGAUCGUGACGACUCGGACGUGGGGUUUACUCCCACGAUCUACCCGGCCCACACUAUAUAGUCAGGCAGACGUCUACCCUAGCCGCCGCCACUUCGUAUGGUUUCUCACCACCGUUACAGAUCGUUGCGCCGCCAAGCAAGUUUUCUCCAUUCCUCCUGUCGGCAUGCACUGGGAGAAGGGACAGCAGGCCUCCGGAACCCCGCCUCUCGUGAUCCUGUACGGGAGAGGGGCGAUCAGAUUUUUGGGGAGCGCACUCGCACGACUGCUGGCAGCGACGACUUCGCAAACGACGACUUCUUCCCCGACCUCGGCAACCUCAUCCUCGACUUCUGCACCGUAUGUUAUUCUAUCCUUCUUGUUCGAGAUCGUGGUAGAAUUCAGAUUUCUAGCAUGUUCCCUAGAUGUGAUUUGUUCAUCUACUAUUCUAAUUCGCAUGAUUAGUUUAAUCUUUGCUAUUGCUGUCAUGAUCUAUUUCCUAUUUAUUCGGAUUAAAUCUCGUAGUAAUUUGCUCAUUUUUCCAACAGUGCCAUCUAAUAGAUGAUGUAAAUCUCCUCAAGUUUGACGUUGUUGAGCUAAUUUACAAAAAAAACCUCAUCAUUAUUGGAUGUCCUUAACAGCUCAAGAACAAGUUGGGGUCGAAAUAAUGGAUUUUACACUUUUACAUUAAAGGUUUAGCUAAAGCAAGCAGGUGUUUUUAAACCUGAAUUUUUUUCCUCCUGAAUUUCUUUGUAUUUUCUUAUUGACACUAUUUAUACAAUCAUCUGACAAAGAUUAGCUAAAGCUGUUUGUAGAUACGUUCAAACCUGAAAAGCUUCUUUGGUUAUCCUUUUAAUAGUUCUACGUUUAUUUUCUCAUAGGUCUUAAUUCUUAUGUAAUACCAAGAUGCAUUGUGGUAGUGUACAUGUGUUAAAUUCAGGUUGUUAUUCACAAUUUGCGACAAAAUUUAGCUCACGCUACAUUUAAAUAUGUUGAAAUGUGAAAGCUCUUUUUCUUCUCCUUUCUACACCUUGCAUCGGAUUGCAUCCCUUUAGUUAUCCAACAUUUUGUACAACAUGUAGAGAUUAGGAAGUUCAUCAUAGUUUGUCUAUUUCCGUGCUAAUAAAUGUAUGAAAUCUGCAUUUCCAAGCUACUAGGACAAGUAAAAAAUAAUAAUUUUACUAUAGGAUUCAAAAACAGCAGUUCUGAAGUGCACUUUAUUUAUUUGUGAAAGUGAUCACAUUUUGUUUCAUUUUUCUAUAGACAAAUCUACUAAUACAUACUCACGAUAAAACUAUAAAAGUUCUAGUCCGCACAUUGGGCGGGCCACCCGGCUAGUUAGUCUAAAGAUAACAAAAUGAGUCUGGAAUUUGAAUUAAAUUGAAGUAUUUUCUUGGACUAUCCACAUCCUUGGCUUGCCCCUGAUCAAUUAUUUCCAGAGAAGCAUUCAAUUCAUCAAUCAAUUACAUUGAUUUUAGUGGCUGGUACUUCUCCUCGACAUCAGUAUAUUCACCGUGGCCACUCCAAAUCGGCAAGAAUGAGGUACCAGUGCUCUGGAGCAGUGCAAGCUAAUUGCUUCUCAUGUGAAGGGGUGCGGGCGCGGGAGAGGUAUUUCUGGUGGGCCAAGGGAUAAGAAGCGACCGUGGCAGCGGUACAGACGCCCGCAAAGCCCCAUAAUUUGUUUUUGGUUUACAGGAAAAAUGCACAUCCAUACCGGCCUGGGGAAUAUAGCACUGUAUUGCAUGGAAAACCAUGUCCGGAUGGUUGUGAGCGGUUUGAGGGUUAGCUUUUGUAACGCCCGGUUAGUUAUGCUAUAGCAAUUCCCUGCUAAUGAUGUCACGUCACCACGAUUACUGUUGUUAACCUCACAAUGAUUCAAUCCCGUUCAAAUUCAAAUUUGAAAUAAAGGUAAACAUCAAAAGUUUUCAAACAUUAAAACUAAAAUCUUUGAGAGGUGACAAAUAAUGCAUAAGUAAUUAUGGUGAAGAAACCACACUUUAAUCAAAUGUUUAAAUACUCUAAAAUGAAAAAAAAACAGUGACUUAAACUAUUAUUUAAAUGCUUUUAAAAUAGUAAAAAUCUUCUAACUAAAUUAUUUGGGUACCAAACUUUUGGUGGCAGUGGUAUAUUUAGUAGAACUAAUUUAGAUGCUAAUUAUAUAAUUUACAAAAUUAGAGUAAAUUGAAAAAUAGGAUAAAACGGAAAAAGGAAAGACAAAACAAAUAAAAGCAAAAGGGGGCAACCCCUCGCUGGGCCUCGGCCUAGCUGGCCACUAGACUAGCUAGGCUGGCCCCGCCGCCUCCCUUAACCCCCCACUCCCCAUCGAACCCAAGCCCGAUCGCCCCAUUUCCCACACACCCCCUCGCUAGUCUCCCCACCUCUUGAUCCCAUCUGGAUCGGGGAGGGUAUUGCCCCCAUCAACCCCGUUGCCGUCGCCGGAUCGCCCGCCGACGUCGGCAGGCCUCCUCCCCGUCGCCCGUCUCCGGCUCACCUCCCCUCUCGCUCCUCUUCCCCGACCCGAUCUGGAUCGUGAACGAGCAAUGAGCUCGAAGCCCCCCUUCACCAGCGCCAUCACCGUGCGCCACCACCACCACCUGAAGACCUCACCGUCGCUGAACCUUGCGUCGCCUCCUUGUAUCCCUCCCCUACUCGCAUCCUCAAGCCAGGCCGAGCCCCUUCUCGGCAACGCUGUGAGACGCCCCCGUUUCCCUCCUCUUUCCACCGCGUUCACCGCGCCGCCCGCCGUGCCCCUCGCCGUGCAUGAGCCCACCACCGCACCAGCCCCCGCUCCGCGCACGACCCUACCCGCGCCCGCGCCAUGAUCCCCUUUUCCGCCCUACCUUCACGCGCUCGCCGCGAUCCCCAUGCUCCCCCGCGCCCUCUUUCGGGGGCGCCGACUGCCCCUGUCCCGGUGCUCGCCGCCGUGCCUCGCCACCGCUCUACUGCUACGUUACUACUGCGCUGCGGCCGCCGCCUCUUCCCGCUGCUCCGCUAGCGCCGAAGCUCCCGGUUGGCUCCACCACUGCUCACGUUAAACCGCCGGCCUAAAUGGCCUAACCCUCGGCUAAUGAACCCCCACUAACCCACUGACACCGGGACCCACAUUCCCUAAUUAACCAUUUAAUAAAUUAACAUUAGUGUAUGACAUGUGCGUCCCCUGUUAAUUAAUAAUUUUACUGCUAGUUUUAUUAGUUUCUGUUUUUCUGCAUAUUUCUUUUGUAUUUGAACAGGCUUUAUACAAUAAUAUUUAGCGUAUCAUACACAUACAAAUGUAAUCAUAGCAUAUACAUACAAAUAGUCUCAUCAAAUCAUGUCAUCAUCAUAAUCAUCAUCCAUCACAAAGUGGUCUCUGGUCAUCAUCUCGAAAAUAGCGAUACAAGUCUCGAUUACUUGCAACUACAUCGUCAUCCAUCUAAACAAUGAUAUACACGAGAAGAGCUCUCACUAUGAGUGAGAGCGGAACUAUGCAGUACAUGAGUUUGUAUCCCUCUCUCGCAUUAGCGUGAACCUAAACUAACGACUGGCUGUUGCUCGGAAACCGGAAACCGGUACACCUGGGCCUGACACUCCGGCCACUCAUCGUAUACUCCUGGCGUAGCACUUCUUCGCCAUCGAUGAUCUAUGCACCUGCAUCGUCACAUGAGUCGAUGAUAUGCAACAUAUAUAGUUGAGCAACAGAAAGAGACAGACUUGGCAAAAAUAGAAGCAACAUAUCACAAGUAUAAAUAACAAAGUUAAUGUUUUGCAGGAUUACAACUCAACCCAUUGCAGAUUAGAAAACAAGCCCGUAUGAAUGCACAGGCUGACGACUAGUCUAUCUAUACCUAUACCUAUACCUAUACCUAUACCUACCUAUACUAAUUACAGACUCCCAAGGAAUUCCCACGUUAAUUAGUAAUUAGGAGUCGUUAAUCUUGUGGGACCAAAUUAUUACGACAGUCCACGAUCUCUUUUCUCUCUGUGUAAAAAAAGGUCCACGAUCUCUUUUCUCGGUUGUAAAAGAUAAAGGCAACUCAGGUCCACGAUCUCUUUUCACGGUUGUGAAAGAUAAAGACAACUCCCGUCUUCUUCUAAUCUAUAGUUCUAUACCUCCACGACCCCUUUCUCUCCCCAUUUAAAAGGAACAAGCUGAACCAAUAUCUAAGCAUGCAAUUGGUUCCUGUGCGGUCUUGACCUUCCAUCCGUCCACUGCUCGAUCGGCCCUCCCUCAACUACAAGCUGACAAGCCACCAUCGCCAUCCAGCGGCACGCCACCGUUCAUGCAUGUGUUUUUGCCCUUCAAUCUGAAGGAGAUGCGUUGGCUACUCAAGUAACUCUGUUUGUUUUGUUCAAACCAAUUUCGUUAAUUCGGUUCUUUGAUUAUCUAAUUGACAUGGCCUGUGAGUUUUGUGCUAGUGAUACAGGGCCUGUCUACUAGAUUCUCUCCUUGCAACUUCUAUUGUUGUCUCGAUUUGGUGUGGUCAAGAUCCUUGCCCCACCACAAGCAGCACCUUUGCACCAUCGGGGAAAUCUGUCAUAGCAAACAGAGGUAUGUAACAUGCUUUGGUGUUUUCCUCUUUCGUUUAGAUCACUAGAGUUGCUCAACCACACCAUUCAUUGAUUAGUAGUUGGCCUGAGAAGUUGCUCGGUCACCUGCAGCGUCUGAUCCCCUUCUUGACCCUCUCCUUCUGGUCAUUAUCCACCGGCAGGUCAAUGCAAAACGGAUCGUUCGUUGCCGCCACCUUGCGGAGACCGAUGUUUGGCUGCCCUCCUGCCAUCCUGGCACUCUGGUACCGGUCACUGUGCCGUUGUUCUAGAAGAACUAUGUCACACGAAGCGAGAUAUCUUCUUACUAAUCUGGAACAUAAGUGUUUCUUCUUACUAGGAUUCGCUCACCGGUGCAUUCAUCUCUUUUUGGAAAAUACGGCCUUCAUAUUUCACACGCCUAUACAUGGGUGCUGUCCCAACAAUAAUCCAUCUAAUCCAUGAUGCACAUUCAUGAAGACUGAUGUGACUGAAUUAAUAUAUCAAUCUGGUGCUUCCGGAUCAGCACUUGAAGAAGCAACCCCUUUAGUUCAUAAAUUUAUCAUACGAAAGUCAGGGGAAAAAUCAACUAAGUCAUGUGUGCUUUUCUAAUUAAUUACUAUACACUAAUUCCAUUUUUUUCAGUAGCAGGCUAGGAUACGUGGAUUGUGGCAGCACAGAAGUAAACCGAUGAGCUACAUUGGCCGUUCACCAGUCAUCGGAUCAGAAGCCAUGUCGACCAGAGGGACGGAACAGUUCUAUAUUAGGCGAUGGAUACAUGUGGAAGCAACUAAGCAUAUGUGGAUGCAUGUGAUCGCAUAGGUAAGGCCAUAGCUGUUCAAGCCCUACAGGAUCUUUAUUGCUGGUUUUAAUUAUGAGUUUACAACACCAUCUAUACAUACUACUUAUCCAUUUAUUUCCUUACCUUCUUUGUUUCUUUCUCUCCUUGAUCCCCUGUCAAAAGGGCAUCAACAUCCAUAUGCGCAACGGCACACGCAACAAACUAUGACUUCGGUUGCACGUCCAAUGGCAACCACAGUACAUGAUGAUAUCAUGUUUGCUGCAAGACGAAGUACAAGUUCAUAAUUUGGUCUUUUGCAUGGUCCCUUAGUAAAUUAUAUUUGUCCACAUACACCACAUACAUAAAAACAGGUAGAAGCGGUUGCAUGAUGAAAAUGUCCUCUCAAUAUGCAUGCCUAUGAAUACUAUCACCAGAAAGCCAAGGACUAACAAUUAUUCAGGGGUCAAGAUUGAAGACAGACGUCCAAGAUUGGCAGUCGGCCGGCCUAAGAGGGGCAAAACCGUUGUACAUUAUAUUGUAUGGACCUAGCAAGAUCCUAAAGAUAAGUGAUAAUGGAGAUCAUGGGGGCCACCCUUAUAACCAUAUGUCCAAAUGUUCUUAUUUGUUUAUUUUUCUUUUCUCUUUUCGGAAGAAUCCAUCCUGCCUCUAUGGUCAUCCUGACCACUUCGUAUUGUUAUCUAAUCUCCUCCCUUAAUUAAUAUAAAGAAUUACCGCAGCUGAAUUCACUAAAAAAAGUAUUCAGUUUAUUUUAAUUUAUUCAACUAUUAUGGCAUAUCAAUUGGAUUGCAAGUUCUUGGCGGUUGCAUUUGAAUCAUAUUUGAUGUGCACAAAGGCUUCAGUGUCAAGGUGGUCGGACGAGUAUUUAUGUCCAUUAUAUAUGUGUUAGCUUGAGAUCAUCAGGCACCUGUUAUGCAUCUGUCCAGUUAAAAGGAUGUUCAGACUCAGGCUUGCCCUACCAUAUAUGGCUGUGACACUCUGAACCAAGCAAGUUGGUCAUAUGUGUCGAGCACUAUUAACUCUUUGGAAGAGGAUCCACCAAGUACAGGAAACAAAUCAAAUAUCUUCUUAACCUUAUCACCAGAAAAAUUAGCAAGAGAUGAAUAGUAACAUUUUAAAGAAGAAAGAUAUGUUUGAAAAGGGAUAUAUAUUAUGGCGACGAUUAGAAGAGCCCUUGACGAAUGGUGCCUAGCCUGCGAAAGUUUCUUAUGAAUAUAGUCAACACUCUAUAUCAACUGUUGUAAGAUUUUAGAAAUAUUUUUGGGGACAUAUGAUACAUGUCUAUUAUACAUAUGAUUCAACAGAAGUUUGAUUGAAUACAUAUUUAAAACGUGACUGACUUCUAUAUGGACGGAGUAUUUCACAAAGGACUCACUGCCAACUGUGUGAAUAUUCCAAGAUAGUUAGUGCACAUAAAUGUUCAAAUCCAUAGCCUGCAUAAAUAUACAAAAGCAAUGUGUUAGACCACUACACAUGCUUCUGAAAGGAGGCAAAAAAAUGUAUGCUUGAUUGAUGACCGUUCAUGCAUGAAAUUAAUUUCUGAUUUCUAAUUAUUUUGGUCAUAUAAUGGAAAUAGAGACAUUAUAAAGAUCCAACAGCAUGCUAUCACACACGUGUGAACACAGACACACACAAAUAACAUUUGCCGAGCACUCACAAAUAAAAGGUGUGGCUACUCUUGGGUGUUCUACAGCUGGCUUAAAAAAACACGUAUGAAACAUGAUCCCCAAAAAUCUGAAAUUCGCAACAUAUGAAAAUCCACCCUCAAACAUAUUUCUGGUGUCUCAAUUCUUUUAGUUUCAGAUGGUAUGUCCAGCCAAAGUAGUUGUACACAUACAUUACUAUGUUCUAUUAUUUGAGAUUCUAAGACAACAUUUAGUAACUAGCCCGUGCGAUGCACGGGUUCACGACUAGUAUAUAUAAAGCUUAAUGGUGCCUAAGAAAGCUCGCACAAUUUUACAGUGGCUGUGGAGAUGUGUUGCCAAACUGAGACAUAAGAUUUUCGUUUGGCAUCCAGAGUUGCAGACCGCUUGUGUUAUCCUUAAUCCAUGGCCACUCUAAUUUUUCCGGCUGGGCCUUCCCUGUGGUACGGCAGCAAGGCUUGCGUGUGUAUAUGUUUCCUUUAACUACCACUAGCACAUAUGCCCGUGCGUGCGUUGCAAGGGGAGAGAUAAUGGCGUAUCCACCAAUAUAUCUAGCAGCAUGACCCAACAACAUCCGAAUGAUGUCACCCGACGACGGCAGGAAGGCACACACAGAGGUCUAGUAAAAACUCAACAAUUGUACGGGCAUGGUUAAUUCGCGUGAAUUCAAGGGUGUGAGAUUAGUUAGUGUUGGUCCCACAAUUGAAUUCGGGGGCUGAUUAGUUAGUGUGGGCCCACCCUUGAAUUCACCGGGGGAGACAAAAUAAUUAGGGUGAGGAGAGAUUUACGGGGCUUGGUCCCCAGAUGCGUUGCGGCAGUCAUUAUUCGAGCAUUGCAAUGCUCGCACGUGAGGAGCUCUUUUUCCAAUUGUAUAUUGAGAAGCAUUGCUACAGAUACAAUGUUUUUGAUACGUUUUUGUACGAUGAUCCUGAUCUUAAAGGGCCUUCUAAUUUUUAAAUCUUAAAGGCAUUAUUUGUAAGUUGUCGUGAAAAAAAUCUCGCUAAAAGGGUUAUGUUAGACCAUCUUCAGUACAUUAGAAAUAACGAAUUAUAAUUCCUUGGCAUUUGAACAAACAAUCCCUACUUAUUUACACAUACAAUACUUUUGGUAUGAUUUUGAAAUCUUGAAGGCAUUAUUUGUAAGUUGAAGCAAUUUUGAAAUCUCACUAAAAGGUCUGUUAGACCAUCUAUAGCUUUAGAAAUAACUAAUUAUAAUUUUGCAAAAAAAAGAAAUAACUAAUUAUAAUUCCUUAAGCAUCUGACCGAAACGACCCCGAUUUAUUGUCUGGGUAGUAAUUCCUUUGCAACAUUAUUCUCUCCUUUCUUGAAGGAACUCUUGCCUGGGUAGUAAUUCCUUUGCCCACGUAUUUGCAAGGUUAUUCUCUCCUUCAUUUUUACAGGAGCUCUCCUUCCUUAUACUAAUUGGUCAUUAUCCUCUCCUUCCUUUUUCUUUUUGCCAAACUCUCUUUCCAUAUUUAUGCCGCUAACCACGCCACUCUUUUUCCUUAUUUAUGCCCUUUGAUCACGCCACACAUCUCAUGAAAUCUAAGCCAUAUAUAUCACCCAUCUUUUUUCCUUAUUCCGGUGCUUUCCUCACAAACAGUAGUUCUCUAGGAUGCUUAACGAUUUUGAAACAGAAACAUAUAUAAAUCGGUAGAACGGGUUGUAAAGCAGCGAGGUGGUACUAAUUUAUAAAGAAACAAACCUUUUCUUUUUGUGUAAUGAUGCCUUGGUUCGGCUGGUUGCGUUGGGAAAAGGACCGGCGAAGUGGGCGAACCAAAAACGGAUAAAAUUACGGUGGUAAGAAGCGAUAGCCCUUUUAUUAGUAGGUAUGAGGAUGUCUAGGAUGUCUAGGAUGAGGAUUUACUGCACACAAGUGCGGGGGCACUCAGGUCCUGAUGCCGCCUUUUUAUUUUGGCUUCCGAUUUUCAAACUUCUAUAUCUUUUAAACAAAAAAUUCAAUUUAAGUUACGUUUUCAUAUUCGUGCUUCUCGCGGCCAGCGCUUUCAAAUAAGAUCCAUUUUGCAUACAUUUUGGUGGCUUUUGGAAACGGGCGAAUAGCUCCUAUGCGACGUUGUUGGUGUGUAUUGUCUCUCAUGCGACGUUGUUGGCUGUAAUAGCUCUCAUGCGACAUCUGCGUUGGAAAAAAUAGCUCCCAUGCGACACACCAUUUACGCGGCUAGUUGGCUGUUAGUUAGGCUGAGGUUUGGUUAGGACACUGGGGGUUAUGUGCUCUGACUGGUGGGGUCCACCUAUGGUCACGUAGACAAGAGUCAACCGUCCACGACUCGACCUGGGACUGUGUGACCGUGCUCGACUCACCCGUGCUGGACUGAGUGAGCGGUGCCGCCGUAAGCAUCUUCUCCGACAGCGGUUUCUUCUCCGCGGUGGUGGAGCGCAUUUCUCGGCAGCGGCAGAGCUAUUGCGAGGUGAGCCCGAAACCCUAGUCCCACUCCCCAGAAUUUUGGGGGAUCUGUGGCCUCAUGCUGCCCUCUGUUUCUUGGCGAUUUAGAAUCGGGCUCCAUUGGAUCCGGGGGUUGUUUCUUCUCCGUGGCCCGGUGGUGGAGCGCCUAUCUCUGUAGCGGCUAUUGCGAGUGAGUAUUUUCCAAACACUACUCGCAUUCCACUAAAUUUUGGAUAAAUCUGUGGCCUCAUGCUGCCCCUAUUUCUUGGCGUUUUAGAAUCUCGAUUGGAUAGGAGAUGGAGCGAGGGCUGGAUGAGAUGGAGCGAGGAGACAGUGCUUCAAAUCGGUAAUGCCACACUCUUUUCUUGGCGAUUUAGAAUCGAACUCGAUUUGGUAGUGACUGCCGCCGCUGCCUGCCAUUGACAAAACAGGGGAGGUUCAAGUUCUGCCACCACAUUCACAAUUAUAGUGGAAUUUUUUCCCUGUAAAGCCAAGCUCAGUGAUGGCAGUGUCCAAGACAUUGAUAGAGAUACCACCGUGAGGUUCGAUGUCGAAUUUGCAGAUGUUGAUCCCCAGGAAUUGGAGAGCAUGAAGGAGAAGGCCGUGGGCAAUUUGGUGGAGAGAAUUGGGGAGAAUAUUGUUUGGGGUCCAGAACAAGAGGUAUGUCUGCAACGUUUCGAUAACUAUAAUGGUGAAUAUGUGAGAAUUGAAGAUGGAGAAUCCAUGGUUGCUGAAAUUGAUCAGCAAGAAGGGUGGGCAACUAAACAAGUAACAUUUUAUGCAGAGCUAAUUGAUCUACAAACUCAUUCCAGAGUUGGUUAUGUGCAAUCAAAGAGGGCUGCACAGAUGGAAGAUGAUGAGUGGGUUUCACAAAAGAAGAUGUUGGCAUUGUUGACUGAACCGACUGUAGUAGCUGAAGAUACAGGGAUUGAUGCAGAUGGAGAGGAGGGAACCCAUGGUGCUAGGAAGAUUGUUGUUGACUGGAAUGUAGUAGAGUUGAAUGAAAAAACAGAUUUGGUCAUUACACCAAUAUCUGACAUUGAUAUGGCCGAAAUGUUUGGCAUUCAAGUUGAUGACAAAGAUAAGGAGAAGGAUGACAGUUCUUUGCCUGCUGAAGGAACAUAGGCCCUAGAAAUGCAAAUGAGGAUGAAGAACAGCUGAUGAGAGAGGCUGCAGAUGAUGUGGAUGAUGCAGAUGAUAAUGAGUUGGUUUGUUUGUAUGACAAAGAGAACCCAGUUAUUGAGGUGGGAAAGUUGUGGCCAAGCAUGAAGGAGUUUAGGAUGUCUUUCAGGACCUAUGCAGUGAAAAAGAGUUUGAUGCCAAGACUAUGUGGACUGAUUGAAAGAAAUUUUAUGCUCGGUGCAAAGGUUAUGAUGGUGGUGGCAAUCCUUGCAAAUGGUACUUGUCUGCCAGACUACAACCUGAUUGAAGUACAGUAAGGGUAAAUCAAAUACCACACCAGCAUACAUGUAUGACCACUUCACAGAGAGUUUCAAAGAUGACAUCACAGCUUUGGGUUACAGAGAAGAUUACUCCUAUUUUAGCCAAGACUCCAAACACUACUGCAAAGAGGCUUAAAGUUGACUUGGAGAAGCUGUACCCCAUCCAGCUGCAAUAUACCACAGUGUGGAAAGCAAAACAAAGGGCCAUGAAAUCAUUGUAUGGUGACUGGGCAAAUACAUUUAGGAUGUUGUAUAGUUUUAAAGCAGAGGUGGAGAAGAGGUCACCUGGGAGUGUGGUGGAGAUAGAUACAGAGGUAACAGAGGAUGUCAUGGUUUUAUUCAGCAAGUUUUUUAUGUGUUUGAAGCCAUGCAUAGAUGGAUUCAAAGCAGGUUGUCGUCCAUAUUUGAGCAUAGACUCAUCUUUUUUGACUGGAAAGUGGAAUGGUCAGUUGGCUGCAUGCAAUGCUCUAGAUGGACGCAACUGGAUGUUCCCAAUUGCAAUAGGAAUGUUUCAAUCAGAGACAGAGGCAUCAUGGAUAUGGUUCAUGAUGCAACUGAAAAGAUGUAUAGGGCCAGUUUCUCCUUUAGCCAUCCACACAGAUGCAUGUAAAGGGUUCGAAAAUGCAGUAAAAAAUGUUGUCCCCCAUGCUGAGCAGAGGGAGUGCUUUGGACAUAUGUGGAUGAAUCUGAUAAAAAAAUUAGAGGAGAUGAAUUUGGGCGCAUGUGGCCAGCAGCAAGAUCCUACACCAGACAGACACAUUCCUAUCACCUUGGUAAGAUAUUGGCAUCAUGUAGUGAUAAUGAAUUUGCUUCAUGGUUGAACACCCGCCAUUCUCUGUUGUGGUAUAGAUCAGGUUUUAAUACUGCCAUAAAAUGUGAUAAUAUCAAUAACAACUUGGCAGAAAGUUUUAACAACAAAGUGAAGGAUUUGAAAGACUUGCCUGUGCAUGACAUGGUGGACCAAAUAAGGAUCAUGAUCAUGCGUUUGUGGGAGUUGAGAGGAAAAAUUGCUAAUAUUUUGGAAGGGGACAAGCUUCCAGCAGUGGUACAAUAGGUGGUCAACAGGAGUAGAAAUCUUUCACAUCUAUCUGUUGAGAAAUCUUCCUUGUGGGGUGCUGAAGUUAGAGAUACAAAGAGUGGCAAGAGGCAUGUGGUAAAUACUGAGUUGCAUGAGUGUACUUGCCGAGAGUGGCAACACACUGGAAAACCAUGUGAGCAUGCCAUACUUUUUUUGGCAUCUAAACCCAGGUUAAAUAUGCACCCAUAUUUGCAUGAGUAUUAUUCAGUACAAAAAUUCAAAGCUGCAUAUGCAAGUCCAAUUCCUGCACUGACUGACCAAUCUCAGUGGCCUGAGGUGGAAAUAGAAUUUACCUUGUGUCCCCUGUCACUAGAAGAAAGGCUGGGAGGCCUAAACAGAGCAGAUUCAAAGCUUGGUUUGAGAAAGGUGGUUGUAGUAAGAAGGGGAAAAAAGAAAAGAAAAAGAAUGAUAAGCCCAAAAGGGCUCAAAAAGGUAAGAAAAAUAGGUGCAAGUUGUGUGAGGUACUUGGGCACAGAAUUGGUUCAUCCAAGUGCAUCUAUACUCCUCAGAGGACAAAGUAUGUUCAUGUUACUGUUUUUACAAGUUUUUGAUUUUGUUACUUGUUCUAGUAUCUAACCAAGUCAAAUGCUUUAUUUUUUAGGAGGAAGCGUGCAGAAAAAGCCCCACCUCUUGUUGUUGAACAAUGCUGGCCAGUGAAAAAAGCAAGACUCAAUGGCUAUAUAGAAGGAAGAGCACUAAGCAGAUAAUGUUUGGUGACAAAGAUAUGGAGCUAACUGAAACUGUUACUGCUGAACAUGAGCUAAGUGUUUCUGUUUUGGACGAUGUGAUGCAUACUGAAUCUGUUUUGCAGACGCUAGGGCAAUCUGAAACUGUUGCAGAUGAAGCAACGGUUGUGCUGCCAUGCGAAUCUGCUUUGACAACUGUGUUGCCAUGUUUGGAGGUUGUGCUGCCAAGUGUUGAGUUGCAAACUGAAGUAGUUGAACAAUUUGUGCCAUCUACUCAAUCUGCAGAAGUGCAAACUGAAGAAGUGCAAACUGAAGAAGUGGGACAUGGUCAGGUGAAAAAGUUGAGGGGGCCUAGUGGAGUUUGCAAGGGGCCAAAAAGCAAGAGCAUCAACAUCAACAAACUAUGCGCCGUGGAACCAAACGAUGGAAAAAAGCAGAAGAAAUCGAGUGGUAGAAAGAAGCAAAAGAAAUAGAGUCGAAAUCAUUCAAAUUUGAUGUGAAAACUUAAGUUUGUUGUCAUUUGAUGUGAAAACUUAUGUUCUUUCAUGUGAAAACUUAUGUGCUAUGAUGUUGAUUUGACUUGAAAUAAAAUUCAAAUUUGAACCGACAUUCAAAUUUGAACCUAUCUCCAAAUUUUUUUGAGUUCAUUUGUUUGUUCUGUGAUGUUGCAUCGUUUUAUGUACUACUAUGCACUUUGUGAAGUCCAACUCAUAGUCACUGAAAAUGCUGUACAAACAGGCUCCAAAGUAAGGGAAAACGGCCCCAUUUCUAAGCAAGUUUUUUUCGAUCUUCUCAAAAUCACCCAAAAAAGAUUUUCUUAGCUUAUAUUAUACCUAUAUAGGAUCAAUACAAAGUCUCACCUUUUUUGAAUAAGUAUUCAUAUUAUUUAAUUUAUUUUUGAAAAAACACCCUUUAAUACAAAGUCAGCAAUAAAACAAGUUUAAAAAUUUUAAAUGCAAAAAUAACUUCAGAUCCUCCUUAGUCACUCUAAAAUGAAGCUAAGGUGAUGUUUUUUGAUUUUUUUGCAUUUUCAAAACCUCAAACCCUCUUCUCACUCCUUUGAACUCUAUGCAACCUCAGUCGAGAUAGUCCAAUUUGUGAAGGUUUUUUCAUGCAAAGAUCAUUAGAUCAAGUUUAUCAUUUUAUAUCAUAACUAUGUAACAUAAAAAGGCUAUAUGCGCAGGUUUUUCAUUUUUUAGAUUUUUUUGAAUUAGUUAUACACAUUUGAAUGUUCGGUCAAACCUUUCAAAACCCCGUUGACUGCCUCAAAACCCCAUGUAACCCUAGCGCCAAACGUCCACCGUCGAUCUAACCCUAACGCCAAACUGCGGCCGUCGGAUGGGACUUCUAGAAGGAUUCCGCGGGGGCGAUCCAUGGGCUCCAAUCUGAUUGGCCAUUGUUUUUUCUCUCUGACGAACAGAUAACGUUGAGCGGGGGAGCAUCUAAGUGACCGUUGGGCCGAGUGGAUUGGGCCUGGCAAAGCCUGGCGUGCGUGCACACGGCUGUUGAGAGGGGGGAUGGGCUGCAUGCGAGCGGGUCAAUGACAUGUGGGCCAUCCUUGUCCCAUGCAUGCCAUGCAACGUCGCAGCCUAGCUAUUCUUUGCUCGUGAAAGCCUAGCCAUUUGCAUGCGGGCUUGCAUGCACGCAUCGACGCAGAGUACGGCAAGGGUGCAGCGUAUAGGUACGUCGCAUCUAAGCUAUUUUAACAAAUGCAUGUUUGAACGAGAUGGACGCGUCGGUGGUGCAGCUCCUUUUUCAGUGUCACGCGCGGAUGAACGGGCCUGUUUCCCAUGCGGCAUCACCGCCGAUGCAAGUGCCCGUGCCUCUUUGGAUGCUCUGGCCGCCGUUUUUUGAAUUAAUGCCCGCAAUUACUUAUGCCAUGCGAACGGAGAAGAGAAAAAGAUCGAGAAGGGGCACCGUGUACACAUUGACCAUGGUUGCAAUGCGGCUAUAAAAGGGCACCAUUUCCUCAUCCUCUCACACUCAUCUCUCAAGCCUCCUCCCCUUCUUCUUUUCGAGCCAAAUCCACCACUCGAGCCACCAUGCAGUUCAACGGCCCUACCUACCGUCGCCCUUGCACCGUGCCGGAGAGGCAGUACCCAGCCGGAGUCGUCGUGGAGAACAGCCUGAGGGUGUGGGCCAUCUCUAGGUGGAGGGGCCCUAGAGAGUUGGCUCGCUUCUUCCUCCAAGCUGGCUACCGCCACCUCCCUCCGGGCACUCCGCCCAUGUUCCACCUCCACGAGCAGUACGAUGGCAAUGCCGGCCCCGACGGCUUCGUCAUCGGCCUCUAUGUCACCUUCACCAACCCCUACGACGCUCACCACCUCCCCGGGGAGGUGUUCUGGUGUGGAUGCGAGUUUAUCGCGUUCACGACCUACAACAUCUUCACCAACUUCCACCACAUCUUCCCUCACCACAACGGCAUGCACACCCUCCCCUAUCAGAUGCCGGAGGACGACGAGUGAGGGGCCCAAGGAGGAGGGUCCAAGGAGUGGCAAGGAGGAGGGGCCAAGGAGUUGUUCAAGCGGCGAGUCUUCUAUCUAUCUAGUUUGGGGCUCUAGUUUGUGUUUGUGUUGGUUCGGGCGUGUGUGCCCGUGUCUUUUAUAUAUCUAGUUUUAAUUAUUUUACUUUCAUGUUUUAUGAACUAUAUGUAGUGGGGGGAUGCCCCUCUAUAAGUUUUAUCUAUCUAUGCUACUAGGGUACCCGAUGCCCCUCUAUCUAUCUAUAUGUUUUUUCGGUCCUAAAGUUUCUCCAUUGCAUUUUAUUUAUGUGGCCAUGUGUACUAAAAAACAAUUGAUCUGGUAUCUAAAAUGUACGUUACCAAGAAAUUGACAAUAAAGAUUAUAUACUGUACUACAUAAUCAUACAGUUGGUAUACAAUGCAUUUGAAGACAAUGGGCAAGAAAAAUGCUAAUUAUCUGGUGCUGGUGACAUGCGUAAGUGUUGUCUGAUGUUUAAAUCAUGCUUGCUAUGUCAUUUUUUGCUGCCAAACAUGGCAUUAGCGAGAAAGGUCAUUUGGGCACUGAAUGUAUUAAAGUAUACACCAUAUAUAAAAAUGUCUAGCCAAAAGAUUUGGGUGUACAACUGUACACCAAUGACCAAGUAUGGAUCCGCCCCUGGUUGUAAGGGGAUGCCCCUCUAUGUUGUAAGGAGAUGCUACUAGGGGCACACUAGAUGUCUUCUUUUUUUGAGAGAGGCACAACCUUUUUCGGUUGAAACACACGAGUAAAAACUUUGAAAACACCAUAGCACAAGUAAAAAAAUAUAUUAAGAAAUGGUGCUUGGUUGAAAUAAACUAGAACCAAACAAUUGCAACUUUCUUGGUUCACAAAGACUGCUCAAAUAAUUAUCUCAAAUAGCUUAUGCAUAAAAAUAUCUCAAAUAAUUAUUAGAUGAGUUAUCUCAAAAAAGGUGACUGCAGGAAACUUAAAAUUUGUGAAAUGAUCUAAAGCCGAAAAGAUAUAUCGAUGAAUUAUCUCAAAUAGCUUAUGCAUAAAAAUAUCUCAAAUAAUUAUUAGAUGAGUUAUCUCAAAAAAGGUGACUGCAGGAAACUUAAAAUUUGUGAAAUGAUCUAAAGCCGAAAAGAUAUAUCGAUGUCAAUGACCGUGUGCACUUUUUUUGCACUCCUUUUAUCAAUGGGCCUGGAUAUGUUCUAUUCGGCCCUGCCUAACUUCUAUAUGGGCCUGGCCUUUUCGGGCAACUAUGGACGAACCUUUUUUUUCCUUUUCUCCCUCUACCACUGAAACUGAAACUGAUGACGAACUGAAGAACUAAAAAACGGGGCCGAAACAGAGUGGAGAGGACAUGCUGAAUUCGUACAACGCAACACUUUUAUUCAAAUAUACAUAUCAUUAGGAUUACAAAUGAUGCCCAAUCUAUUCACUUACGACUAAUUAUCAUCACAUAAACAAAUGCGAGAGCAAUUACACAAACAUAAAAAAGUCCGGCCAUCAGCCCCAUCAAAUUGCCCUGCUUCUGCAAUUUGAUGAGUUUCUUCAUCUGCUUGUUUAGCUUCUUCAGCUCUGCCGUCACUACUGCAUCCCCCACAGUAGCCCCAAUGGAAUGGGCACAUCCAGGGGCCCCAGAUCCAGAAGCGCCCGAUCCAAACUUGCCCAACUUCUCCACCUCCAGCGGUAAAUCGAGCUCCCCUGAUGCACCCUCCAGUUGAAUCCGCUCUAUGUACUCAUUUAGCCACUCAAAAUGGGUGCAUUGCUUCAAUUUCUGAAAUUGGAAAGAUGAACCCUAAAUCCCAAAUCCGAUGAAAAAUGGGGAAAAAUUGUGAUAUGAAAUUGGGAUACAAAAACCAAAAUUGGCAUAUUGAGAAGUAAAAUCUCACCUUUCCCUGCUCUGGUUUGCUCUCGCAUUUCACGAAUUCCCGCCCAAGGUUGCCAUUCUUGUCGGUCGUUGUGACUAGCCGCUUCAGGGGUGUGAUACGUGGGCCUGCAGGGCACCUUGUCAUGGGCACUGCGCCAUAGCGCGGCCAUGAGCGGCGGGAGGCUGAAGCGGAGCUCGACAUUGCUAGGUCGCGGCCCGGAACGGCGUUGCUGCGCGUCGUCGCCGGAGAAGAAGAACAACAACGGUCGGGGAGGGGGGGUGGGGGCGGGGGCGAGGAUGGGCCACGGCUCGGGCCACGGCUCGGUGUCCUCUUGUACCAAUGCUGACCUGGAUAAGUUAGUGGGUCCCACGCAGUGGGUCCCGCUCACCUGACCAAUGCUGAGUUGGAUAAGUUAGUGGGUCCCGCGCUGUGGGUCCCGCUCACCUGAUUCGAGUUUUAAACAUGUGUCUUUGGAUUAGACAGCAGUGUCGCAUGGGAGCUAUUUUUUCCUAUGCAGAUGUCGCAUGAGAGCUAUUACAACCAACAACGUCGCAUGAGAGACAAUACACACCAACGAUGUCGCAUAGGAGCUAUUCGCCCUUUGGAAACAUUGCUAAGUUUCAUUGUUUGAAACUUAGUACGAGCGACCGAUAAAAUUUAAUUAUUUUGUGUCUACGACCAACAGGAGAAAUUGCUUAAAAUUACAUCUUUGAAACUGGUCAUUUUUUGAUGCAAAAAUGUAAGUUUCAUCAUUGAAACUUAAGGGCAUGUCCAAUGCUGGAUGCUUAUCCAGGCGCUUAUCGUGUGGAAAAAAAAAAUGCCACGAAGUUAGCUCUCGCUUGUCCAACAGCCAAUGCUAACAACGGGCGCUAACCACGGCUGGAGCUAUAGAUUAGAAAGAAAGAUCUGGUUCACUUGUACGUGAAAAAAGGAGCAAGCGCUCGAUGCCUUGCUUUGCAUCGAUGCCAGACUGAGGUGCUGGGAAUCGACAAGAUAACCGCCAAUCUACCAGGAUUAAAUUCCUAGCGCCUUCUUCUAGCGCCUCCCACUGAAAAUGCCCUAAAGGUUUUUGAGGGAUUUUUUUACUGUGUCCUACUUCACGUAUCACGAGGCAAAUCAAGUAGGCGGCAUGGCCUGGCCGGUGAGUGCCAUUGCACUUACUUGCCCCAGCGAUUUUCCGCCUGCAUUGUAGAAUUCUUUCUCCGAGUCCUGUGAAUUAAAGAUGGUGCAGACAAAAGUAUAUCCUAUAUGCGUACAUGUGCAUGAUCAGAACAUGUUUUUACGUGCGUCUACUAUAAAUCAUGACCAUUUUUAACACAAAUCAUGACCAUUCAUGAUUAGUGAAUCAUACUGUCUUAACUUAUGUGAAAUCAUGUGGAGUAAUAUAAUAUAAUAUAAUAGAUAGAUAGAUCCAUGUUGUAUCAUUACACAUUUUGAUUUAUGCAUUUGUUUACAAAAAAAACAGUAAAAUUUCAUGGUGAAAAGUUUGUAUUGUUUCAUACUGAACACCAAUGUUUUCCCGUAAAAGAAAAUAAUGCCUACGCAUAUGCUUUUAUAUUAUUAUUAUUCUUUCAAACUUAUUCAUAUAGUAUUUUUGAUUGUGCAACCAUAAUUUUUAUUAUCUCUCUUGUUCCACUACAUGCUCUUACUCAAUGAUUUUUUUAUAAUGGGUGUUUUUAUUAACUCAAAAUAUAGCAUCAAGCGGAUACAAAACAUAACGAGCCACGUCCGGUCUCUGCAUAACUAAGAUGCACACAGCCAAAAGCAGAAGUCUGACAAAAAUAAGAUAAGAAAAUCAACAUAUCGACAACAGUGAGUCAUAUAGUUCCGACACUAUGCCUCUGUUGAAGGACGGGGUGGAGCGAUCUGGAGAUUAUGCUUCCCUCCAUUUUGAGUAAAUACCUCCCUGGCCACUUGUUCCAACCGCAUAGACGCCGCCACGAAUAAUGGUUGGUACUCUGUUCGGUGUAGCAUACACCAUGUAGGAAGUGAGUGCUCACUCCUAGUUACUAAAUUAUGUACACACUAGUAGAAAAAGGGCCAUUUGUCCCGGUUCGUAAGGCCCAUUUGUCUCAGUUAGGGAACCGGGACUAAAGGGUCGGUACUAAAGCCCUACACCUUUAGUCCCGGUUCUUACACCAACCGAGACAGAUGGGGCUCCACGUGGCCGCUGCGGCUUGCCAUGGCAGGGGGGCCUUUUGUCCCGGUUGGUAGCACCAACCGGGACCAAUAAGCUACCACGCGUCAGCAUUUGAGGGGCUUGGGUUUUUGUUUUUUUCUGAAGGGGGGGAGGGGGGUUGGGGGUUUUGGGGGGUUUUGUAUGGUUAAUUUUGGGGGGUUUCAUAUAUAGUGUUAGGUAGUAAUUAAUUAAUAGAGAGAAGUGUCCUCUCUUAUCUCCGUGCUUGGUCGACGCUACGUACUAUACGUAUAGAGAGGCCCUCGACACGCUUGCCAGUAAGCAAAUGAAGGAAACCAUUAAGUACAGAAGUUCGUCAUGAACAUAUGCAUACAAACAUAAGUGAUAUCGACCUCUCCUUCUCCGAGAGAUAGGUCGAAGAACAAGUUUCCGUAUAUCUAUCCGGCGCUACUAGCUACAUAUAUACAAUAUUAAGAUCUCUUACAAUAUAAUCCCCUAAUUAUAUAUGAACUCAGCUUCCAGAUGGUAUUCUCCGGCUUUAUUGAUGACGUGGUCAAGAAAGAAUCCCUCCAAUUCCUCUUGAAUUGCUUUGAUGCGAUCUUGUGGUAGGAGUUCAUCCUGCAUCUGCCACAUCUAAUUUGAAGAAGGGGGUCAAUCACUAGUGGAAUAACAGCCAUUUGUCUAGGUUCGUAAGGCUCAUUUGUCCCGGUUGGGGAACCGAGACUAAAGGGUCGUUACUAAAGCCCUACACCUUUAGUCCCGGUUGUCGGUGUCAAAACCGGCGGAUCUCGGGUAGUGGGUCCUGAAUUGUGCGUCUAGGCCGGAUGGUAACAGGAGGCAGGGAACACGAUGUUUUACCCAGGUUCGGGCCCUCUUGAUGGAGGUAAAACCCUACGUCCUGCUUGAUUAAUAUUGAUGAUAUGGGUAGUACAAGAGUAGAUCUACCACGAGAUCAAGGAGGCUAAACCCUAGAAGCUAGCCUAUGGCAUGAUUGUUGUGUAUGGAGUUGAUUGCCUACGGACUACAACCCUCCGGUUUAUAUAGACACCGGAUAGGGUUAGGGUUACAUAGAGUCGUUUACAAUGGUAGGAGAUCUUGAAUAUCCGCAUCACCAAUCUUGCCUUCCACGCCAAGGAAAGUCCCAUCCGGACACAGGACGAAGUCUUAAAUCUUGUAUCUUCAUAGUCCAGGAGUCCGGCUGGACGUAUAGUCCGGCUACCCGAACACCCCCUAAUCCAGGACUCCCUCACCGGUUCUUACACCAACUGGGAGAGAUGGGCCUCCACGUGGCCGCUGCGGCGAGCCCAGGUAGGAGGUCCUUUGGUCCCCGUUAGUGACACUAAUACGUCUCCAACGUAUCUAUAAUUUUUGAUUGCUCCAUGCUAUUAUGUUAUCCAUUUUGGAUGUUAAUGGGCUUUAUUUUACACCUUUAUAUCAUUUUUGGGACUAACCUACUAAUCGGAGGCCUAGCCCAAAUUGCUAUUUUUUGCCUAUUUUAGGUUUUUGAAGAAGAGGAAUAUCAAACGGAGUCCAAACGGAAUGAAACCUUCGGGAACGUGAUUUUCUCAACGAACAUGAUCCAGGAGACUUGGAGUGUGCGCCAAGAAAUAAGGGAGGAAGGCACGAGGCAGGGGGGCGCGCCUACCCCCCUUGAGCAUGCCCUCCACCCUCGUGGGCCCUCCACUGCUCCACCGACGUACUUCUUCCUCCUAUAUAUAUCCACGUACCCCCCAAACAACCAGGAGCACCACGAAAACCUAAUUCCACCACCGCAACCUUCUGUACCCGAGAGAUCCCAUCUUGGGGCCUUUUCCGGAGGGGGCAUCGAUCACGGAGGGCCUCUACAUCAACUGCAUGGCCUCUCCGAUGAUGUGUAAGUAGUUUACUUCAGACCUACGGGUCCAUAGUUAUUAGCUAGAUGGCUUCUUCUCUCUCUCUUUGGAUCUUAAUACAAAGUUCUGCUCGAUUUUCUUGGAGAUCUAUUCGAUGUAAUCUUCUUUUGUGGUGUGUUUGUCGAGAUCCGAUGAAUUGUAGGUUUAUGAUCCAGAUUAUCUAUGGACAAUAUUUGAUUCUCCUCUGAAUUCUUUUAUGUAUGAUUCGUUUAUCUUUGCAAGUCUCUUCGAAUUAUCAGUUUGGUUUGGCCUACUAAAUUGAUCUUUCUUGCAAUGGGAGAAGUGCUUAGCUUUGGGUUCAAUCUUGCGGUGUUCGAUCCCAGUGACUGAAAGGGAAGCGAUAUGUAUUGUAUUGUUGCCAUCGAGGAUAAAAAGAUGGGGUUUAUAUCAUAUUGCAUGAGUUUAUCCCUCUACAUCAUGUCAUCUUCCUUAAAGCAUUACUCUGUUCUCUUGAACUUAAUACUCAAGAUGCAUGCUGGAUAGCGGUCGAUGUGUGGAGUAAUAGUAGUAGAUGCAGAAUCGUUUCGGUCUACUUGUCUGGGACCUGAUGCCUAUAUACAUGAGCAUACCUAUAUAUUCUCAUAACUAUGCUCAAUUCUAUCAAUUGCUCGACAGCAAUUCGUUUACCCACCGUAAUACUUAUGCUCUUGAGAGAAGCCACUACUGAAACCUAUGGCCUCGGGGUCUAUCUUCUAUCAUAUUAAUCCUCCAAUACUUAGUUAUUUAUAUUUCUAUCUAUUUUACUUUCCAUCUUUUAUUUCUCUUUAUCAUAAAAAUACCAAAAAUCUUAUCUUAUCAUAUCUAUCAGAUCUCACUGUUGUAAGUGACCGUGAAGGGAUUGACAACCCCUUUAUCGCGUUGGUUGCGAUGUUCUUAUUUGUUUGUGUAGGUUCGUGGGACUUGAGCGUGAUCUCCUACUGGAUUGAUACCUUGGUUCUCAAAAACUAAGGGAAAUACUUACGCUAAUUUACUUCAUCACUCUUUCCUCUUCAAGGGAAAACCAACGCAAUGCUCAAGAGGUAGUGUCGGUGUCAAAACCGGCGGAUCUCGGGUAGUGGGUCCCGAACUGUGCGUCUAGGCCGGAUGGUAACAGGUGGCAGGGAACACGAUGUUUUACCCAGGUUCGGGCCCUCUUCAUGGAGGUAAAACCCUACGUCCUACUUGAUUAAUAUUGAUGAUAUGGGUAGUACAAGGGUAGAUCUACCACAAGAUCAAGGAGGCUAAACCCUAGAAGCUAGCCUAUGGUAUGAUUGUUGUAUAUGGAGUUGAUUGCCUACGGACUACAACCCUCCGGUUUAUAUAGACACCGGAUAGGGUUAGGGUUACAUAGAGUCGGUUACAAUGGUAGGAGAUCUUGAAUAUCCGCAUCGCCAAGCUUGCCUUCCACACCAAGGAAAGUCCCGUCCGGACACGGAACGAAGUCUUCAAUCUUGUAUCUUCAGAGCCCAGGAGUCCGGCUGAAGGUAUAGUCCGGCUAUCCGAACACCCCCUAAUCCAGGACUCCCUCAGUAGCCCCUGAACCAGGCUUCAAUGACGACGAGUCCAGCGCGCAAAUUGUCUUCGGCAUUGCAAGGCGGGUUCCUCCUCCAAGUCCUUCAUAGAAGAUUGUAAGCACCAAGAGUAGUGUCCGGCUCUGCAAAAUAAGCUUCCACAUAUCGCCAUAGAGAGAAUAAUAUUAACACAAAUCAAAUCUGCUGACGUAUUCCGCAGUGCGUCAUCACACUACAGCCAAGUCCUUCACUCGAAUCGUUUUCACUUUUCCACCUCAGCGUGUUUUGCGAGGCGGUUUCCUUGGCACGUCUUGUCAAAGCAGAGAUCGUGUCCCCCUUGUUUACGGGAUUCUCGUUAAUACGGACGUGGGUAACCCAACCGCGCCACUUAUCACGGCGCUUGGGAGGCAAGCGAGUUUUACUAGGCUGGUGGGGACGCAUAGUCGCAUCCGCCCAUAUAAGGGGAUAAGGAUCCACCUUUUUACCUACGCCUUCUUCCUCCUUUGCCUAGCCAUCUUCUGCGCACCCGAGCUCUAGCGCCCCAGCCCGCGCUUCCUACCUCAACCCUCUCCAACAAUGUUCGGAGCGGGAGGCAAGUGGAUGGUCUCCUCCGUCACGGAGGGCCAUGUCAAAAGGUUAAGGAAGGCCGGAUACUUGUCCAAAGACAUCGCGCACCGGCUUCCUGAGGAGGGGCAGCUUCUCCCCACCCCAAGGCCCCAUGAGAGGGUAGUAUUUCUUCCCCACUGCCUCCGCGGACUGGGUUUUCCUCUCCACCCAUUUGUCCGCGGGCUCAUGUUCUACUAUGGCCUAGAUUUCCACGAUCUGGCCCCGUACUUCAUCCUCAAUAUCUCGGCGUUUAUCAUCGUGUGCGAGGCUUUCCUCUGCAUUCGCCCCCAUUUCGGCCUCUGGCUCACGACCUUCAACGUCAAGCCAAAGGUGGUGCGCGGUAACCAGGCGGAGUGCGGAGGUGCCAUGGCGGGCAAAAUUGCCAACGUCCUAUGGCUCGAGGGCUCCUUUGUGGAGACCUUGAAGGGGUGGCAGUCAGGGUGGUUUUACAUCACCGAGCCACGCGAUCCGAAGUGGAUCGCAGCCCCUGAAUUCCGAUCCGGACCCCCUACGCGGCUCAUGUCCUGGAAGGAGACGAGCUUGUCGUGGGGCGACGAAGGAGAGUUGACCAGACUGCAAAAAUGCAUCCAGUCCCUGGUGAACAAGCAGCUCAAGCUUGUCAACGUAAUCUAGGUCAUGCUCGUCCGCCGGAUUCUUCCGUGUCAAGAACGGGACUUCAAUUUGUGGGAGUUCAACCCGGCGCAACACCGAACUCUGAGAAGGCUCUUCAACACGACGUACGAAGAUGUCUGGAGGGGGCUAACCAAAGGCGCCGAGACUCCCACAUCCGCCUCCGAAGACCGCGGAUUCAGCUCGCAGCGUCCUGCUGGCGAGGUAAGAUAUUUCCAUCUUUUACAGGAUGUUAAGCUUUUUCAUAGUUGACUCUAUGCGGGAUCAAAACUCCCUCACCUUUGACAGGAUUGGCGGGAGAAGUCCGGACAGAUUAAAUGCCCGGCUCCCUUGCCCGAAGACCUAGCCCCUGCUCUCCUAGAGAAGCUGCUGGUUUCGGCACCUUAUGUGGUGCCGGAGAAGAGGGCCAAGAAGAAGAAGGCCACGGGGACUCGAAAGAGUUCCUGGCAUAUGGUGGUGUCGGACUCGUCGUCCGACCAGUCCGAGACGCACUCCUCCCGUGAAGACGAGGAGGAAGAGUGUCGGACUCGUCGUCCGACGAGUCCGAGACGCACUCCUCCCGUGAAGAGGAGUGGCCGGACUACGUCCCCGACGCCGACGAGGACGAAGAGGAGUGGCCAGACAGGGCCAAGCAUCCGGCGAGAUCGUAAGUGUUCGGAUACCAGAGUAACUCGUGAUAUUCCUUUUGUUGCACAGCUUUCCCUAAUGUCGGAUAUAAUCAUGCAGUCCGCCCAAGGAUGGGCUCGACGAGUCGUCGAGCGGCUCCCUGGAUUCAUCGGACGUGAAUUCAGUUCCGCCUACUGCUUCCCCCUGUGCUGCAGAUGACGCCGAAGUGGCGUCGCGACAAGCUCCGGGACGAGAGGAGGUGGUCCAGGAGGAGUCGCGAGGUGACCUCCCGGACUCCAGGAGUGAAGGGGACAAGACCCCCCUGGGAUCCAAGUUCGGCUUUAAGCCGGACACUGAGAUGGAAUCAUCAACAGUUCCGGACUGCGGUAGGCGAACUCCUACCAGGAGGAGCAAGCCUACUGAGCCGGCAUCCUCCGUCCAGCCGGAGGCGCCGGACAAUCUGCUGGAGGAGCUUAAGGGCGCCUCCACCGACGAGGAGCACCGUGCCGUCAUGAGUACGGUGAUCCAGAAGGUUCGGUCCGCCAAAAGCGGACUGACUGAAGCUUGUGCUGGCCUUCUAACAGGCUUCGAGGUAAGUAAAAAUAUGUAAAAAUAUUACCGUAUAGACAGUAGCCCCUGAUGCUCUGUUUGGCGUUUGUAAAGAAAAGCCAAAUAGAGGAUCUAUUAAAUAUCGCAGGAGUCUAACUAAAAAGGAGUCAAUAUAUGUAUGCAGGCUUCGCUGCUGGCCACCGCCGCACUGACUGCGGAGGUGGGUGCCCUGAAGGAGGGCCUCCAGCGGACCGAGCAAGAGCUCGGCCUUGCCAAACGGCAGCUCGAGGAAAAAGAAUGUAAGAGAUACCUUACAGAAAAAGUGCCUAUAAAAAGGCUUGAUUGCAAAAAGAGUAGCAGGAUUGUACUGCUUAUUGUAGGGGCCACGACUGAGGUGGCGACCUUUAAGCAGGUGUUGUCUGAGGCCGAAAAGAAAACGGCCGCGGAGCGCACCGAGCGAGACAGACUUGGGGCUCAGGUCAGCGAGGUGCAGCAAGAGCUUCAGGCUCUCAUGAAAAAACAUGAGAGUUUGAAGCUGGAGUCGAAGGCGCAAGCAUCCGAGCUUGCAACGGCCCUAGAGGCUGCCAAGUCUACCAAGGCCGAUGCCCUAAAGACCCUCCAAGAGUUGGAGGAGAUGAGGAAGAUAGCAACGGGUAAGGCAUUCUUUAUGCAAAGCAGAAAUAUAAAAGUGAACUACCUGUUACUUACCCGAAUCCGAAGCUCUCCAGGGGCAUUCGCAGAUCUUCCCUGCAGCGUAUCCGAUGCCGCCGCAUUAUACCAAGCUGAAGAGGGUAGCUCGACGGAGAAGGUGUUCUGGUUUCAGUAUUCUGAGGCCGGACACCCUGUGCCCUUGAGCAACCAGCUGAAACAGCUGGUUGAGCUCCACAAGGCGGCCAAGCAGGCCAUGAAGGGCUUCAUAGUUCGGCUGUGGCCUGGAGAGGCCCUACCUGGGAGCUAUCUCGGGCUGGUGCGGCGGCUGGUGGAGGCCUGUCCGAGGCUUGAGGUCAUCAAGUGCUCCGUCUGCAUCGAUGGUGCCCGUCGGGCCCUUGCCCGUGCAAAGGUGCACUGGGGUAAGCUGGACGGUGAGAAGCUUGUGAAGGACGGGCUGCCGCCGGGGAAGGAGCAUCGCAAGCCCGAGAACUACUACAAGGAUGUUCUUGCAGGUGCCCGCCUUAUGGCGGAUCAAUGUACCAAGGAUGUGAUAUUUGAAUGAACUCGCUCGUGUUUAUCUUGUGCGCUGAAAACUUGUUCAUAUGUGCUAAGCAAUGCUUAUUGAAUUUAAAAUAUUACUUUCUGUGCGGCCAUUUAUCAAAAAUUGAGAGAUGGCCAGUCGUCGGCUUCUGCCCCCGUGCCACUAGUGCUGGGGUGUUCGGGAUAAACCUGAGCGCUCUUUUUCCCAUAGUUGGGUCCUUCGAGGGAGGCGCUCAGCACAACGAACCAGGCAAUCGGACUAUAAUGCUUGAACACUCUCACUUAGCCAUAGAGCUCUAUAAUUUUAAAUUUCGGUGAAGCCCGUAGUUCGGAAGACCGAGUUCGGGGCGCUAUCCACGCCUUGGCCGGACAAAGCCGGCUCCUCGCUCGAAGCGGCAUAAGCCUUUAGGGACUCGAAAAACCUCUCGAACAGCGAUCGGUCUCUCGCCACAUCAUGACAGUCAGUUUUAGCUUUCUCCACUCAGGUGCUUAACCCAGGUGAACCGGGGCACAAUCGCAGUGGUUCUCCUAGUGCUACCUUAGCCGAUAGAGCGGAACGUAAGGCACCAAAACAUAGGAGCCACGCAAACCCAACUAUUGACCCAAAUCAUGAUUCGGAGCCGAUGCAUAUAGUGCUAUAAGUUCGGGGUGCCGCACUUGUGAAAGUGUACGGACUUCUCACACCAUUAUGAGCGGUACUGAAGCCCCUGGCAUGUUUGCCAUACCAUGGUGUACGGGUGCAAUCAUGUCAUUUAAUAAACAUAAAUGUGAAAAGAAGAUAAUGCAAAAAAUAGACUAGAAGCUAAGCAUUGUUUAUAGAGAGGCUAUUUAUCAAAGCCGAACGAUACAAAUAGUGCGGUAAGCAAAAGAUAUUGGACUAUUCAGUAUGUCCUGACCAGGGGCAGGCCGCGGAAUUGUAUUUAAAACAGGUAUACCGCUCGUAACAGAGACCACCUGGGAGUUCCAUAAUGCGUCAUGGCUUGUCUGCCUCCCUGGAUCUUGCAUCGUUUGUGCGGCAGUCGAAUUGCCGAACAGGUCGUCCGAAGUAUGGAGUCCUGAAAGAAGAAAAAAUUAAAAAAAGAAUCCGGCAGCCCCUAGUACGUAUUAAGCCGUAUUUUGGGCGUGUUGUUAUUGUGCCCCUUCCCCUGUGCCCAUGGUAUUUCAAGGGCGUAGUUAUGUACGUGAGGUACUGGUUUCGCUAUGUUGCGAAAGCUGGGGUUGGGGCCGCAUUGCUACGCUUGCUUAGAGUGUGCCAGGCAGUGUCUGGCUUUUUAAUGGCCGGACUGGAGAAUUGCCUGAGAAGGCUACUUUGUACCUCCGCUGCGAGAGCCGCCGUAUGCUCCUCCAUAUGGAGGGAGCGUUCGGUGUUUCCGUUGAACGUAAUUACUCCUUGAGGGCCUGGCAUCUUGAGCUUGAGAUAUGCGUAGUGCAGCACCGUGUUGAUCUUUGCGAAUGCGGUUCGUCCGAGCAGGGCAUGAUAGCCACUGCGAAACGGUACUAUAUCGAAGAUUAACUCUUCGCUUCGGAAAUUGUCCGGGGAUCGGAAGACCACAUCAAGUGUUACUGAGCAUGUACUGUUGGCUUCUACACCUGGUAUAACGCCUUUAAAGGUCGUUCUUGUGGGCUUAAUCCUUGAGGGAUCUAUGCCCAUUUUCUGCACUGUAUCCUGAUAAAGCAGGUUCAGGCUACUGCCGCCGUCCAUGAGGACUCUUGUGAGAUGAAAUCCGUCGAUGAUCGGGUCGAGAACCAAUGCGGCGAAGCCGCCAUGACGGAUGCUAGUGGGAUGGUCCCUUCGAUCGAAAGUGAUCGGGCAGGAGGGCCAUGGGUUGAACUUUGGGGCGACUGGCUCCAUCGCAUAUACGUCCCGUAGCGCAUGCUUCCGCUCCCGCAUGGGAAUGUGGGUUGCGUAUAUCAUGUUCACCGUCCACACUUGUGGGGGAAAGCCCUUCUGUCCAUUGUUGUUCGGCGGCUUGGGCUCCUCGUCGUCGCUGUGCAGCCCCUUGUCUCUGUUUUCGGCCCUUAACUUGCCUGCCUGCUUGAACACCCAACAAUCCCUGUUAGUGUGAUUGGCUAGCCUUUCGGGGGUGCCAUGUAUCUGGCACAAGCGAUCGAGUAUUCGGUCCAAACUGGACGGGCCCUGAGUAUUCUUUUUGAAUGGCAUUUUCCGCUGACCGGAUUUAUAGCCUUUGAAUCCGGCAUUGACUGCCGUGUCUUCAUUGCUGUCGCUGCUAACGCGGCGUUUUUGCUUAUUCCGAUGUGUCCUACCACUUUUGUCCUUGGUAUCCGAAUUACCAGGGUGCUUUGAUAAGUUGUUACUGCGAGCUAGCCAGCUGUCUUCUCCCGCGCAAAAGCGGGUCAUGAGUGUCGUGAGGGCUGCCAUGGAUUUCGGCUUUUCCUGUCCCAGGUGCCAGGCAAGCCACUCGUCGCAGAUGUUGUGCUUCAAGGCUGCCAGGGCCUCUGCGUCCGGACAGUCGACUAUCUGGUUUUUCUUUGUUAGGAACCGUGUCCAAAAUUGUCUGGCCGAUUCCUCUGGCUGCUGAAUUAUGUGGCUUAAGUCGUCGGCAUCCGGUGGUCACACGUAAGUGCCCUGGAAGUUGUCGAGGAAUGCGGCUUCCAGGUCCUCCCAAGAACCGAUUGAGUCUGCUGGCAAGCUGUUAAGCCAAUGCCGGGCCGGUCCUUUAAGUUUGAGCGGGAGGUAUUUGAUGGCGUGUAGAUCAUCGCCGCGUGCCAUGUGGAUGUGAAGGAGACAAUCCUCGAUCCAUACCGCCGGAUCUGUUGUGCCAUCGUAUGAUUCGAUGUUUAUGGGUUUGUAGCCCUCUGGGAUUUUAUGAUCCAUUACUUCAUUCGUGAAGCAUAGCGGGUGUGUGGCGCCUCUGUAUUGGGCUAUAUCACGACGUAGCUCGGAAGAGCUAUGUCUGUUGUGUUCGGCCCGGCCGGAUUUGUUGUAUCCAGAGUGAAGAUCAUUUUCCCGUGCCUUAGUUGAGAGGUGUCGGGGCAUGGCUUGGGUGGAGGGCCGAGACGCCUCUCUGUCGCGGCCGCGAGGUGGCCGGUCUGCCAUGUCAUGCGCUGGUGAUGUAGGUGCUUCCUCCUCUGAUCGGGGUAGCGGCCUAUGCUUCGGGUAACUCUUGGAGGGGCGUUCGAGUUCAUACUCUUCGGCCGCAAGGACUUCAGUCCAUCUGUCAGCUAGCAAAUCUUGGGCAGCUCUAAGUUGUUGCUGCUUUUUCUUGAGGCUGCUUGCCAUGGCUAAAAGCCUGCGUUUAAAAAGCUCUUGUUCGGCGGGGUCUGAUGGUAUGACGAAUUCGUCGUCAUUGAGGCUUGCCUCGUCUUCGGAGGGAGGCGUAUAGUUAUCAUCCUCGACCUUUCCGUCUGCCGCUCUCUCAUCAGGGCUGGCUUCUCCAUCUUCCUGUGCCGAAUCUUGCUGAGGUGGGUGUUCUUCGGCGCUAUCCGGGGUAGUAUUAUCUCUCAUGUCGGAAUCACCGUUUUUGCUUUGGCGGGAUUUAGAGCGGCGCCGCUGGUGCCGGCGCUUUGGCUGUUUCUUGGGGGCGUCAUCCCCCACUGUUCCAUCGCCAUCUCCAUCUUUUGGAGUAUCCACCAUAUAUAUGUCAUAUGAUAAGGUGGCCUUCCAGCGCCCUACAGGUGCUGGUUCCUGUUCGUCUCCUACAUUGUCGUCCAUGCCGUCGAUGUCUUUGGAGCUGAAGUCAACCAUGUAGGUUAGACCGUCGAUAAUGGCUACAAAGUGGGUGGUGGGUGGGCUUUGAAUUUCCUCAUCGUAUGUAUCCCACCCUCGCUGACCGUAGUCCGGCCAGGGCUCUCCUGAUAAAGAGAGAGACUUAAGAGAAUUCAGGAUGUCGCCAAAAGGCGAAUGCUGAAAGAUGUCUGUAGCGGUGAACUCCAUUAUCGGCACCCAAUCGGAUUCGAUUGGCAGGGGCGCGGGGGGUUCGGAGUCCGGGGAGGAGUCCGGAUCCUCGGAGUCACGGGUCGUGCAGAGUGCGGGGCUAGCGUUCGGCUCGAUCGCUUUCGGGAUCGCAGCCCCCGAGGUGACGUCCAACCGCUCAUCCUCGAUUGGCGCAAUAGGUUCCGAGUUAGGGGUCGGAACCGAUGCGUGUGCGGCCUCCAGGACACUGGCCGGGGGCAGAGCUAGAUCAUGCCCCUCGGGAUAGUGCGGCGUGCUUGGCCGUGGCUCGAGCCCGUCGAAGAUCAAGUCUCCGUGGAUGUCAGCCGUGUAGUUUAAGCUUCCAAACCUGACUUGAUGGCCAGGGGCGUAGCUUUCGAUCUGCUACAGGUGGCCGAGCGAAUUGGCUCAUAGAGCGAUGCCGCCGAAGACGAAGAUCUGUCCGGGGAGAAAAGUCUCACCCUGGACCGCAUCGUUGUUGAUGAUCAAAGGAGCCAUCGGGCCUAAAGGCGACGAGACAGAGGAACUCUCAAUGAAAGCACCAAUGUCAGUGUCAAAACCGGUGGAUCUCGAGUAGUGGGUCCCGAACUGUGCGUCUAGGCCGGAUGGUAAUAGGAGGCAGGGAACACGAUGUUUUAUCCAGGUUCGGGCCCUCUUGAUGGAGGUAAAACCCUACGUCCUGCUUGAUUAAUAUUGAUGAUAUGGGUAGUACAAGAGUAGAUCUACCACGAGAUCAAGGAGGCUAAACCCUAGAAGCUAGCCUAUGGUAUGAUUGUUGUAUAUGGAGUUGAUUGCCUACGGACAACAACCCUCCGGUUUAUAUAGACACCGGAUAGGGUUAGGGUUACAUAGAGUCGGUUACAAUGGUAGGAUAUCUUGAAUAUCCACAUCGCCAAGCUUGCCUUCCACGCCAAGGAAAGUCCCGUCCGGACACGGGAUGAAGUCUUCAAUCUUGUAUCUUCAUAGCCCAGGAGUCCGGCUGAAGGUAUAGUCCGGCUACCUGAACACCCCCUAAUCCAGGACUCCCUCAGGUAGCAAGAUGGAUUUCUGGCGCCAUUGCCGGGGAGAUUCGCGCCAAGUCAAGACAUACCAAGUACCCAUCACAAACCCUUAUCCCUCGCAUUACAUUAUUUUCCAUUUGCCUCUUGUUUUCCUCUCCCCCACUUCACCCUUGCCAUUUUAUGCGCCCUCUCUUUUUCCGUUCCCCUCUUUUCCACUUGCUUUGUCGUUAUGGCUAGUCCUUUAUCUACUCCUUUGUCUCCCGAGAAUGAAGUUCUUAAUUUUAAACAAAGGGAGGGAGAAAAUCUAAAAGAUGCUUGGUACAGAAUUUGCAACACACAAAUUAGAUCUACUAGGAAACAAUCUACUUUUGUUCUUCUUCACGAUUUUUAUGUAGGCAUCACACCUUGGAAUAGAUAUAUUCUUGAUGCCAUUACCGGAGGGAAUUUCUUGGGUAGCCAUACUUUUGAUUCUUAUAAUGCUAUGAUAGAUCUGUUUGGCCCACCACCUCUUUUGGUUAAUGGAACUAUUUUAACUUUGGAACAUGUGAUGCAAUGGCUUGAAAUUAGUGAAAAUAAAGUUGCCACCAUAGAGUUAAUUGAAAAUUUGGAUAGAAAGAUCCAUAACCAAAUUACCCAAUACGGAUCUAAGUUAGGAGUUGCUCUUAAAAGUUUUAAAGAAAAGGGACCUAUGGUUAAUGAAAAGAUAGAAAAGGAUUCCACUAGAAUUGAUAAAAUUGAGGAUAUUAUUACCAACCUUGGGUCUUCCUUUUCUUCUAUUAUAAAUACUCCGCCUAAUGCUAAGAUUGCCAAACUAAUGUAUGUUACAAAAAAUAAGGGUGAAACUUCUAAUAAGGAAAAUGCGGAUCUCAAAUCCAUAAGUGUUCACCCCAAUUUUCUCACUAUCCUUAAGGAACCUUUUGCUACAAAUGAUUUUCUUGAUUUCAUACCUAGGAGUUUGAUAAUUAAUAAAAACAAAGAAACUCCUAAAAGUUAUUGGUGUGUUAUUGAAGAAUCACCUUCCAAAGACGGCAAUACCUAGGUCUAUCUUCGCUUUUAUGCCUAGCUAGGGGCGUUAAACGAUAGCGCUUGUUGGGAGGCAACCCAGUUUUACUUUUAUUCCUUGAUGUUUGCUCCUAUUUAGUAAUAAAUAAUUUAUGUAGCCUAUGUUUUGGUUGUGUUUUUUGUGUUUAAUUUGUGUUUGUGCCAUGUAGAACCAUUGGGUAGACUUGGGGAAAGUCUUUUUGAUCUUGCUGUAAAAAACAGAAACGUUAGCGCUCACGAGAAUCGCUGACAUUUUUAUUUGGAAAGUGAUAUUUAGAUAAUUCUUUUUGCGGAUGAUUAAUAGAUAAAUUCCUCACGUCCAGCAAUUUAUUUUAUAAUUUUUGGGGUUACAGAAGUUCGCGUUAGGUACAGAUUACUACAGACUGUUCUGUUUUUGACAGAUUCUGUUUUUCGUGUAUUGUUUGCUUAUUUUGAUGAAUCUAUGGCUAGUCAAAGAGGUUAUAAACCGUAGAGAAGUUGGAAUACAGUAGGUUUAACACCAAUAUAAAUCAAGAUUGAGUUCAUAACAGUACCUUGAAGUGGUGUUUUGUUUUCUUUCGCUAACGGAGCUCACGAGAUUUUCUGUUUGAGUUUUUUGUUGUGAAGUUUUCAAGUUUUGGGUAAAGAUUUGAUGGAUUAUGGAACAAGGAGUGGCAAGAGCCUAAGCUUGGGGAUUCCCAUGGCACACCAAGGUAAAAUUAAAGGACACCAAAAAGCCUAAGCUUGGGGAUGCCCCGAAAGGCAUCCCCUCUUUCGUCUUCGUCUAUUGGUAACUUUACUUGGAGCUAUAUUUUUAUUCACCACAUGAUAUGUGUUUUGCUUGGAGCGUCUUGUAUGAUUUGAUUAUUUGAUUUUUAGUUUACCAAAAUCAUCCUUGCUGUACACACCUUUUGAGAGAGACUCACAUGAUUGGGAAUUUAUGAGAAUACUCUAUGUGCUUCACUUAUAUCUUUUGAGCUAUAUGGUUUUUGUUCUAGUUCUUCGCUUAUAUAUUUUAGAGAAUGGCGGUGGUUUUAUUUUAUAGAAAUAAUUGUUCUCUCAUGCUUCACUUAUAUUAUUUUGAUAGUCCUUUAGAACAACAUGGCAAUAAUAAAACUGUCAUACAAGUGCAUUGAAUACUAUGAGAAGUUUGAUACUUGAUAAUUGUUUUGAGAUAUGGAGAUGGUGAUAUUAGAGUCAUGCUAGUUGUGUAGUUGUGAAUUUGAGAAAUACUUGUGUUGAAGUUUGUGAUUCCCGUAGCAUGCACGUAUGGUGAACCGUUAUGUGACGAAGUCAGAUCAUGAUUUAUUUGUUGAUUGUCUUCCUUAUGAGUGGCGGUCGGGGAUGAGCAAUGGUCUUUUACUACCAAUCUAUCUCCCUAGGAGCAUGGGCAUAAUACUUUGCUUUGAUAACUUAUAGAUUUUUGCAAUAAGUAUGUGAGUUCUUUCUGAGCAAUGUUGAGUCCAUGGAUCAUACGCACUCUCACCCUUCCACCAUUGCUAGCCUCUCUAAUACCGUGCACUUCUCGCCGAUAUCAUACACCCACCAUAUACCAUCCUCAAAACAGCCACCAUACCUACCUAUUAUCACUAGUGCAGAACCGGGCAAUAGCACCGGUUCGUAAGGCCCUUUAGUGCCGGUUUAGGAACCGGCACUAUUAUUUCGGCACUAAACCCCCCCCCCUUUAGUACCGGUUCAGCACGAACCGGUGCUAAAGGGGUACCACGUGGCACGAGCCAGCUCCGGGGGCCGGGAGCCCUUUAGUACCGGUUGGUAAAACCAACCGGUACUAAAUGGUUGUGGGUUUUUGUUUUAUUUUGUAUUUUUCAAUUAAAUUUGUGUUAUCAAUUUAAAUUAGGAUUGUUUUACGUUAUAAUGAGUUGUAGUCGUCAUCAUCAUCAUCAUCAUCGCAUAUUAAUAAAUAAAUAAACUCUAGCUAGCUAAAAAUCAUCGUGGUCGUCUAAUUACCACUAUUUAAUCAUCAUAGUCAUUACCGCUAGCUAUGUAAUCAUCAUCAACGUUGGCUAGCUUAAAGAGGAAACAUUCACUUUGUAACAGAAGCAAAGAGAUAUCAUCAAGUUCAACAUAAUCAUCACCAACAUCGAAGUUCAGGACACGGAUCCAUGAGACGAGUACUAAUUAAGAGCAUGAAGUAGUAGCUACUGAUCCUGCUUCUCCCUCUCAGGUAGAAUAGCACAGAACAUGUAUAGCUCUCCUGAUUCAUCAUACUGAAGCAUGCAGAUGAAUCUGUCUCCUAAUCUUGGGUUGCGCUUCUCCUUACUGCCCCCUAGUACUUCUCUGCGAUCGUUAACAAUUUUGCUCCAAUCUUUCACUAUUAAGCAUUCUUCGCUUUUAGAAAUCCUGAAUGCACUCAUGUGCAAUGUAGGAAAUCUUGGUCGUAAGCUAACCAUUGACAUGCGACCUUUUGUCUCGAUCCACUAAGGCACAACUGUCAUCGGAAGUCCCUGUUGAACAACAUCGUAUAGUAAUUAAUAUACUAAGCAAUGAAAGUUUAGCUUUAAAAAUAAUGUACGCAAAAGAUGCACUAAUUAAGGACAAAUAUUUAAAAUCUUACCAUCUUUUGAUUAUAGAUGUGACCGUAGUUCAAGGCGAUCACCAUUGGUCGCACGUUUUGAGUACUAACAUUUCUAAGUUUAGAAAAAAAAUUGUCUUGACAGUAUUAAGAUCCUCAAGCCAUGAAACACAAUGACUUAUUUCCUCGCAGUUUAGUUGAGCCCCGAGGUAGUAGUAGGUCCUGUCUACCAAGCGCCGGACAUGUUUGCUUGAACCGAAAUAAGCUGACAAUACACAUCAGUUGUCAACUAUUUUUGAAUAAACUGUACGAAAGACAUAAACGUAUAUAUGCAUGCAUGGUUGAGAAAAACUCACCAAAUGGUAGAACUGGAGGCGUUUGCACAUCGACCCAGAUGUCUAUAUUACCUUCAAUAUCAUCUUCCGGACGAAUAUCAAAGGUGAUAACCAUAUCAGGCUCAAAUGCAUAAGCCUUGCAUAGUGCUUGCCAAGUUUUGCAUUCAAAAUGGGUGUAUGUGCCUCCAUUAUAUAAUUUGACGUUGAAAGUAUACCCAUGCUCCGUCUUCAAGUAAACUCUCUUUACCUCCAUAUCAUCUAUAGCACUAAAACCUAUCUUAUAUAAUACAAAAAUUCUUGUAUGGCAGGGGAUGCGCUAGUAGAAUAGUGAAAAUUUAAAAUUAUAAGUUGAAGCAAAUGAAGCAUAAGUUUUGCAUUCAAAUAAUAAUUGACAAAGUGGCUUACUGUAUCAACUUCAAAUGUCUCAUCCAGCUUGAUGUUGAAGCGCCUACCAUCAACAAGGAAAUUUUGGUCGCACAGGCCGCGCUGGUCUUCACAGUGUUCGCACAUAAUAAAAUCUUUUUAGUUGUCAGAUGACAUUUCCUAUGUUCAUAUAGGUGAAACAUUAAACACCUAUAUCUAGCCAAAUAUAUAUUCAUCUAACAUUUGACAUUAAUAUAUCUAACUAUAUAUUCAAUUGACAUUACUAUAUAUUUAACUUUUCUAUCUAAUUCAUCUAACAUUCGACAUUAAUCUAACAUUUAUAUAAACUCAAAAUAUAUAAAAAAUUAAAUAAACAGAAAAACUCAUUAACAAAUAAUAUUUUAAUUAGAUCAUCAAAUCUCAUAUACCUAAAUUUUCUUACUAAAAAUAAACUAGUUAUAUUAAUUAUUCAACUAGUUCUAAUCUNNNNNNNNNNNNNNNNNNNNNNNNNNNNNNNNNNNNNNNNNNNNNNNNNNNNNNNNNNNNNNNNNNNNNNNNNNNNNNNNNNNNNNNNNNNNNNNNNNNNNNNNNNNNNNNNNNNNNNNNNNNNNNNNNNNNNNNNNNNNNNNNNNNNNNNNNNNNNNNNNNNNNNNNNNNNNNNNNNNNNNNNNNNNNNNNNNNNNNNNNNNNNNNNNNNNNNNNNNNNNNNNNNNNNNNNNNNNNNNNNNNNNNNNNNNNNNNNNNNNNNNNNNNNNNNNNNNNNNNNNNNNNNNNNNNNNNNNNNNNNNNNNNNNNNNNNNNNNNNNNNNNNNNNNNNNNNNNNNNNNNNNNNNNNNNNNNNNNNNNNNNNNNNNNNNNNNNNNNNNNNNNNNNNNNNNNNNNNNNNNNNNNNNNNNNNNNNNNNNNNNNNNNNNNNNNNNNNNNNNNNNNNNNNNNNNNNNNNNNNNNNNNNNNNNNNNNNNNNNNNNNNNNNNNNNNNNNNNNNNNNNNNNNNNNNNNNNNNNNNNNNNNNNNNNNNNNNNNNNNNNNNNNNNNNNNNNNNNNNNNNNNNNNNNNNNNNNNNNNNNNNNNNNNNNNNNNNNNNNNNNNNNNNNNNNNNNNNNNNNNNNNNNNNNNNNNNNNNNNNNNNNNNNNNNNNNNNNNNNNNNNNNNNNNNNNNNNNNNNNNNNNNNNNNNNNNNNNNNNNNNNNNNNNNNNNNNNNNNNNNNNNNNNNNNNNNNNNNNNNNNNNNNNNNNNNNNNNNNNNNNNNNNNNNNNNNNNNNNNNNNNNNNNNNNNNNNNNNNNNNNNNNNNNNNNNNNNNNNNNNNNNNNNNNNNNNNNNNNNNNNNNNNNNNNNNNNNNNNNNNNNNNNNNNNNNNNNNNNNNNNNNNNNNNNNNNNNNNNNNNNNNNNNNNNNNNNNNNCGGCGGCGGGGACAGCGACGAUGACGACGGACGACGGUACGGGCGACGGGCGGCGACGACGGGAUCGAGCGGUCCGCGCGGCGGAGGUGGGAGACGAAGUGGGGAGUUGAAACUGAAAUUUUCGUAAGUGCUAUAUAUAUAUAUAUAUAUAUAUAUAUAUAUAUAUAUAUAUAUAUAUAUAUAUGAUUGGCCUUUAGUACCGAAUCGUGGCUCCAACCGGUACUAAAGGCCUAUUUUCGCCAGGCCAAGCGGCGGGAAACGAAGGCUUUUAGUACCGGUUGGAGCCACCAACCGGUACUAAAGGGGGGCCUUUAGUACCGGUUGGAGCCACCAACCGGUACUAAAGGCCUUGCGCUGCCACCCCAAAAUUUAGUCCCACCUCGCCCGGCGAAGGGCAGCCGCACUGGUUUAUAAACCUAGCCGCGGCUACCUCUUCGAACUCCUCUAUAUAGCAGCCUUCUGGGCCUAAUUAAUUAGGGCGCGCUGCCAUGUGAGUCUGCUGGCCCUUCUGGGCCUGCAUUUGCACACCCUAGGUCUGGUAGACCCACAGGGCAGUGCGCCAACAAAUUUUUUAUAUAGUUUUAUCUUUUCUGCAUUACUUAUUUUCUUUUAUUUAUUUUUGAGUAGUUUUUUAUAUAGUUUUUGUUUUCUGCAUUAUUUAUUUUCUUCUAUUUAUUUUUGAGUAAUUUUUUUGUAUAGUUUUUUUAUUUUCUGCAUUACUUAUUUUUGCAUAGUCCGAAACCCUGAUACUCGGAAAGAGUUUGUCCAGUUUGUACACGAAGUGCGUCCAGUUUUUGCCGUGACCCUCUCUACUCUUUCGCGCAUGCUAUGCGGGUGAUACGAUGAUACCAUGCCAAGUUUCAACAUUUUCAGGAUUCAUUUUGUAGUGAUUUUCAAUUUCACGGUCAUUUAGCUCUCUAAACAAUUAGGUAAAUGACUGAAAAACAACAAAUGAUGUCAGAACAUGUUGAAAAUUGAUGACGUCGCUUUAAAUGCUGCAUACUGAACACAAAAGAAGUCCGGAGUACAAAUAAGUUUAAAAAACAUUGAAGUGGCCAUGUAACAGAUGAGUUCUCGUCCGAAACCCUGAUACUCGGAAAGAGUAUGUCCAUUUUGUACACGAAGUGCGUCCAGUUUUUGCCGUGACCCUCUCUACUCUUUCGCGCAUGCUAUGCGGGUGAUAUGAUGAUACCAUGCCAAGUUUCAGCAUUUUCAGGAUUCAUUUUGUAGUGAUUUUCAAUUUCACGGUCAUUUAGCUCUCUAAACAAUUAGGUAAAUGACCGAAAAACAACAAAUGAUGUCAGAAUAGACUGCACUGCACAUAGCUCAGUGUAGACUACACUGCACAUAGCUCAGUGCAAUCUAUGUUAUUCCGCAAGGCUUGAAGCUAAUCAACAUGUAGAUGAGCAUUGCAAUUCUUCGUCAUUGUCUGUGCACUCACGGCUUAUAAACCGCUCAUACUGCCUCUCUCUUGGCGAGGUGGGACUAAAAACAACUUGCCAUAACCUCAUCAAUUUCCUCUUGAAGCUUGUCCUUGCCUUUUUGCUUGUAUUCUUGUGGUGGAAGAUCAUCUUGAGCUUGUGUCCCCUUGAAGGAAGUAGGAUACUUCUCUUGUUGAGGAACAAACUUUGUCUUGGGGUAUUGAUCUUCUUCCCACUCAACUCCAUUGGCAUUGAACUUUCGUUCAAAACCAACACCUUGAUUCUUCCAGUGCCUUCCUUGCUUGCGCACAAUUUCCUCGAAUUGCUUACUCCCGGCAAGGCUUUUGUACAUUCCUUUCUCUAUAAUUCCCUUCAAUAAGCUAUUUUCUUGCUCAAGUGUAACUUGGCUAAGAGAAUCAUUAGUGGAAUCAAGAGAACUACUAGAAGCAACAAUGUUAGAUCUUAUGUCACAAAAAAGAAGUCGUAUCAAACCUUUUAUGUCGGAUCUAGAACAAACCAAUCGGUAUCGCCAUCAUACAGCCCUACCGUGGCUUGUGAUGCAUAUAUAUAUGCAUAUCAAAUGCACGGUUGGGCGUAUGAUGGCGAAUCCGAAUGAUUUGUAUUCAGUCGAUGAACUGGUAGAUGUAUGCAGUCGAUGAACUGGUAGAUGUAUGUAGUCGAUGAACUGAAAGACUUAUGCAGGGAAGGCGAGAGAUGGGCUAUAUAUAGGGUCGUCUGGCUCACAAAGUGAUUGUGGUAGUUUCGAUCCAACGACUCACAUGAGCUAGGAAGAAGCACACCCUUGAUCCAACGACUCGCAAGAGCUAUAAAGAAACACACGAUCCAUGUGAUUCUUCCUGAUUGGUGGGAUGCACAUUAGUAUCGGUUUGUGCCAUGAACUGGUGCUAAAGAUUGGCAAUGAACCGGUACUAAUGGUAGCAGCCCGCCUAGCCGUUGGAAUCGGCACUAAUGGUCACAUUUGUGCCGGCUCAAAUUCAAACCGGCACUAUAAUGUGCUUCACAUUUGACUGUUUUUCUACUAGUCAAUAGAGUUUGCCAAACUUGAGUUUCCCAAGUCACUUACACAAAAAGCUAUGAUUCAUGGUUGUCAAAUCCAUAAUUUACAAACCACAACAACCUUGAGGCAUAACAAGCUUUAAAUGCUGCAUACUGAACACAAAAGAAGUCCAGAGUUUAAAUAAGUUAUUAAAAAUAAAAAAGAGGUGCAAUGCUGGUUAAUUUGCUUCAAGCUAUUCGGAAUAGUGUAGAUUGCACUAAGCCACUGCACAUAGCUCAGUGCAAUCUAUGCUAUUCCGCAAGGCUUGAAGCUAAUCAACAUGUAGGUGAGCAUUGCAACUCUUCGUCAUUGUCUGUGCACUCACGGCUUAUAAACCGCUCAUACUACCUCUCUCUUGGCGAGGUGGGACUAAAAACAUCUUGCCAUAACCUCAUUAGUACUGGUUCAUGGUACGAACCGGCACUAAAUGGUGAUGGUGGGGCCAUAGCCUGACCGCAGGCUGACACAGCCUCUUUAGUACCGGUUCGUGGCAUGAACCGGUACUAAAGGUUCGCCACGAACCGGUACUAUUGAUCGCCGCCACGAACCGGCACUAAUGUACACAUUAGUGCCGGCUCUAAUUCAAACCGGCACUAAUGUGCUUCACAUUUGACCCUUUUUCUACUAGUGUAUGGCAUUUCCAUAGCCAUUCCGAGAUAUAUUGCCAUGCAACUUUCCAUCGUUCCAUUAUUAUGACACACUUCAUCAUUGUCAUAUUUGCUUGCAUGAUCAUGUAGUUGGCAUCGUAUUUGUGCAAAGCCACCAUUCAUAAUUCUUCAUACAUGUCACUCUUGAUUCACUGCAUAUCCCGGUACACCGCCGGAGGCAUUCACAUAGAGUCAUAUUUUGUUCUAAGUAUCGAGUUGUAAUUCUUGAGUUGUAAGUAAAUAAAAGUGUGAUGAUCAUCAUUAUUAGAGAAUUGUCCCAAGUGAGGAAAGGAUGGAGACUAUGAUUCCACAACAAGUCGGCAUGAGACUCCGGACGAAAAUAAAAAAAGAGGGAAAAAAGAGAAAGGCCAUAAAAAAGAAGGCCCAAAAAAUGAGAGAAAAAGAGAGAAGGGGCAAUGUUACUAUCCUUUUUCCACACUUGUGCUUCAAAGUAGCACCAUCAUCUUCAUGAUAGAGAGUCUCCUAUGAUAUCACUUUCAUAUACUAGUGGGAAUUUUUCAUUAUAGAACUUGGCUUGUAUAUUCCAAUGAUGGGCUUCCUCAAAUUGCCCUAGGUCUUCGUGAGCAAGCAAGUUGGAUGCACACCCACUUAGUUUCUUUUGUUGAGCUUUCAUACACUUAUAGCUCUAGUGCAUCCGUUGCAUGGCAAUCCCUACUCAAUCACAUUGAUAUCUAUUAAUGGGCAUCUCCAUAGCCCGUUGAUACGCCUGUUCUGGAGCUCCGCCAGAGGGGGCAUCGAUCACGGAGGGCUUCUACAUCAACAGCAUAGCCUCUCCGAUGAAGUGUGAGUAGUUGACCUCAGACCUACGGGUCCAUAGUUAUUACCUAGAUGGCUUCUUCUCUCUUUUUGGAUCUCAAUACAAUGUUCUCCCCCUCUCUUGUGGAGAACUAUUCGAUGUAAUCUUCUUUUUGCGGUGUGUUUAUUGAGAUCGAUGAAUUGUGGGUUUAUGAUCAAGUCUAUCUAUGAAUAAUAUUUGAAUCUUCUCUGAAUUCUUUUAUGUAUGAUUGUUUAUCUUUGCAAGUCUCCUCGAAUUAUCAGUUUGGUUUGGCCUACUAGAUUGAUCUUUCUUACAAUGGGAGAAGUGCUUAGCUUUGGGUUCAAUCUUGCGGUGUCCUUUCCCAGUGACAGCAGGGGCAGCAAGGCAUGUAUUGUAUUGUUGCUAUCGAGGACAACAAGAUGAGGUUUUCAUCAUAUUGCAUGAGUCUAUCCCUCUACAUCAUGUCAUCUAGCUUAAGGCGUUACUCUGUUUUUAACUUAAUACUCUAGAUGCAUGCUGGAUAGCGGUCGAUGAGUGGAGUAAUAGUAGUAGAUGCAGGCAGGAGUCGGUCUACUUGUCUCGGACGUGAUGCCUAUAUACAUGAUCAUACCUAGAUAUUCUCAUAAAUAUGCUCAAUUAUGUCAAUUGCUCAACAGUAAUUUGUUCACCCACCAUAGAAUUAUUAUGCUCUCGAGAGAAUCUACUAGUGAAACCUAUGGCCCCCGGGUCUAUCUUUAUCAUAUUAAUCUCCUACUACUUAGUUAUUUCCUUUGCUUUUUCCUUUGCCUUUAUUUUACUUUUCAUCUUUAUCACAAAAAUACCAAACAUAUUAUCUUUAUCAUAUCUAUCAGAUCUCACUCUCAUAAGUGGCCGUGUAGGGAUUGACAACCCCUAUUCGCGUUGGUUGCGAGGAUUUAUUUGUUUUGUGCAAGUACGAGGGACUCGCGCGUAGCCUCCUACUGGAUUGAUACCCUUGGUUCUCAAACUGAGGGAAAUACUUACGCUACUUUGCUACAUCAUCCCUUCCUCUUCGGGGAAAACCAACGCAGUGCUCAAGAGGUAGCAAGAAGGAUUUCUGGUGCCAAUGCCGGGGAGGUCUACGCAAAAGUCAACAUACCAAGUACCCGUCACAUACCCUUAUCUCCCGCAUUACAUUAUUUGCCAUUUGCCUCUCGUUUUCACCUCCCCCACUUCACCCUUGCCAUUUUAUUCGCCCUCUCUCUCUCUCUAUCCUCCCUCUCUUUCUCUAUUUGCCUCUUUUUUCCCGCUUGCUUUCUGUUUGCUUGUGUGUUAGUUGCUUGCUUGUCACGAUGGCUCAAGAUAAUACUAAAUUAUGUGACUUCACCAAUACCAACAACAAUCAUUUUAUUAGCACUCCGAUUGCUCCUCUUACCGAUGCUGAAUCUUGUGAAAUUAAUACUGCUUUGCUGAAUCUUGUCAUGAAAGAUCUGUUUUCCGGCCUUCCUAGUGAACAUGCCGGUACCCACCUAAAUAGAUUCAUUGAUUUGUGUGACAUGCAAAAAAAAGAAAGGUGUGGAUAAUGAUAUUGUUAAAUUGAAGCUAUUUCCUUUUUUGCUUAGAGAUCGUGCUAAAGCUUGGUUUUCGUCUUUGCCUAAAAAUAGUAUUGAUUCAUGGAAUAAGUGCAAAGAUGCUAUUAUCUCUAAGUAUUUUCCUCCUACUAAGAUCAUCUCUCUUAGAAACAAUAUUAUGAAUUUUAAGCAACUUGAUCAUGAACAUGUUGCACAAGCUUGGGAGAGAAUGAAACUAAUGGUACGUAAUUGCCCUGCCCAUGAUUUAAAUUUGUGGAUGAUUAUACAAAAAUGUUAUGCCGGAUUGAAUUUUGCUUCUAGAAAUCUUUUAGAUUCGGCCGCGGGAGGCACUUUUAUGGAAAUCACUUUAGAAGAAUCUACUAAACUCCUAGAUAAUAUUAUGGUUAAUUAUGCUCAACGGCAUAGUAAAAUAUCUAAUAAUAAAAAGGUGCAUGCGAUACAAGAAAUUAAUGUUUUGAGUGGAAAGAUGGAUGAACUUCUGAAAUUAUUUGCUAAUAAGAGUGUUUCUUCUGAUCCUAAUGAUAUACCCUUGUCUACUUUGAUUGAGAAUAGUAAUGAAUCUAUGGAUGUGGAUUUUGUUGGUAGGAACAAUUUUGGUAACAACGCGUAUAGAGGAAAUUUCAACCCUAGGCCUUAUCCUAGUAAUCUCUCUAAUAAUUAUGGUAAUUCCUACAACAAUUCUUAUGGAAAUUAUAAUAAGAUGCCCUCUAAUUUUGAAUCUAAUAUUAAAGAAUUUAUUACUUUGCAAAAGAAUUUCAAUACCUUGAUUGAAGAAGAACCGCUAGGAUGCGUGCUAAGAAAGAUGCCUUUAUAAGAGCGUGUUCUUCUAGUUCCUAUGAAAAUAAUGAUGAAGAUCUAAAAGUUAUUGAUGUGUUCCCUAUUAAAUCUUUGUUUUUCAACAUGGAUCUUGAUAAUGAUGGGAUUGAAUAUGAUCCACCUUUACCUAUAAGGCGUUCCAAGAAUUCAGAAUUUGUUGAUCUUGAUGCUAAAAUUGAUAAAGGUGGGAUUGAAGAAAUUAAAACCCUAGAUGUUGCUAAACCCACUAUUAUGGAUUUCAAGGAAUUUAACUAUGAAAAUUGCUCUUUUAUUGAUUGUAUAUCCUUUUUACAAUCCGUGCUAAAUUCUCCUCAUGCUUAUAGUCAAAAUAAAGCGUUUACUAAACAUAUCGUUGAUGCCUUGAUGCAAUCUUAUGAAGAAAAACUUGAAUUGGAAGUUUCUAUCCCUAGAAAGCUUUAUGAUGAGUGGGAACCAACUAUUAAAAUUAAAAUUAAAUAUCAUUAAUGCUAUGCUUUAUGUGAUUUGGGUGCUAGUGUUUCCACGAUUUCAAAGACUUUGUGUGAUUUGUUAGGUUUCCGUGAUUUUGAUGAUUGCUCUUUAAACUUGCGCCUUGUGGAUUCCACUAUUAAGAAACCUAUGGGAAGAAUUAAUGAUGUUCUUAUUGAUGCAAAUAGGAAUUAUGUGCCUGUAGAUUUUAUUGUUCUUGACAUAGAUUGCAAUCUUUCAUGUCCUAUUAUUCUUGGUAGACCUUUCCUUAGAACGAUUGGUGCAAUUAUUGAUAUGAAGGAAGGAAAUAUUAGAUUCCAAUUUCCAUUAAGGAAAGUCAUGGAACACUUUACUAGAAAGUAAAUUAAAUUACCUUAUGAAUCUAUUAUGAUAGCCACUUAUGGAUUGCCUACCAAAGAUGGCAAUACCUAGAUCUAUCCUUGCUUGUUAUGCCUAGCUAGGGGCGUUAAACGAUAGCGCUUGUUGGGAGGCAACGCAAUUUUGUUUUUAUUCCUUGAUUUUUGCUCCUGUUUAGUAAUAAAUAAUUUAUCUAGCCUCUGUUUUGGUUGUGUCCUUUGUGUUUAAUUAGUGUUGGUGCCAAGUAGAACCGUUAGGAAGACUUGGGGAAAGUCUUGUUACACUUGCUGUAAAAAACAGAAACUUCAGCGCUCACGAGAACUACUGCCAUUUUUAUUUGGAAAGUUCUAUUUAGUUAAUUAUUUCUGCAGAUGAUUAAUAGAUAAAUUCCUCACGUCCAGAAAUUUAUUUUAGAAUUUUUGGGGUUCCAGCUCUUGAGCUAGGUACAGAUUACUACAGACUGUUCUGUUUUUGAAAGAUUUUGUUUUUCAUGUGUUGUUUGCUUAUUUUGAUGAACCUAUGGCUAGUAAAAUAGUUGAUAGACCAUAGAUAAGUUGGAAUACAGUAGGUAUAACACCAAUAUAAAUAAAUAAUGAGUUCAUUAUAGUACCUUGAAGUGGUCUUUUAUUUUCUUUCGCUAACGGAGCUCACGAGAUUUUCUACUUUAAGUUUUGUGUUGUGAAGUUUUCGAGUUUUGGGUAAAGAUUUGAUGGUUUAUGGAACAAGGAGUGACAAGAGCCUAAGCUUGGGGAUGCCCAUGGCACCCCCAAGAUAAUCUAAGUACACCUAAAAGCCAAAGCUUGGGGAUGCCCCGGAAGUCAUCCCCUCUUUCGUCUACUUCUAUCGGUAACUUUACUUGGAGCUAUAUUUUUAUUCGCCACAUGAUAUGUGUUUUGCUUGGAGCAUCUUGUAUUAUUUGACUCUUUAUUUGUUAGUUUACCACAAUCAUCCUUCCUGUACACACCUUUUUUAGAAUACUCUAUGUGCUUCGCUUAUAUCUUUUGAGUUAUAUAGUUUUGCUCUAGUACUUCACUUAUAUCUUUUAGAGCACGGUGGUGGAUUUGUUUUAUAAAAACUAUUGAUCUCUCAUGCUUCACUUAGAUUAUUUUGAGAUGCUUAAUAGCAUGGUAAUUUGCUUAAAAUCCUAAUAUGCUAGGUAUUCAAAGUUAGUAUAAUUUUCUUAAGAGUGUUUUGAAUACUAAGAGAAGUUUGAUGCUUGAUGAUUGUUUUGAGAUAUGGAGGUAAUAAUAUCAAAGUCGUGCUAGUUGAGUAGUUGUGAAAUUGAGAAAUACUUGUGUUGAAAUUUGCAUGUCCCGUAGCAUGCACAUAUGGUAAACGUUGUGUAACAAAUUUGAAACAUCAGGUGUUAUUUGAUUGUCUUCCUUAUGAGUGGCGGUCGGGGACGAGCGAUGGUCUUUUCCUACCAAUCUAUCCCCCUAGGAGCAUGCGCGUAGUACCGAGGUUUUUGAUCACUUGUAGAUUUUUGCAAUAAGUAUGUGAGUUCUUUAUGACUAAUGUUGAGUCCAUGAAUUAUACGCACUCUCACCCUUCCAUCCUUGCUAGCCUCUUCGGUACCGUGCAUUGCCCUUUCCCACAUUGAGUGUUGGAGCAAACUUCGCCGGUGCAUCCAAACCCCGUGAUAUGAUACGCUCUUUCACACAUAAACCUCCUUAUAUCUUCCUCAAAACAGCCACCAUACCUACCUAUUAUGGCAUUUCCAUAGCCAUUCCGACAUAUAUUGCCAUGCAACUUUCCACCAUUCCGUUCAUCAUGACACAUUCAUCAUUGUCAUAUUGCUUAGCAUAAUCAUGUUGUUGACAUAGUAUUUGUGGCAAGGCCACUGUUCAUAAUUCUUUCAUACAUGUCACUCUUGGUCCAUUGCAUAUCCCGGUACACCGCUGGAGGCAUUCAUAUAGAGUCAUACUUUGUUCUAGUAUCGAGUAGUAAUUAUUGAGUUGUAAAUAAAUAGAAGUGUGAUGAUCAUCAUUAAUAGAGCAUGGUCCCAAAGAGAGAAAAAAGGAAGGGCCAAAAAAGGCCAAAUAAAAAAUAUAAAAAAGGGGGGCAAUGCUACUAUCCUUUUUUCCACACUUGUGAUUCAAAGUAGCACUGUAAUCUUCAUGAUAGAGAGUAUCUUGAUUUGUCACUUUCAUAUACUAGUGGGAAUUUUUCAUUAUAGAACUUGGCUUGUAUAUUCCAACAAUGGGCCUCCUUAAGUGCCCUAGGUCUUCGUGAGCAAGCAAGUUGGAUGCACACCCACUUAGUUUCUUUUGUUGAGCUUUCAUACAUUUAUAGCUCUAGUGCAUCCGUUGCAUGGCAAUCCCUACUCCUUGCAUUAACAUCAAUCGAUGGGCAUCUCCAUAGCCCAUUGAUUAGCCUCGUUGAUGUGAGACUUUCUCCUUUUUGUCUUCUCCACAUAACUCCACUCAUUAUAUUCUAUUCCACCCAUAGUGUUAUGUCCAUGGCUUGCAAUCAUAUAUUGCGUGGAAGUUUAUAGGUUUGAGAUCACUAAAGUAUGAAACAAUUGCUUAGCUUGUCAUCGGGGUUGUGCAUGAUGAGAGCGUUGUUGUGUGACAAAAAUGAAGCAUGACUAAACUAUAUGAUUUUGUAGGGAUGAACUUUCUUUGGCCAUGUUAUUUUGAGAAGACAUAAUUGCUCAGUUAGUAUGCUUGAAGUAUUAUUAUUUUUAUGUCAAUAUGAACUUUUGUCUUGAAUCUUUCGGAUCUGAAUAUUCAUAUCACAAUUAAGAAGAAUUACAUUAAAAUCAUGCUAAGUAGCACUCUGCAUCAAAAAUUCUGUUUUUAUCAUUUACCUACUCGAGGACGAGCAGGAAUUAAGCUUGGGGAUGCUUGAUACGUCUCCAACGUAUCUAUAAUUUUUGAUUGCUCCAUGCUAUAUUAUCUACUGUUUUGGACAAUAUUGGGCUUUAUUAUCCACUUUUAUAUUAUUUUUGGGACUAACCUAUUAACCGGAGGCCCAGCCCAGGAUUGCUGUUUUUUGCCUAUUUUAGGGUUUCGAAGAAAAGGAAUAUCAAACGGAGUCCAAACGGAAUGAAACCUUCGGGAACGUGAUUUUCUCAACGAACAAGACCCAGGAGACUUGGACCCUCCGUCAAGACACAAAAGAGGAGGCCACGAGGUAGGGGGCGUGCCUACCCCCCGGGCGCGCCCUCCACCCUCGUGGGCCCCCUGUUGCUCCACCGACGUACUCCUUCCUCCUAUAUAUACCUACGUACCCCCAAAUGAUCAUAUACGGAGCCAAAACCCUAAUUACACCGCCGCAACAUUUUGUAUCCACGAGAUCCCAUCUUGGCGCCUGUUCCGGAGCUCCGCCGGAGGGGGCAUCGAUCAUGGAGGGCUUCUACAUCAACACCAUAGCCUCUCCGAUGAAGUGUGAGUAGUUGACCUCAGACCUACGGGUCCAUAGUUAUUACCUAGAUGGCUUCUUCUCUCUUUUUGGAUCUCAAUACAAUGUGCUCCCCCUCUCUUGUGGAGAACUAUUCGAUGUAAUCUUCUUUUUGUGGUGUGUUUGUUGAGACCGAUGAAUUUUGGGUUUAUGAUCAAGUCUAUCUAUGAAUAAUAUUUGAAUCUUCUCUGAAUUCUUUUAUGUAUGAUUGGUUAUCUUUGCAAGUCUCUUCGAAUUACCCGUUUGGUUUGGCCUACUAGAUUGAUCUUUCUUGCAAUGGGAGAAGUGCUUAGCUUUGGGUUCAAUCUUGCGGUGUCCUUUCCCAGUGACAGUAGGGGCAGCAAGGUACGUAUUGUAUUGUUGCCAUCGAGGACAACAAGAUGGGGUUUUCAUCAUAUUUUAUGAGUCUAUCCCUCUACAUCAUGUCAUCUUACUUAAGGCAUUAAUCUGUUUUUAACUUAAUACUCUAGAUGCAUGCUGGAUAGCGGUCGAUGAGUGGAGUAAUAGUAGUAGAUGCAGGCAGGAGUCGGUCUACUUGUCUCGGACGUGAUGCCUAUAUACAUGAUCAUACCUAGAUAAUCUCAUAACUAUGCUCAGUUCUGUCAAUUGCUCAAUAGUAAUUUGUUCACCCACCGUAGAAUACUUAUGCUCUUGAGAGAAGCCACUAGUGAAACCUAUGGCCCCCGGGUCUAUCUUUAUCAUAUUAAUCUCCUACUACUUAGUUAUUUCCUUUGCUUUUUUACUUUGCCUUUAUUUUACUUUGCAUCUUUAUCACAAAAAUAAAAAUAUCUUUAUCAUAUCUAUCAAAUCUCACUCUCGUAAGUGGCCGUGUAGGGAUUGACAACCCCUAUUCACGUUGGUUGCGAGGAUUUAUUUGUUUUGUGCAGGUACGAGGGACUGGCGCAUAGCCUCCUACUGGAUUGAUACCUUGGUUCUCAAAACCUAAGGGAAAUACUUACGCUACAUUGCUGCAUCAUCCCUCACUCUUCGGGGAAAACCAACGCAGUGCGCAAGAGGUAGCAAGGGUUCCUUUUUGUCGACGAUCUGAUGUUUCAACCUUGUUUUCCAGGCGGCCAACGCAUCGCUCAACUUGGUCAUGGCGUGUUUGUUUAUCUUCGUCAUUGCCAGGUCCUUAUCUGGAUCUUUAUUAUCCUUUUCAUUACGGUCCGGGAACAAGAAUAUCUGGUGCAGCUUCUUUAGGAGGGAGGGCCUCUGGUGCAGCUUCUAUAGUUUCCCAUCGUUGAUCAUGGCAGUUGUCCGUACAAUGCAACCUAUUUGAUUGCCGUAGCACGAUUGCGCUUCCUCGGGUGCUAUUGUCUCAAAAAUACCGUCGUCCAUCUCCGUGACCACCAGUCUAGUACUCAUGAGCUGGUUUAGGCGUCGUGGCCUCUUUGCUUUCGGUUCUAGACUAACUCCGCUAGUCUCGGCGCUGGUCUCAGUCUCAUCGCCGGUCUGCAUGUCGGUAUCAGUCCCUGAUGCGACAACACAGUCGCUGCAACAUGGGUAAGGGAGACCACAUCAGUGCUGGGGGGUCCGAAAAUCGGGACACACUUUCGCGCGUCGCGGGCCGCCUCUCAGACAGCUACUGGGGAGGCGGCGGAGUACCUGGGUGCGCCGCGAAUCCCCGGGAACUCGGUGACCAACUUCCUUCCCGUGUGGCGCAUGGAGACGACAGCGACCCCGGCGAAGAGUAGCUUAGCCGCGAGCUGCACAGCCUCGUCCACCUCCUAAGUUGGGACCUCCGCGCAAGCGUUGCGGGGCCGCCGCUCGGGUGGCUUCUGGAAGGCGGUUGUACAUGGGCACAGGGUGAAUCCCGACUAGAGCUGGCCAUUGGCGCGCGCAAGUAGACGACGACGUCCCCGACGAAGAGCUGCCCGGCCAGCUCGCCUCACUCUCCUUUGAUUAGAAAUGAAAGAUUGGGAAGAAGCAGACUUGAGCCUGCAGAGAAAGGAUAAGGUGACGAUGCAGUCUCCACUCGUUCGGGGCGACACGCGUACUGAAUGUAUGAGAAACGUGACGUGGCAGAGACCCCAAGAUACUCCCUCCAUUUAUUUUUAGUCUGCAUAUAAAGUUUGGUCAAAGUCAAGAUUUGUAAAUUUUAACUAACUUUAUAAUAAAAAAAUAUCAAUAUUCACAAUAUGAAAUCAAUAUUACCAGAUGCGUCAUGAAAUGUAUUUCCAUACUAUAAAGUUUUGGUAUUGUAGAGGCACUCUUCCAUAUAAUGAAGUUUAUAAUAUAUGUGCUUAUAUUGUACUACAAUUGUUUGAAUAGCUUAGCAUAUGUUCAGAUGUAUGAUAUCUGUAAUUUAAGCGCUUGAAUUUUACAUAUAAAUAUUUAUUAAUAAAUAUGUACCCCUAUAAUAGCUAGGCCGUGCAGUUGCACGGGUAGAUGACUAGUGAUUACAAUCUUGUUUGUGUGCAAGUCAAGCUUAUCUAGUUUACACGUAACAACUUGUAGAACAUUACAAAAUUUAUGCUUGCUAAUAACUUCUAGAACACUACAACACUUGACAUGUAAAAGGAAUUUGACGAGUCAUGGCCUACUAAAGCAAGUUACAUUACUAGUCUUAUCUAUCUUAACAGACCACACAAGAUUACAAACUAAGUACCGUGACAGCCAUACUUAUCUAGUUUAUGCGUAACAAUUUGCAGAAAAUUAGAAACUUAGUUUCAGAAAAAUACGCAAUCUAGAUUAGUGUUUGAGCUGUAAAGUGAAUAAGAUGAGUCAUGCAUGUUAUCACACCUUUUUGGUGGUGGAAUGAUAGUGCAACAACAAGGAACUUUAAUGACCAGUCCAAGAAUACACUUGUAAGUAGUGCCACCAAACAGAACAUUCCAAAUGAUGAUUUUUAGAAGCAUCCAAGCACUUUCCACACAAACAAAUGCCAAUUGUGAAAGAGAUCAUUCCAUGGCAGCUAUAAAUAGCCCCAUAGCAUGACGAUCAUCCUUCCUCAUCCAUCAUUCUCAUUAGUAGAGCGCAUCAUUUAAGCCAAGCAAGCUGUGGUCAAUACAAAUCCACCAUGAAGACCUUUCUCAUCCUUGCCCUCCUUGCUAUCGUGGCGACCACCGCCACAACUGCAGUUAGAGUUCCAGUGCCACAAUUGCAGCCACAAAAUCCAUCUCAGCAACAGCCACAAGAGCAAGUUCCAUUGGUACAACAACAACAAUUUCUAGGGCAGCAACAACCAUUUCCAC
Molecule: long non-coding RNA, 108578 nt
Filed under: Triticum aestivum (bread wheat)
Lineage: Eukaryota; Viridiplantae; Streptophyta; Magnoliopsida; Poales; Poaceae
Description: long non-coding RNA (TAES_LNC009704)
Source: RNAcentral